Molecule: long non-coding RNA, 133008 nt
Filed under: Physcomitrium patens
Lineage: Eukaryota; Viridiplantae; Streptophyta; Bryopsida; Funariales; Funariaceae
Description: long non-coding RNA (PPAT_LNC005854)
Source: RNAcentral
UUAUUUUGUUCGAGAGUACUUCCUGAACAUCACUUCAAAGGACCUCGUUCUUACUUUCAUUCCACGGUCAAAUUCGUAUGCUUUCAUAAACGCCANNNNNNNNNNNNNNNNNNNNNNNNNNNNNNNNNNNNNNNNNNNNNNNNNNNNNNNNNNNNNNNNNNNNNNNNNNNNNNNNNNNNNNNNNNNNNNNNNNNNNNNNNNNNNNNNNNNNNNNNNNNNNNNNNNNNNNNNNNNNNNNNNNNNNNNNNNNNNNNNNNNNNNNNNNNNNNNNNNNNNNNNNNNNNNNNNNNNNNNNNNNNNNNNNNNNNNNNNNNNNNNNNNNNNNNNNNNNNNNNNNNNNNNNNNNNNNNNNNNNNNNNNNNNNNNNNNNNNNNNNNNNNNNNNNNNNNNNNNNNNNNNNNNNNNNNNNNNNNNNNNNNNNNNNNNNNNNNNNNNNNNNNNNNNNNNNNNNNNNNNNNNNNNNNNNNNNNNNNNNNNNNNNNNNNNNNNNNNNNNNNNNNNNNNNNNNNNNNNNNNNNNNNNNNNNNNNNNNNNNNNNNNNNNNNNNNNNNNNNNNNNNNNNNNNNNNNNNNNNNNNNNNNNNNNNNNNNNNNNNNNNNNNNNNNNNNNNNNNNNNNNNNNNNNNNNNNNNNNNNNNNNNNNNNNNNNNNNNNNNNNNNNNNNNNNNNNNNNNNNNNNNNNNNNNNNNNNNNNNNNNNNNNNNNNNNNNNNNNNNNNNNNNNNNNNNNNNNNNNNNNNNNNNNNNNNNNNNNNNNNNNNNNNNNNNNNNNNNNNNNNNNNNNNNNNNNNNNNNNNNNNNNNNNNNNNNNNNNNNNNNNNNNNNNNNNNNNNNNNNNNNNNNNNNNNNNNNNNNNNNNNNNNNNNNNNNNNNNNNNNNNNNNNNNNNNNNNNNNNNNNNNNNNNNNNNNNNNNNNNNNNNNNNNNNNNNNNNNNNNNNNNNNNNNNNNNNNNNNNNNNNNNNNNNNNNNNNNNNNNNNNNNNNNNNNNNNNNNNNNNNNNNNNNNNNNNNNNNNNNNNNNNNNNNNNNNNNNNNNNNNNNNNNNNNNNNNNNNNNNNNNNNNNNNNNNNNNNNNNNNNNNNNNNNNNNNNNNNNNNNNNNNNNNNNNNNNNNNNNNNNNNNNNNNNNNNNNNNNNNNNNNNNNNNNNNNNNNNNNNNNNNNNNNNNNNNNNNNNNNNNNNNNNNNNNNNNNNNNNNNNNNNNNNNNNNNNNNNNNNNNNNNNNNNNNNNNNNNNNNNNNNNNNNNNNNNNNNNNNNNNNNNNNNNNNNNNNNNNNNNNNNNNNNNNNNNNNNNNNNNNNNNNNNNNNNNNNNNNNNNNNNNNNNNNNNNNNNNNNNNNNNNNNNNNNNNNNNNNNNNNNNNNNNNNNNNNNNNNNNNNNNNNNNNNNNNNNNNNNNNNNNNNNNNNNNNNNNNNNNNNNNNNNNNNNNNNNNNNNNNNNNNNNNNNNNNNNNNNNNNNNNNNNNNNNNNNNNNNNNNNNNNNNNNNNNNNNNNNNNNNNNNNNNNNNNNNNNNNNNNNNNNNNNNNNNNNNNNNNNNNNNNNNNNNNNNNNNNNNNNNNNNNNNNNNNNNNNNNNNNNNNNNNNNNNNNNNNNNNNNNNNNNNNNNNNNNNNNNNNNNNNNNNNNNNNNNNNNNNNNNNNNNNNNNNNNNNNNNNNNNNNNNNNNNNNNNNNNNNNNNNNNNNNNNNNNNNNNNNNNNNNNNNNNNNNNNNNNNNNNNNNNNNNNNNNNNNNNNNNNNNNNNNNNNNNNNNNNNNNNNNNNNNNNNNNNNNNNNNNNNNNNNNNNNNNNNNNNNNNNNNNNNNNNNNNNNNNNNNNNNNNNNNNNNNNNNNNNNNNNNNNNNNNNNNNNNNNNNNNNNNNNNNNNNNNNNNNNNNNNNNNNNNNNNNNNNNNNNNNNNNNNNNNNNNNNNNNNNNNNNNNNNNNNNNNNNNNNNNNNNNNNNNNNNNNNNNNNNNNNNNNNNNNNNNNNNNNNNNNNNNNNNNNNNNNNNNNNNNNNNNNNNNNNNNNNNNNNNNNNNNNNNNNNNNNNNNNNNNNNNNNNNNNNNNNNNNNNNNNNNNNNNNNNNNNNNNNNNNNNNNNNNNNNNNNNNNNNNNNNNNNNNNNNNNNNNNNNNNNNNNNNNNNNNNNNNNNNNNNNNNNNNNNNNNNNNNNNNNNNNNNNNNNNNNNNNNNNNNNNNNNNNNNNNNNNNNNNNNNNNNNNNNNNNNNNNNNNNNNNNNNNNNNNNUCUACGAUUUGCAUCAUUAUGGUGCAGUUGCCAGAAGUUUGUACAGUUGGAGACAUGAGCCAUUAACUCUGACGGGUGCGCUUUUCUUUUGGUCUGAGAAAGAUAUAUUGCUCCUGCUACCGUUUAUGCGAGCGGGCAAGCGUUGGAAGAUAAUGAUGUGGCGAACGCAAAUGCUGCACUCAACUGGAAUUUCACAGUCGACAACAACUUCACUUACUUGGUGCGUUUGCACUUCUGCGAGCUUCAGUACCAGCGGCUCUAUGAGCGGGUUUUCAUUAUUGAGAUAAACCGUGUAGCCAUUUACCAAUUUUUCGACAUCAUAGAAGAAGCCGGAGCUGCCUACACUCCCUUGUACAGAGACUUCAUGGUGCCCAUGAUCAAUACCUAUCCGAAAAUAAAUGUUAGGAUCGCCCCUGACCGUAGUAAUCCAAAUGCCAAGAAUGUUCUGUUGAAUGGUCUGGAGAUUUUCAAGGUUAACAACGCGAACUCCAGUCUUGCAGGUCCCAACCGUAUUAUAGAGCCAAACACUACCUCUGGUGGUACACAAACUACAAAUUCAAGCUCGAGCUCCAACUUAGGUGCCAUCAUCGGUGCGUCCAUCGGAGGCGUAGCCGCCGUUCUUGCGGCGGCUGCGUUGGUCAUCUUUUGUUGCUACAAGAAGAAGACCAAGUCUGACAAGCCUGGCGCACCAAGUCAUUGGCUCCCGCUGCCUCUGCACGGCAGCAGUACUGACCACAGCAAAGUGUCGACUAGUUCGGCGAAGAGUGGGAAGAGUGGUGCAGGAAGUUAUGUUUCUUCAGUUCCAUCCAACCUGGGCAGGUACUUCAGCUUCGCGGAGCUCCAAGAAGCCACGAACAACUUCGACGAGUCUUUGGUUUUGGGAGUGGGUGGAUUCGGCAAGGUGUACAAGGGUGAGACUGAUGAUGGGUCGAAAGUGGCGGUGAAGCGGGGAAACCCCAGGUCAGAGCAGGGUCUAAACGAGUUCCAAACCGAGAUAGAGCUUCUGUCGAAACUCCGACAUCGGCACCUGGUGUCACUGAUAGGGUACUGCGAGGAACACGGUGAGAUGAUUCUUGUAUAUGAUUACAUGGCCAACGGUCCGCUCAGGGGUCACCUGUAUGGAACAGACGAGGCUCCUCUGUCGUGGAAGCAGAGGCUGGAGAUUUGUAUCGGUGCAGCACGAGGAUUGCAUUACCUACACACCGGCGCGGCGCAAGGGAUCAUUCACAGGGAUGUGAAAACCACGAACAUCCUUCUGGACGAGAACUUCGUUGCCAAGGUGGCUGACUUCGGGUUGUCGAAAAUCGGGCCCGCGAAUGAAGUCACGCACGUGAGCACAGCCGUGAAGGGCAGCUUCGGGUACCUGGAUCCCGAGUAUUUCCGCAGACAGCAGCUGACGGAGAAGUCAGACGUGUACUCCUUCGGUGUCGUUCUCAUGGAGGUGCUGAGUGCACGACCGGCAAUCAAUCCGGCCCUUCCUCGAGAGGAGGUGAACUUGGCAGACUGGGCAAUCAAGUACUACAAAGCUGGCAUGCUGGAUCAGAUCGUGGAUGAGAAGCUGCGGGAUACAAUCAACCCCGACUCGUUGAAAACAUUCGGCGACACCGUCGAGAAAUGUCUGCAGGAGCAAGGUAUCGAUCGACCUUCCAUGGGUGACGUCCUGUGGAAUUUGGAGUACGCCUUGCAACUACAUGAAGCAUCUGUGAAGGGCGCCAUGUCCAGCCUUGAUCAAGAAAACUUCAGCACCGACUCUGAUAACAGCCACAUGAUCUCCGUGCCGCUGGUUGUGCCCAACCUUUUCGAUGACUCGUUGACGAUGCACAUAGAACGAAGAAUGCUGGAGGAGACCUCCUCUGAAGACCAAUCGGCGAGCGCCACAUUCUCUCAGUUAAUCGACCCUCAAGGUAGGUAAAGCACAGACGAUAGGUAGUUGAUAAACCACAAGAUGAAGGAGGCGGCGAGUAUCCAGGAAGGGAUCGUCUCACUGCUAUAGAUCGAACAAAUGUAGUUGUAGUUGAUGUGGUUUUUCACAUAAAAAAAUAAUAUUUAUGUUUCGCUUCAUUUGGCUAACUUCGAGUUUGAUUGGCAUUGCGCGAGGUCAUCUGGAGUUUGGGUAGUUCUGGGUUUAUCAACAAAAGUCUGUUGGCUUUGUUUGUGUUGUGGACACGUUGUAAUCCGCUUCGUUUGUAAUAUGUGUGUGAGGUGUACAUUACGAAGUUUGUCACGAAAGUUAAGGUGGUUUCACUGAUUCGAUUCAACGUAGGCGAAGUAGUCAAGAAUCUGUUGGCACAGCAGGGUCCAAUGACUGAGCGCUGGACGGUUGUCAAUCUCGUGCACCAUCUUGUGAAGUAAAAUACAGGUUCGAAUAAAGUCACUGCUGGGGCUGUUCGUUCCUGUGUUCUUGUCGUUCCAAUGAGAUAUUAAUAUGCGAGUGCCUGUUGUGGCUCGAUCAUAAGCAUCUUUCAGCAAUGUACCUCACUCAUUGUGGUUUACAUAUUACAGAUCUUCCAACUUUUUUAUCCACAUUUUAAUCUUCUCUUUUUAACACCACCCUCCGCCGAUUUGAGCCUCACAAACUGUUUGGUGCCUAUGCAUCACGUGUGCUUCAUGUAGGUGUGUGAUAUUUUCCGGAUUGCGCGGGGGCUUGGAAAUGACUGUAGCAGGUUGUGUUUAUUGUUGGCUUUGGGAGCUGCUCGUCGGCCGAAGACAGAAUACGGGGCAUUUUGAUCGCUCCAAAAGGAAGCAUCGAAGGGAAGGGCAUUGCUGCAACGACGUAAGUCUCUGGAUUAUCAGAUUCCACAAACACACCUGAUGAAGUCACAGACGACGCUGGCAUUCUUGUUGGACAUGGAUUCUGUAUCCUGUUUCAGUCGCUCCUUCCUUUACAGGAGUACAAUAUACACACUCAUUAUUACUCAAUUAAUAACAAGUAUCAAACAAUUCUCUAAUUCACCUAGUUCUAAUAUGGUAUCAGAGUGAAGCUCUGAAAUUUUUUUAUGGUACAAAACUCAGAAACACAAUAAAUAGUGAAAGAAAUAAAGGAGGCUUUGUAGAAGACGUUCUGCAUAGAAAGUUGGGGCACUAGCAAAUCCUCCUUUUUGUCUUAAAAGAAACAUGGCAACAAGCAGACUUGCCACAGAAAAAUGGCCCAAAUUGGAUGGCUCAUGGUACUCCAUCUAGAAGAAAAUGAUCCAGAUGAAGUUUGAAAUGGAAAAUAUGUGGGAUGUAGUUUCAAGUAAAGAAAAAGAACCAACACAAGUUCAAGACAUGAAUGCAACAGAAACAUCACCACCAACCAAUAGAACUGAAAUCUUUACUGGGAAAAAGAAGGAUCAGGUUGCUCUAAGAACAAUUUGGGAUUGUGUAGAAAAUUUGAUUUUUUUUCAUGUCAAAUCAUGCUAGAUAGCCAAUGAAGCAUGACUAGUCCUUGAAAAUACAUACUCCACAAGUCACUCAAACCCAUCUACAAGAAAAAUUCAUCACACAAAAGAUAAAAGUUAGAAAAUCAGUAACCCAACAUAUACAUAACUUCAAGAAUUUUCUUCAACAAUGCCAAUCUGUAGGAGUUAUCAUAUCCUCUCAAAUGAAAAUUCUCACUCUUAUGAGGUCCAUGCCAUCACAAUAUGGCACCAUGAUCCAAAUGCUAUACAAUGAAGACUUCAACACUUCCAAAAUUGAUUGUAAUCCUCCAACAAGAAGAAACAACUAUGAAAGGCUCUUCUUCUGACUGACAUGUCUUCUUUGUAGGACUCAAAAGAAAGACCAAAUAGCAACCUUACAAAUCAAUCCAAAAGACCAUAAGCUUUCAAAACCUUGUAAUAAACCUAUAAUACCUUGCUUUCUUUGGAAGAAAAUGAAACUUUUGGGUUCCAAGUGUUUUAAAAAUAAAAUCAAAGUUGCUAUAAAUUUAGCAACGACAAAUCAUGAAAAUAGGAAAAAUACACCUACGUGGAAGCAAGAACAAGUAGCAGAAUCAUCUCUCGCUUCUUAUACCUUUGUAUAUCAUACAUAAGCUUUUUGCUUGAAAAAAUUGCCUACACUAAUAACCACAAAAGAUACAUAGUAGUUCAUUGAUACUGGAGCCACACACCACUUAACAUAUGAUAAAAAUCAAUUUAUUAACUUCAAACCAUUUUUAUAUAGUGACAAUAAGGUCCAUCUUGGCAAUAAUACAACAUUAUCUAUCUAUGGCUAAGGAAAAGUGGAAAUUUCAAUGGUCAAUGGCUAAAUACUUUAUCAUUAAGCAUUGUUUAUUAUCUUGUGGCAAAAUACUUUGAUAAUGACUAUUUUUUAUUACCUUGUGGUAUUUUUGGCUCAGUCACCUUAAGAGUGUUUGCCUAUAGUAGCUUGUUUUCACCUCCACCUUCAUUGGAUUAUAUCUCAAGACCAUCUCUCAUGUUGUUUACUCAAUAUGCCUUCAUAGCAAACAUAUAAUCAGAAAUAUAAUCAGAAAAAUAAGCUAGUACAAGAGCCAUUCAACCUCUUAAAUAAUUAAUUUUGACUUGAGCGGCUACAUAGCUACACCAACAUUUUUUGGCUAUGAAUACUAUAUUAUGUUUAUAAAUAAUUUUUCUAGAUAUAAAGUGCUUUGAUUCCUUAGUCAAACAAGUGAAUACUUUUAUAUGUUCAAAAUCUUUCACACAUGGAUUGAAAAUCAAACUAGCUAUAAGCUUUGCACCUUCUAUUUUAAUUAAAGAGAAGAACACCUCCUCUUUCAAAUUCAAUCAAUACUCAAAAACAUGCAAAAUUUAGUGCCAAUUUAUCACAACUUAUAUACUAUGCCAAAAUAGUGUUAUUGCAUGCAAGAAUUGCACACUUUUUCAACUCUAUCCAGUGCAUGCUUCACUAGGCUCAUCUAUCCAAGCCAUAUUGGAAUGAAGCAGUCACUUGUACGGCUUAUCUUCAAAACCAACUUCUAAGAAAAACUAUUCCUCUUUAUACCACUCGAUUUGAAUUAUGGCACAAAAAAAAACCUAAUAUAGUUCACAUUUGUGUAUUUGAAAGUAGAUGUUUUGCAAAGAUCCUUGAUCUACUUUCUGUCAAGCUUGAUGAAAAGACUCAAGCAUGCAUUUUUCUUGGAUAUAGUUUGGUUAGCAAGGGCUACAAAGUCCAACAAGUUCACCUUGGUGCCAUCCUUGUUCCACAGGAUGUUAUAUUUUGAGAAGAGAAUUCUCUUCACUACAUUCAUAUUCCACUCAACCCCUUACCUGAUGUUGUCCUCCACGCCAACUCUAGCUUUUAUCACAUCAACGGAUUAUUUCUAUUUGCUUCUUCCACCCUGCCGCCAAUUCCAACUACUGGAGCCCCUUUGUCAUUGUUUUCACCCUUGGCAAUGGCACCCUUUCCCACUUUAUAGGCCCCUAAUCUGCCUACUCAUAUUGCUACACAAUCAAUGCCUAUUAGUGUUCCUCCUUUGACGUUGCAUUUUCACUUGCCAAAUCCACUUGAGGCUAUUUGUUCUUCUUUGGCUAAAAUCAAACCAAUCCCUAGCUCGGCCACUUUGGAAGUUGUGCUCUCUAUGGAUUUUAGGACAUUAUUAGUGCCUUCAUACCCUGUGCCACUGACUCUUCCACAUAACCCACUCUUCAUGGUCCCAUCCAACGUAAGCUCUCUAUCACUACCUUGACCUUCUCUGUGCCGCAUUGUAAUGUCUCUAACCAACCUGGCUCUCAUGCUGUACUUGGGAUAUCAUAUUCAUGAUCAUCUUUUUGAUGCUCCAUUUUAUUAAAUUCAUUGCAAUCCUUCUUAGUAUGAUAAGAAUCAUUAUAUCAAAUAUAUCUUUAUAUAUAGUCUUAUUUAAAAAUAGUCUUCAAAUUAUUUUUAGAAGUCUUUUCUUCUAAUCUUGUCAAUUUAAUUUGAAGAUCCUAGUGAGUUCCAUCAAUUCAUUUUAAUUAGUAGAUUGAUUUAAAAUAUAGUUUUAAAUUAUUUUAUUAUAUAAAUAUUAAAAUUAGAGAGUUUUUUGACUAUUCAAUUAUUUAUUAGAAUUUAGAAGUAUUUAUAAGUACAAAAUUCUUAUUAGAAGAAAAGUCAUAAAAGUAGAAUUUUAGUAAGUCUUGGAGGCAAUUAUCUUAGUUAAUUUUGUAUUUUUAUUUAUUGUUAAGUAUUAAAGAUUAGUUAUUAAAAUCAAUAUCUUUAUUUUUCUCCUAUCUAUAAUUAUUACUUAUAAAAAUCCUAUCAAUGAUUAGUUAGUAGUUAGAAGAAGCAUGAAGAAAAUAUCAUGUCUUUUUAGUUAAUUAUAUAGAAAAUACGAGUAUUUUAGUAGAUGUAAAUUGAUUUUAUUAUCAUAAAAAAUCACUACGAUAGAAAAAUAUAGUCUUAAAUAGAUUUUAUUAUUAUAAAAAUAUUACAUGAUUUUUUAGAAUUUAUUUAGAAUUUAUUUAGAAUUUAUUCAGAAUUUUUUAGGAAUUUUUAUAGAAGAUUAAAGACCUUUGUAAAAUUGAGUUUUUCCACUUUGGAAGCCAUUAUGAAGAAAUGAAGUAAGAUUCCCAGGCUGUACAAGGUUCUUAAGUGAAUUGGGUAUUUUCAAACAUCAUAGUGAAGUAAAAAAUGCAAAAAAAAGAGUUUUACUAGUAGAAAAAUAAGAGGACCAACAGCUAAUUUAAUCCUUAUAGAAAAAGAAGUGCAUAAGUCCCAUAUGGAUUGUAGUACCUUAGAUAUUGGUAGGAAGAUAAGAUUGAGGCCUUGUAGCCUCUCUUAACAAUCCAUAUAUACUACUUCUGAGCCUUAGUGAGGCUCGAAUUCUUAAUCUCUUAAAGUAAGUUAUUCUUGAGAUAAAAAUUAUUGACUUUAUUUUUCUAUUGUUUAUCUUUUAUCUUAAAUCUAUCAUAACUUAUUCAUAGUAACUUUGAUUUAUAUUUUUUUAUAUCAUUGAAAAGAUAAAAGAAUUAUCUAUCUAAAAAUAUAUAUUUUUUACUUUUUAUUUUUACUUUUUAUUAAAUAAAAAUCCAAUAAAUAAACCAUGACUAGUUUUAUAGUAUAUAAUUGCUUGAUUACAUUUGUUUACUUGUUUUGUAUUGUUCUUCUUUUUUUCUUGUUCUUUCUACUUCUACUUUAUAUCAUCAAUUACAAUCAACUCUUAAUAAAGGCCAUCUUGAAAUUUGGAUGGAAAAAAAAAUUCACCCUCACAAUCUUACAUCUCACGUAUAAUCUCUUCAACUCUCAUAUCUUCUUUUAUUGAUAUAGAUGCUGGAGAUUGAACAAUUAGCAUUUUUAAUUGUAUUAUAUAUACUUGAGUUUUAGAUGCAUAUAUUAUGCUUAAAAUAUUAACCUUAUCUAUCUUUCUUUCUUAUUUUACAAGUAAAUCUACGACAUCUAUAUCAUUUUUUCAUUUUGUUGUCAAUUCUUCAUCUUCUUUAUCUUCAAGAAGAAAUUCCAAUAUUUCUUAUAACUCUUCAUUGGAAGCUUUAAGAAAUAAUUCAAUCUUAUUUGGCUCUAUUAUUAAUUUUUCCAUCUUUGAUAAUAAAAAAUAUAGCCUCUUAAAUUCCCUCAAAAGCUCUAUAGCUUACUAAUUCUUAUUAAGCCACUCAAUCCAUUCCAAAAAUUUUUUCUUGGUAAUUUAAUUGAUAUCCUUUAAAAAAUAUUUGUUCUUUAAUACAUGUGGAAAUUUCUCCCAUAAAUAUCCAAAAUGAUCCCUAAUUGAUUUAAUAUAUUUUCUUAUUUCUAAUAUUAUAAUAAGUCCAAAUAUCUCAAUUAUCUUCUUUUCAAAAAUCCAAUUCAAUUCUAUUUUCCAUGCAUAAUAUUUCAAAAACUUUGAAAUAUUCCUUCUAUCAAAUUGGUCAAUUUUGUUAACCAUUUUUUAUAAUAUUUUAUGUAAUUAUUACCCUAUUAUUAUUAUAUAAAUAAUAUAAAUACUUAAAAAAUAUUUGUAGUAUUUGAAUUAUAGUACAUACCUUUUUUACUAGUAGAAAAUCCACUUGAAGCUCCACUUGAAGUUCUACUUGAAUCUCCAUCCAAAACUUCAUCAAAAACUCCAAAAUCAACUUUCUUACCUUCUUGUGCUACUAAUUCAAAAUAACCGCAAAUAUAAUUCAAAAUCUUCCACUUCAAACUUUCAUAUUGGAUUUAUGAUUUAUAUCAUAUUAUAUAUUAUCUUAUUUUAGAAUGUACUAGUGUUGUAUUAUAUAAACUCUUAUUUAAAAAUGUACUAGGUACCUAAUUAUGGGAGGUAAAUAGAAAUGUAAAAAAAAUACUACUAAGUAAAAUAGAGACUUAAAUAACAUUAAGUAAACCUCAAUAAUCUUCAUUGAACUUUGACUAAUUCAAAAUUAACUUAAAAGAAUUUAGAAAAUAGACACAAAAAAGUCCAGAAUUUAUUUCAAAGAAAAAUAAUAAGAAAUCUUUUAAAAAUAUAAAAAUAAUAUUUUUAAAAAAUAAAAAUAAUCUUAAAGAAAUAAUAAAAAUAAAAAUCUUAAUACAAACUUAAUUGAAUCUUAUUCAAAUCCUAGAUCAAAUCCUAAAUAAAAUCCUAAGUUAAUCUUAAUCAAAUCUUAGGUCAAAUCUUUGUAAAAUCUUGAUAAAAACUUAAAUCCUAAAUAAAUCCUAAAUAAAUCCUAGUUAAAUUUUAAUCAAAUUUUAAACCAAAUUUUAAGCAAAUCCUUCUCCUAAUCAAAUUCUAAACCUAAUUUUAAGCCCUAAUCAAACCACAAACAAAUCCUAAAUCAAAUCCAAUAGCUAAUUCGAACCUCAACAACUAAUAAUUGAGUCAUUGAUAUCAACUCAAAAAUUGCAAACUUCUUAAUAACUUAAUUAAAAAUAAGUGAAAAAAAGAUGAAAUCAAUUAUACUUACGAAUUGAAAGAAAUACAAGAUAAUCCUAUUGGAUGUUAGGUAGCUUCCUACUCCAAUCUAAAUAUUGAACUUCUAAUGCCAAUAUCUUUUGCUUGAAUUAUUAAAUUUCUCUCAAAAUAUACUUAAAAUGUUGGAAAUUGAGUCUAGUAUCUAUAUAAAAAAAAUUCACUUCAAUCCAAUUGAAAAAUCACUAAAGAUCUUAAAAAUACUUACUAAUCCUCAAACUCCAAUUUCUAAGACUUCAACCCACAAAAACCUUCAUACAUUUUGAUCUUAUUGUUUGAUUGAUUUCAAAAUUUGCAUACAUAUUUACAACUAGCACACCAAUACACUAUUCAAAAUCAACUAAUAUGAAUACUAGUAAACUUAAUAAACUCUCAAAUUUGUAUAAAUGCUUUUAUUUCUUAAAAACUAAAAUAAUCAAGAACAUUAUUAACUUUGAAAAUUCUUCGAAAACUCAAUAUUGAUUCAAUUGAUAUAAAACUAAUACCUAAAAAUCUCUCUUUAAGAUUGCUAUCAAAUCCUAGUCUUUGAUCUACCAAAGACCUCUAGAAUCACUAUAGAUGUGUGGUUUUAUGCCUCAAGGUCUGAUUUCGACCUAGGUUGACAAUCAAUCCUCUCUAAGUAUCAAUUUUUAGCUUCUUGAAGUAAAUUUUGCUAAAAUCUAAUCUUAAUUGCCUCCUAUGUAUGCCUACCUUAUUUAAUUUCCUAAUCUAUUUUUUUUCUCUAUUUAUGGCCUUGAAAAAUAAAUAGAAGCCUAUUUUUUAAAAAGGCAAUAUUAGCAUUCUUUAAUUUUACUAUCUUGUUGACUAUUAUCUAUAUUUUAAAGAUAAAUUGCUAUAAUAUUUUAAAAUAAUAUAUUUUAUAAUAUAUAUAUAUAUAUAUAUAUAUUUAUUUAUUAACUGUAUUAUAUCAUAAUAAUGCCAUGCAUAUUUUGAUGGUGAAAAGAUUUUAAAAAAUAUUCUUAAUUAUUAUCAAGAUUUUUAAGGCAUUUUUGAAAAAUAAAAUAAAAAUAUUCUUUUGAAGCAUUGAUCAUAUGCUUGUUCAAUUUAUCUUCAAGAAAAAGCUCAACUACCAUUUGGACCAACCUAUUGCUAAUUGCAAAAUGAAAUGGCUAUACUCAAGGACUACAUUGAUAAGAGCUUGACUAAAAACUUCAUAUACUAUUCAAAAUUUUCACUAGGAGCUCUUAUCAUGUUUUAAAAAAGAAAUGAUAGACCUUUGUGGAUGUGUGUAGAUUAUCAAGGAUUUAAUUAAAUUACCAUAAAAAUUAUUUAUUCUUUUAUUAAAGACAUGAAUCUUCAAUAAUAAAAUCUUCAAUACACUCUUAUAUUACUUGAAAAGACUAAGAAAUCACUCAACAAUGGCAAUAUAUUUUAUCAUAUAUUUUAUCAUAUGGUUGAUAGCUAUUUUAUCAUAUGGUUGUUAUCAUCUUAGUAUAUGGUAAAAUAGGUGUGUAUUUGAAGAUCAUAUAUUGCCAUUGAUAGCUAUUUUAUCAUAUGGUUGAUAUCAUCUUAGUAUCAACCAUAAGGAGAAAUCAUUCCGUGAACAUUUGCAUAUAAAAUAGCUAUAAUUUGAUAAGGAGAAAUCAUUCUCUGAACAUUUGCAUCAACUUUUAAGUUGGCAGCAAAGUAACAUCAAUAUGGUUUUUGGGCAUUUUUUUACAAUCUAUAAGUUUGAUUGAAGUAAAUUCUUACUAAAAACAUAAAAGACUUGUAGUAGCAUUUGUGUACAAAUUUUUACUCUAAGUGAAUGAUUAAAUCAUGAGCUACAAUUUGUUAAAGCUUGCUAAUUAGGAUUAAGGUUUGUAAAGAAAGUUCAAAAUUGCCUAAUUAUUGAAGUAAAAAGGCAAUUGGAAUUUAUGUAUGAUUGAAACUACUAAGAAGAGUAUUUUUGAGUGCUUUGUAUUGGAUUUAAGAACUUUUUAAUUAAAAUUCAAAUUAUAUUCUUUUUAUAAGGGCAAAAUAUAUUUAGAUUUGUGGAUAUUUAUAAAACUUAAUUACACCUUCUACAACCAGAUACUCGGUGCAUUUCCAAAUUGGAUGAUUUAUAAUAUGACAUAAGUAGUGAACCUGACAUGAAAGUUUGGGAUGUAAGGUAUUGGAUUAUAUUUGUGGUUAUUUGAAAUUGAUGGCGCAAGAAGUCAAGAAGCUUGAAUUUGGUGUCUUUGAUGGAAUUUUGGAUGGAACUGCAAGAGGAUCUUCAAAUGGAGCUUCUAGUGAAUUUUCUACUAAUGAAAAAGAUAUGUACUUUGAUCCAAAUAGUACAAAAAUAUUUCAAGUAUUUACAUUAUUUAUGCAACAACAAGAAGGCAAUGAUUGCAAAAAGGCUUUGGCAAUCAAAGCAUUACAAGCGAUGGUUAAUAAGAUUGAUCAAUUUGAUGGGAGAAUUAUUUUCAAAUAUUUGAGAUAUUAUGUGCAGGAAAUAAAAUUGAAUCACAUUUUUGAGAAGGAGAUGAUUCAAUUAUUUGAGCUUGCUAUGGUGUUGUUAUCAGAGUAGAGAGAGUUUGCUAUAAGAAAGCAUUAGGCUCUUGGUUGCCACUGAUUGCUCAAUCAAGACUUGAGAUAAGAAAGACCAAAUUUUUAUAUAUAUAUAUAUAUAUAAUACUUUUAGGUACUAUUACACCAAAUAUAUAAGUCUUAAGUUCCCAAAUCAUCCAAACUAUGAUAAAACCUCUAAAUCCUUUAAUAUCCUCAUGGGAUAUUAUUCUUGAACUUUAAAAAUUCAUAUCUUCCAAUUGAACCAUUCAAACACAUUCAAAUUUUACAUGAAGUAUUGAUGUACUUUUAAAAACUACCACAACAAAUUUCAAUUGCAAAUUCAUUGCAGAUCUUAAGUUAUCACCAAAAUCCUAACAAUAGCUUCAAACCCUAGUUUUUAUACAUUUAUGUGCAAUUUUCUUCAUAUCUCACAAAAUAAACACUCAAAUGACACAAAAUUUAUAUUUAUAGUUUCUUCACAUAAUAAUCUAUCUUUUUAAAAAGGUUUAAGAAAAAAAUUCGUCCAAAAACUCAAGAUAUGGCUCCAUUUAAUACUAUGAACAAAAUCACUUAUUCAUUGCCUUUGAUUUGGAUGCACUGACUUUAACUCUCUAUAACUUCUUUAUCCGAACUCUAAAUUUAUCAAAUAAUAUAUGAAAAGUUUAGUAAAAAAAGUGUUCUCUCCAAAAUUAGUUGCCGAUCCUUUGUUGUUCUCCGUAAACAUAUGUUAUGCUCCAAAGAGUGACAAUAGGUAUGAAAUUGACACCUUAACUUUGAGCGCCAAGAACUCCUUCAUAAGAACUCCAAAUCACACAAAAUUCGCAUCCAAUCCAUAAUCAAAAACCUGAAUUUUUUGAUCCUAGCCUUUAAAGCUCGAAUGACCUCAAAAAAGAAAUCUUAAUUCCUAAUAAGACCUUAGGUAGCCUCUUUGAAGCCUAUUAGGCAUGGCCUUUGACCAAUAGGAAUGAAGAUCUUCAUUUCUUGUCUUCAUCCAACCAUGUCUUGCUUUCAUCCCUCCCAAUAAGCCUCCUACUAGUUUAGAUUUUCUUCUUUAGGCUCUAAUCUCCUCUCAAGGCUUCAUACAAAACAUUUAGGUCCUAUAAUUUUUAUAAAUACUAUAAUCAAAAUAGAUAAAAUUUAAAAUAAUUUUUUUUAUAUCCACUCUCUUUUAAUUAAUCUAUUAAUCAUUUUAACAUAUACCAAGACUUAUGAACAUAUUAUAUAUUCUAACUAAUUUUUACAUAUUAUAAGCAAUUACAGUACAAUAUCGUAUUUCAAAGUGUUUGGCUUGAGAAAGCACCGAACAUCUGGACAUAGAAGAUAAAAGGAAAAUUUCAAAAAUAAGUCCUAAAAACUCUAAUAAAUUCUUAAAUAAAUUAUAAUUAAAGAUUAGCAAAUAUAAUCAAACAUCAAUCAAAUUCAAUUAAAAUUUCAAAGAAAUUAUAUAAAAAAUACAUAGAAUUUCUAGAGAUCUUUUAAAUAAAUUAUAAAAAAAUUACAUAGAAAAUUUUAAAAAAAUUACUAAAAUAUAAAUCUUAAUAAAAAAUUAAAAUAAAAAUCUUAAUUAAAUUUCAGUCAAAAUCUAGUCAAAUCUUAAUUAAACCUUAGUCAAACUUUGAUCAAAUCCUUAUCAAAUUCUAAUCAACUCCUAAAUAAGUCCUAAUCAAUUCUAAAAAAUCCUAAUAAAAUUCUAGUCAAAUCCUAAUCAAAUCCUAAAUAAAUUAUAAACAAAUCCUAAUCAAAUCCUAGACAAAUCAUAAAUAAGUUCUAACUAAAUCCUAAAUAAAUUCUAGUCCAAUUUUAAACAAAUUUAAACCAAAUCCUAACCAUAAUCAAAUCUAAAAUCCUAAUCCUAAUCCUAAUCAAAUCCUAGCCUUAACCAAAUCUUAAAUCAAUUCAAAAUCCUAAUAUUAAUCUUAAAUAAAAUCCUAAUCAAUUCCAAAUAAUUCCUAUAGCAAAUUUAAACUUCAAUAACUAAUGAAUGAAUCAUUGAUUUUAACUCAAAUUUUAUUUUUUUCUUAAAAAUUAAAUUAAUAAUAAGUAAAAUAAAAUUAAAAAUGAUCCAAAUUACUAAAUAGAUGAUAACCUCAAAAAUGUUCUUAGAUGUCAGUCGGCCUCCUUCUCUAAUCUUGAUGCCAAUCUAUUAAAGCCAAUUAUUCUUGAUUAAAUUUUUAAUUUGCUUCCAAAAUUUACUCACUUAUUAGAAAUUAAGCUGACUUCCUCUAUUAAAAAAAAAAAAAAAAAAAAAAAAAAUACCUCAAUUUAAUCGGUAGAUUGAUAGAUAUUUAAGAAAACCUCAAUAGUAUUCAAAAUCCUAAAUUCUAAGACUAUAACCCACAAAAACCUUCAUGCCUUUCAAUCUAACCAUUUGAUCAAAUCAAAAUUCACAGCACACAUCAAGCAUAAUUACACCUACAAAUCCAAAAAAUUUCACUUAUAGAUCUAUUUUCAAACUUACAAAAUUCUCCAAAAAGUAUCACUUGUUUUAUUUCAUAAAUCCAAAGUCAUCCAAAACAAAUCCCAACUUUGCAAAGCUCUUACAAAGUCAAUAUAUACUCAACUCAAUCCAAAUCAAUGUUCAAAGAAAUCUUAUUAAGUCAGCUCCUAGAUCUUAUUCUUUGAUCUCCAAAAGAACUCCAAAAUCAUUGUCAAGACUUAGUUUUGUGCAUUGGGGUCUGAUUUCGACCCUAGUUGAUAACUCGUCAUCUCUGAGUAUCAACUCUUGGAUUUUUAAGGUAAUUUUUACUACAAACUAUUCUUAAAUUCUUUCCAAAGGUGUCUAUAUUUUUUAUUUUUCUAAUAUACCUUAUUUUGCUCUAUUUGUGGUCCUACAAAAAGAAUAGAAGCCUAUUUUACAAAAAGGUAGUAUUAAUACUUUUAAUUUUUCUAUUCUUUGACUAUUAUCUAUUUUACUAAGAUAAUUUGUUACAAUAUAUUUGAAAUAAGAUCUUCAAAAAUAUUAUAUUUUCUUCACAUUUUUACCUAUUAGCCAUUUUAUAUCACAAAAAAAAUAUUAGAGAUAAGGGAGCAUAUAAGGUCUAUUAUAGAGCAAUUUAAAAGUUCAUGGGAGGUAAUUUCACAUGCGUUGAAGGAUGAGUAUUUUUUCAAAGAUACUGACUGAGUUAUCAAGAAAUCAUUCUUGGGAUGGAUUAAACGACCUAACAAGAAUAUAUAAGCUACAAAAUUAUUAAAAAAAAUUUAAAGAUAAUUUUUUUGAUUAUUAAAAAUAGAAAAGUUAAUAUUGGGAUCAAAUAAGGUUGAAUUGUUUCUUGAAGCUAGUGAUGGAAAAUUACAAGAAAAGUUAGAGGUUCUUUUUGAAGACAAGGAAGAAAAUGAUGGAUUGAAAAUAAACUAGAGGGCUAUUGAAGAUGCUAUUGGAUUGCUUGCCAAAAGAAAAAAAAAAAAAAAAGAAUAGGAUUGAUGCUCGAAUAGUGGUAUAAGUAUCAAAGACCUCAAUGCUUACUAUACAAUUGAUUGUACCUAUUGUCCAACCUCCACUAGCUAUACCAAAGAAAGAAGAUAUGGAACUUCAAGAGAUUGUACGUGGGAUAGAGGAUCUUCAAAUCAAAUUUACAAGGCUUGUAGAGAAGACUUCUACAACUAGUUCAAAAGCUACUUUUAAAUAAGGAUAUGUGCAAAGAUGUAUCUCAUAUCAUGAUGAUUUUUAUUUUCAAAAAGAUUGUGGUGAAUUUGAUGAGGUAAUAUAACAAGGCAUUGUUUAUUGAAAAGAUGAAAAAAUUGAAUUGAAAGAUAUUGGUGAUCUUCUCCAAACCAACUUUGAUAAAGAAGGUAUAAAAGCAUUAAUUUAAGAUUUUUUUGGCAAUACAUAGGAUUGCAGCAAUGGAAGCUACAAGUUAUGGAAUUAAGGUGGAUAAUGAUUGCAGACAAAUUUUUUUUGGAAAUAUUCAACCAAUUGGAUUUUGAUCUUCUACUAUUUCUAUAAUGCAAAAAGAGAAGAUGCCAUAGGAAGCUUUAUUGAAAAAAAUUGUAAUAAUUUAUAGUACUACGAGUUGAGAGGAUCUUAUAGAAGCUUUGUCAGUACAUACAUAUAUUGUUAAAAGCCAAUAUGAAGUUUUAAUGGAAGAUAAGAAGAGAAGAAAUUUUGAUGAUAGAAGAUAAAGAAAUUUUUCUAAGAGGGAAACUUAAGGAGAUAAGGCUCGUGCAAUAGCUUCACAAGAAUUGCUCACAAAAUAUACUUCAAUAAUAUUGAAAGAAAAAAUAAAAGAGAUGAAAGAUAAAGGUAAAUUGACAACUUACAAACUACUCUCUGAUAUUGAAGCUGCAACAGAUUUAAAGGGAGUGCUUGAAGAACAUGUGCUCAAUGCUAAGAUUGAAUUUAUAUUAAAAGAGAUUUUAGGAAUUAUCAAGAAAGACUUUGAUGAUGUCAUUAUCAACAAUAUUAAAUGAAAGAGGUAAUUAAUGGGAGAAGCUAGAUUGAAUCAUGCUAUUGAUGCAUAUAUAUAUGAGAGUGAAGAAGUUAUAUUUCACAAUUAUUACAAACAAUCAACAAGUAAAGAGAGGAGUCAUAAUCAAAGAUUAUGUUUUGAUAAUCAAAGUAAUAAAGAUAGAAAGAUUUUAAGUCAUUAUAUUUGGAAGUAUUGGACUAGAACAACUACAGAGACAUUAGUGAAGGUUGAAGAUAUGGAUGAGCUAGUUGUUACUUUGAUUGACCAUGGUUCGGAGAUAAAUCUUAUGUCUAAGGAUCUUUACAUAAAACAAAGGUGGCCAAUUGAUAUGGAGCAUGGAUGGGCAAUACGAGCAUCUAAUAAUAUAGAAGGUGAGUUAUAUGGUACUUGCCUAGAUGUGAAAAUUUGAAUUGGUGAUGUUGUAAUGGAGCAAAAUUUCUUUGUUCAAGAUAUGUCUUAUCCUCUUAUUUUGGAGCAACCAUAUAUUAUUGCAACUCAAAUAGAAAUAAAGAUACUUAAUGAUGGUUUAACUUAUAUACAAAUUUGUAGUGAGGAUAGGAGGAAGGUAGUACAAUUUUUUAUUAUGCAUCUAAAUCAUGAGCGGAAUUGAGACAAAUUGAGAGAAAAUCCAUUGCUAAGGAUUGUUGAAGAAUUUAAGGAUUUUUUAGAGAUACUGCUAUAAAGUAAGAUUAUAGAAGUCCAGAAGGAGAGGUACUCUCAUGAGAUGUAGGUACCUUUGAUGGAGGAUUUAUUGAUAUUUUUGAGAAUGAAAGUAUUAUAUAUAAGAGGAUUAAAGACUUAAAAAGAAAAAAGAGAAAAUAAUUAUGAGGUAUUAAAAAAGAAUUAUAUGAAUUAAGUAUAUUAGAAGAUAAUAAAAAGAUUACUGGUAUUUAUGAAGAAAAUAGAUUGGAGGAUCUUUUGGAAUAAAUUACUUCUAUUGAAUUAGGUAACAAUGAUAAAAUUAUACCAAUUCUGUGAGUCCCACCCUUGAAUCAUAAUUGGUGGAUUGAUUAAAAAUAUAAUAUUGAGUCAUUUAAUGAGAUAAAUAUUAAGGUUAGAGAGUCUUUUUGACUAUUUACAUAUUUAUUAGAAUUUAGAAGUAUUUAUAAGUAUAAAAGUCUUAUUAAAAGAAAAUUUACAAAAAUAGAAUCUUGAUAAGUCUUGGAGGUAAUUAUUUUAGUUGGUAUAGUAUUUUCACUCAUUAUUAAAUAUUAAUAAUUAGUAAUUGAGACCAAUGUCUAUAUUAGCUUCAUACCUACAUGUAUAAAUUACAAAAAUCCUAUCAAUGAUUAGUUAAUAGUUAAAAAAAGCAUAAAAAAGAACUUCAUGUCUUUUAAAUUAUGUAUAUAGAAAAUAGGAUUUUUAGUAGAUUUAAAUUGAUUUAAUUAUUAUAAAAAAUAAAUAAGAUAGAAAAAUAUAGACUUAUAUGAAUAUUAAUAUUAUAGAAAUAUUAAAGGAUUUUUUUAGCAUUUAUUUAGAAUUUAUUUAUGAUUUUUUAUGAAUUUUUAGAGAAAAAUUUUAAGACCUUGGUAAAAUUGAGUUUUACCACCUUGAGAGCCAUUAUGAAGAAAUGAAGCAAGAUUUGAAGACUAUAUAGAGUAUCUAGGCUAGUUGGAUAUUUUUAAAUACCAUGGUGAAGUCAAAAAUACAAAAAAAGUAGUUUUAUUAGUAGAAAAUAGGAAGACCAGCAGCCAGUAUAGUCCUUGUAGGAAGAGAGGUGCACAAUUCCCAUAUGGAUUGUAGCACUUUGAAUAUAGGUAGGAAGAUAAGACUAAGGCCUCAAGGCCUCUUUAGACAACCAAUAUAUACUACUUGUGAGCCUUGGUGAGGCUCGAACGUUGUCGUAUUACGUGUUUUCUUGCUCGAGAAUGCACCGGGCGUUUGGGUGUAGAAGGUAGUAUGGAGAUUCGCUAAUAUUCAAGCAGUCUAUUGGUUUUGACUGUUGGAAUAUAAACAACUAUAAGAAUAUACCAUAAAUCUAUAUGGAUGUCCUUCGACUGCUCGUCGAAACCCUUUUUGUCCCAGCUGGUAGGUCUCUAGACGUUACAAAAAACCCCGAACAACCCAAUCUGCUAAUCUCUGAUACCGCUUUAUACUCACGACCUUGUAUCCACUGACUGUCUUAUUAGAUUAAUCCAAAAAUUUUCAUUCACUCCGCAUACUCAAUCCUAUAGAGACUUUUUUAAUUCUUCAAUCACAGAUGUAACUUUGAUUUCACAAAACUGUCAAGAGUAAUCACACCUACUUCAUUAAAAAUCUCGAUUCACCAUUACAACACUGACUUCAGCAACAAUUGCCUCGGUCUUUCUAAAACCCUAUGAAGAAAAAAAAACCCCAAUCCUCUGUCUUUUUUUCCUGCCCGAAGCAUGAAGCUAGCUUUCCAACCCUUCUUCAAAAACCUUAUUCUCUCCUCUCCAUUUCUUAACCUAUCCUCCCCUUUAACCCUAAUUCUCCCCUCUUUCAAACCCUAGCCUCUGAAUUUCUUCAAUCUUCUGUCUUGGAUUUGGAAUUGGCUCCCGCCGUCAGAGCUUUCUCCUCCAUUUUUACCUUUAAGAGAUCCUUUUACUGAAAGGACAUUCCUGAAAUGGCACAAAGGAUGGAACAACCUGAAAUGGAAUCGGAACCUCCGUAAUCGGGACCACAUUGAGUCACCCGACCAAUUCAGAUCUCAUAUUGGCUAAGAGGCUCGUAGUAAGAUCUGGAUGUUCCCGUAAUUGGACCGCAUUGGGUUGCCCGACCAAGUCAGGUCUCAUAUUGGGUAAGAGGCCCAUAAUAGGACUUGGAUUAGAUGUCUUGAAAUUGGAUCCAAUUGGCUCUUUGAACCAGGCUCACCCGUCGUUGAAUUGGUCCUUUUCUUUUCUGCUGACUUUUGUUAUUGGAAUCGAACGGAGCAUUUCAGUAUGCCUCGGUUGACUGUAACAGGGUGACUGACCCUGGCCUCUCAAUAUUUGUACUAGAAUUGGUCGUUGCCCUCAAUAUUUGAGGUAACUAAAUAUUAAUAAAAGUCCCCUUUCUUUAUAUUUUCACGGUAUACUCGUGUUACAACACGACAUCCAACCCCUCUAAACCUAUACAUUCUCCGGUAUACACCAAUUUAUCCAAUUGUUGUUUGAUUUAGAAUAUAUCCUCUACGUCUUUGUCUAGUUCGUCUUUGUCACCUUCAUUAUCUAAAUCACUUUCAUCUUCUUGUUGUGGAAUCUCUAUACCUUCAUUAAGGUCUUCCAUAUUCAUCUCCGUGUGUCUUCGUUUAAAUAUUUUUACUCGCUUCCCUACAAUUGGUAUUUUUAAUUUUGUACCAUCUAACUCCCGUAAUGAGUAAGUCGCAUUAUCAUGAACAGUUGUUACUACAUAUGGUCUAAACCAACGUUUUGAAAAUUUCCGCAAAGUACUAUGUUGAUUAUCCAGACUAUUGUCAUAAACAAGUACCCAGUCACCUUCCUCGAUUGCUUUAGGUCUCAAUCGAUGUUGCUUAUCGAAUCGCGCCUUGUUUUGUAACCUUGCGCUUUUUAACCUUUCCAAUGCUAUUUGCACAUCUUCCGAUCUUUGCUCCAAUUGUCGAAUCCUAAUAGCCAAAAGUUCUUCUCUUGCCAAUCCAUCUUUCCAUGGUAGCAUACUCCAAGUAAGUACCUUUUCUUCAAUCGGCAUAAUUGAUUUUCGACCUGUUAUAAGUUCUACUGGCAUAUAUCAUAUCACUGAACUAUGUGUUGUUCGAUCAGCCCAUAAUACAAAUGACAAAAGCCGUGGCAACUCUUUAACUUUCCCAUUACAAACUUUAACUAAUGCUUUCAUAAUCGGUCGGUGACCGCAUUAGCUUUUUGCAUUCCUUUCCGGAUUAAAAGUAGUAGUCAGUGAUAGUUUAACUCCACAUCUUUCAAAGAACUUACGAGCUUUUUGUGCAUUUAAUUCUCCACGAUCUGCAAUGAUUUUUUCUAUGCAUCAGUAGCGGCAAAUGACAUCUUCAAGCAAAAAUCUACAAAUCCCCUUUGUAGAUUUUGUCCUCAAUGCACUUUCUUCUUCUUGAUUUGAUAAAUCUUCACGAGCUAAAACCAAAUAUCUCAUCUGCCAUAACCCAACUGGCAUAAUAACCAAAUCAACAACCCAUUUAAAAUGAAUAGCCAAAGGAUACGUAGGAUGAAGACCAUCUCGAUGUCGGAUAUUAGAAUACCAUUAACAGAUUUCACAUGAUUCUACAAAUGAGAGCACAUCUCGAUACAUAUUUUUCCACCAAUAUCAUUCCUUGAGUUUAGCAAAAGUAGCCCAGAUUCCUCUAUGUCCUGCCCAUAAACUAUCAUGGAACUCCUUUAAUAAUUUUAGUUUUUCUUCUUUUUUGCCUAUCACUCGUUGUGGCAUCUCAAUUCCUUUCUUUGGUCUCUUCCAUAAAAAUCCAUCUUGAAGCAAAAAUCCAUAUGCUUUUUUUCUUAUUUGUUUGAAUUUUUCUGUAGACCAAUUCCCUUGCUUAAUCAAGGUAUUCAAGUAAUGACCAAUAUCCAAUAAUUCUCCUUCAUAAGAUUCUUCAAGAAAUAGCUUGUCUUCUCUGUUGAGAUUUGAUAUUGAAUAGAAUUUCAAUCCGACGUCAUCAAUGUCUUCAAUCAUUUCGUCCUCCCUCUCGUAUCUUGCUCGAGAUAUCAUGUCUGCUACUAAAUUAUCCUUCCCAAUAACAUGCUUAAAUUCUGGAUUUAGUGACUUAAUAUAAGAAAUCCAUCUCAACAUUGCAAUAUCUGGCAUUGAACAGUUAGUAAUCAUUCCAAGCAAUGGCAAGCAAUCUGUUUCAAUUACUACUACUGUCCCAAUCAAAUAGUCCUUUUCAGCUUUCAUAGCCAAAACAACUCCCCAAAGUUUACUUUUGACUUGCGAGUAUGCACACUAACGAAUACUUAAAAAUUUAGCUCCAAAUCGAACUGCAAAUCUAUUCCCACUUGAAUCAUCUUGGCCCAUAGCCCAUCCAAUGGCAAUUGGACUAGCGUCCACAGUAAGAAUCACUGGUCUAUUGUACUUAUAAUGAACCUUCUUCAAUAUUGGAGGUGACAUCAAUAAUUUCUUCAAUCUUUGCAUUGCCUAAAUAUGCCUUUCUUCCCAUUUAAAUUGGUAGCACUUGUGUAACAGUUCAUAUAAUGGAUCCGCUAUGUGAGCAAAAUGAGGGAUCCAGAUUCGAUAAAAUACACAUAUACCUAAAAACCUAUGAACCUCUGUUAAAGAAUUACAAUCCUCUUUCAUCCUUCCAAUUGCAUCAAUUUUAGUCAGAUCUAUUUUUUUUCCGUAAGAUCCACAUAAAUGUCCAACAAUCACAACCUCUCGUACUUCAAAUACGGACUUCAUACCCGAUAAUGUAAGAUGAACUUCUCCAAGCCGAGUUAAAAUCUUUUCACAAUCUUGUAUAUGAUCAACAAUAUAUUUGCGACACCCCCUCGAAUCUAAAGUUUCAUCCUUGUCUCCUUCUCUGCACUCUUUUAUAGGAACAUCAUCCAAAAAAGGCAUAGUCUUUUCCAGAAUAAAAUCUCUCAAUAUCUUAUUCAUCCCAUUCAUCAUAUGCGCAACUGAGUUGGUCGCGCCUUGAGGAAUAGUACACAUUCUAACCAAUCCAAGUGGUGUCCUCAUCGUCGUCAUAUCUCUACUUUCUUCGGCAAGUUGAAAUUGAUCAUAACCUAAAUACAAGUCACCCAUUGAAUAGAUCGCCCUUCCUGCAAACGCCUCAGCAAAUUCAUCCACAAUAGGUCCAAUUCAUGCAUUCCUGAUAGUUACUGCAUUCAUCGGUUGCAUAUCUUGAAUAAACCGUAGUGACCCAUUCUUCUUAGGUACCAUAAACCAUCGACUAGAAUAUGGUACAAAUGAGGGUUUCAAUAUUUUCAUCUUUAUCUUUUCUUUUAAUAGUUCCACCAAUUUAGGUAAAUGUACCCACGGUACUGGAAUCGGUCUUAGAUUCCAAGGUACAUACGAUACAGUGAAGAUAACCAUAGGUGUUAUAAUAUUUGGAUCUACACACCCAAUUUCAUGAGAUUCAAAGGCAAACGAUCUACCUUGUUUAGCCAACAUCUUUUUGAAGCAAGUAAUUUCCUCUCGCAAUAAAGAACCAUCAGAACCAAUCUUCAAUUCUUCAAAAGUCUCUUUAGUAAACUGAUGUCCAAUACUCAUUGGAUCUCUUAAACUUGCUUCUUUUGAUGCUUCUUCAGUUUGUUCUUUAGAAUCUUCUAAUAAUGGUCCGGCAACAGGCUUUAUCUUCUUAUCUGCCGUUUUAUAUCUUGUCUCUAUAGUGACUUCUGGUGCUUGAAAAGAUUCAAGUAUGGUAUAAAUCUCUCUUGAAUGAAUCUCAACAAUCUUAUCAUUAUCCCCUAACUCAAUAGAUGUAAUCAAUUCCAAUGAAUCUUCUAGUCUAUUUUCUUCAUAAAUACCUAAAAUCCUCUCAUCAUCUUGCAAUGUACCUAACUUGCAUAAUUCUCCUUCAAUAUUAUAUAAUCUUUUUCUUUCUUUUUUUUUAAAAUCAUUAACUUUCUUAGACAUGAUAUUUCCAUUCUCCAAAAUACCAAUAAAACUCGCAUCAAAGGCACCUUCAUCUGGCGAGAGUACCUCCUCUUUUAUACCUCCAUAAUCUCGCUUUAUAGUGGUACCUCUCCAAAAUCCUUAAAUCCUUCAACAAUCUUUGGCAAUGGUUUCUCCCUCAACCUAUCUCAAUUCCGUUCAUGGUUAGGAAGUACUGUUAGAAAUUGUACAGCUUUCCUCUCAUCUUCGCUACGUACCCUUGCAUAAGUAGAACCAUCGUCAAGUAAUUUUGUUUCCAUCUGUGUUGCCAUAAUAUAAGGUUGUCCUAAAAUCAACGAAUAAGACCUUGUAUCUUGAACAAAGAAAUGUUGCUCCGUCGCAACAUCCCCAAUCCAAAUUUUGACAUCUGGACAAGCUCCAUAUAAUUCGCCCCGUGUGUUAUUACCUGCUCGUAUUGCCCAUCCAUGUUCUAUGUCAAUUGGCCAUUUUUGCUUCUUAUAAAGAUCUUUAGACAUGAGAUUUAUUUCAGAACCAUGGUCGACUAAAGCAACAAUUGGUUCUUCUAUAUCUCUUACUUUCACCAAUACCUCUAUAGUUGCCCGUGUCCAAUGCUUUCGAGUAUAAUGGCUCAAAGUUUCCAUUUUCUUAUCACUAUUAUCUUCGAAAUGUACUCGUUGAUUAUACCCAUUCUUUUCAUUUUUUAGUUGCUUAUAACCAAUAUCAACCUCUUCUUCAUUUUUAUAUAUUCUUGCAUCAAUAGCAUUACUCAUUCCAGUUUUAUCCAUUAAUUGCCUCUUUCGCUUAAUGUUGUCAAUGAUAACAUCAUGAAACUCCUUCUUUGCAAUUUCCAAAACUUCUUUCAAUGUGAAUUCCACCUUAGCAUUUAAUAUACGUUCUUCCAACACCCCUUUCAAAUUUGUUGCCUCUUAAAUGUCAGAAAGUAGUUUAUAAGCAAUUGAUUUGCCCUUAUCUUUUGUCUCCCUUAUUUUUUCUUCCAAUGAUGUUGAGGUAUCUUUUACAGGCAAUUCUUGUGAAGCUGCCUCCCGAGCCUUGUCUCCUCGAGUUUGCCUCUUAGAAGAAUUUCCUUCUCUUGUAUCAUCAAAAUUUUCUCAUCUCUUUUCUUCCAUCAAAGCUUCAUGUUGGCUCUUAGCAAUAUAUGCAUGAACUGAAAGAGACUCAACACCAUCCUUUCAACCUGUUGCACCUCGUAUUGUAGCUGCAGUCCUCAGUAAUGCUUCUCGAGGUAAUUUCCCUUCUUACAUUGUAGAAAUGGCAGAAGCCCAAAACUCGCUAGUUUCCGUUCUUCUACCAAGGUCAUCAUCUACUCUAGCACCAUAACUUGCACUUUCUCGUGCUGCUGUUUUAUGCUCCUUUAAAUAAUCUUGAACCAAUGCUCUCAUUCCUCCCUUGCCAAAAUUGGUUUGAAGAAGAUCCUCCCUAUCUUUUAAUGCUAUCUUCCCAUCUUUCCAGCAAAUAAUUCCUUGCCGUAUCAUAUUAUUAAAUUCAUUGCAAUCUUUCCUAGUGUGUGAAGCAUCAUCACACCAAAUGCAUCUUUGUACAUAUCCUUGUUUUGAAACAUUCUUCAAAUUGUUUGUAGAAGUAUUCUCUUCAAGUCUUGCCAAUUUGAUUUGAAGAUCUCGCAUUCCUCAUAUAAUUUCUUCCAUUUCCAUAUCUGCUUUCUUUGAUAAGAAUGUCGAAGGUUGAACUGUAGGCAUUGUUGGUGGUGUUGUACGUAUUGGAGCUUUGGAUGCUUGUACUGGUUUCGGAAUAUUGCUCCUAUCCUUCUUCCUUUCUCUUUUUGUAAGCAAUCCCAUCGCAUCUUCAACGUUCUUUCACUUUGUUGUCAAUCCUUCAUCUUCUUCUUUGUCUUCAAGAAGGAGUUCUAAUUUCUCUUGCAAUUCUCCAUCAGCAGCUUGAAGAAAUAGAUCAACUUUGUUCGGCUCCAAUGUCAAUUUUUCUACCUUCGAUAAUUGAGAGUACUUCCUCUCAAAUUCCCUUAGUAGCUCUGUUGCUUGAAAAUUCUUAUUAAGCCAUUCAAUCCAUUCCAGAAACAGCUUCUUAGUAACGCAAUCAGCAUCUUCGAAGAAAUAUUUGUCUUUCAAUGCAUGUGAAAAAAUCUCCCAAAAAUUUCCAUAACGAUCCGUAAUCGAUGUAAUAUGGUCUCUUAUCUCCGGUAUUAUGGCAAGUCCAAAUAAUUCAACCAUUUUCUUCUCAGAAAUCUGAUUUAAUUCCAUUUCAUGAACAUAACAUCUUAAAUACCUUGAAAUAUUCCUUCCAUCAAAUUGAUUAAUUUUAUUGACCACUGCUUGCAAUGCUUUGGUUGCCAAAGCUUCUUUUCGAUCAUUGCUUUGCUGUUGCUGCAUCGAUAAUGAGAAGGCUUGAAACAUACUAGCAAUAAACGAAUCCAUGUGCAUACCUUGUCCUUUAGAAGAAUCCCCUCUAGAACCUCCUCCCAAAGAUCCUUCAAAAUUUUCAUUUUUCGUUCUCCAUAAAAAUAAAAAUAAAAUCAACUGAAAUCCAAUACCUUCUACCUCAAGCUUUUAUGUCGGAUUCACCACUUUAUGUCAUAUUACGUACUUUUCUGCUCGAGAAUACGCUGGGUGUCUGGUUGUAGAAGGUAGUAUGGAGAUUCGCUAAUAUUCAAGCAGUCUCUCGAUUUUUGACUGUUGAAAUAUAAACAACUAUAAGAAUAUAUCGUAAAUCUAUACAGAUGUCCUUCGACUACUCGCCGAAAUCCUUUUUGCCCCAGCCGGUAGGUCUCUAGACGUUACAAAAAACCCCGAACAACCCAAUCUGCUAAUCUCUGAUACCGCUUUAUACUCACGACCUUAUAUCCACUGACUGUCUUGUUAGAUUAACCCAAAAAUUUUCAUUCACUCCGCAUACUCAAUCCUAUAGACACCCUUUUAAUUCUUCAAUCACAGACGUAACUUUGAUUUCACAAAACUGUCAAGAGUAAUCACACCUACUUCAUUAAAAAUCCCAAUUCACCAUUACAACACUGACUUCAACAACGAUUGCCUCGGUCUUUCCAAAACCCUAUGAAGAAAAAAAAAUCCCAAUUCCCUGUCUUUUUUCCCCGCCCGAAGCAUGAAGCUAGCUCUCCGACCCUUCUUCAAAAACCUUAUUCUCUCCUCUCCAUUUCUUAACCUAUCCUCCCCUUUAACCCUAAUUCUCCCCUCUUUCAAACCCUAGCCUCUGAAUUUCUUCAAUCUUCUGUCUUGGAUUUGGAAUUGGCUCCCGCCGUCAGAGCUUUCUCCUCCAUUUUUACCUUUAAGAGAUUCUUUUACUGAAAGGACGUUCCUGAAAUGGCACAAAGGAUGGAACAACCUGAAAUGGAAUCGGAACCCCCGUAAUCGGGACCACAUUGAGUCGCCCGACCAAUUCAGAUCUCAUAUUGGCUAAGAGGCUCGUAGUAAGACCUGGAUGUUCCCGUAAUUGGACCGCAUUGGGUUGCCCGACCAAGUCAGGUCUCAUAUUGGGUAAGAGGCCUGUAAUAGGACUUAGAUUGGAUGUCUUGAAAUUUGAUCCAAUUGGCUCUUUGAACCAGGCUCAUCCGUCGUUGAAUUGGUCCUUUUCUUUUCUGCUGACUUCUGUUAUUGGAAUCGAACGGAGCAUUUCAGUAUGCCCCAGCUGACUGUAACGGGGUACUGACCCUGGCCUCUCAAUAUUUGCACUAGAAUUGGUCGUUGCUCCUAACAUUCAAGGUAACUGAACAUUAAUAAAAGUCCCCUUUCUUUAUAUUUUCACGGUAUACUCGUAUUACAACACAACAACGUUUGAUUUCUUAAACAAGUUAUCCUUGAGGUAAAACUUAUUUACUUAAUUUUUCUAUUAUUUAUAUUCUAUCUUUAAUCUAUCAUAACUUAUUCAUAGUAACUUUGAAUUACAUGAUUUUUAUGUCAUUGAAAGUAUAAAAAAAUUAUCUAUCUAAAAAUAUAUAUUUUUUAUUUUUUAUUUUUAUUUUUUUAAAUAAAAAUCUAAUGAAAAAACUAUGAGUUAUUUUUGGAUAUUGUGAUUACUUUAUUUCAUUUCUUUCACUUGUACUAUGGUUGUUCCUCUUGAUUUUUGCCAAUUCUUUCACUUUACACCACCACUUACAAAUAAAUCUUAAUUAAAGCCAUCUUGUAAUUGGAAUUGAGGAGUGAAAUUUACACUCAAAAAUUCAUUUAAGAGAAAUAUAUGAUAUGAUUGAAUCUUUUCAAACACUAGAGGUUAUAGUUGAGAUAAAAUAUAAGAUUAUAAAUAAGAAGGUAAAAUCCAUUGUUGAAUCUUUGCCAUGAGAUUUUAAAGAAUAAAUGGAAGAAGCAUCGAGGAAAAGGAGCUUGAGGGAUCCAAAGAAUAUUAGAUACAAAUUCACUAAAGAGACUUUUGAAGAAUUGAAGAUUAAUUUUGAUGGUUCUUUAUUGCUAGAGGAAAUUAUUUACUUCAAAGAAAUGUUGGCAAAACAAGGUAGAACAUUUACCUUUGAAUCUUAUGAAAUUAGAUGUGUAAAUCCAAAUAUUGUAAUUUCUAUGGUUAUUUUCUUUGUACCACAUGUACCUUGGAAUUUAAGGCCAAUUCUUGUACCAAGGAUACAUUUACCAAGUUUAGUGGAAUUAUUAAAAGAAAAAAUGAAGAUGAAGAUUUUGGAGCCUUCUUUUGCAUCAUAUUCUAGUCAAUAGUUUAUAGUACCUAUGAAAAAUGGAUCAUUAUGAUUUAUUCAAGAUAUGCAACUAGUGAAUGCAAUAAUUAUUAAGAAUACAAGAAUUGGGCCUAUAGUAGAUGAAUUUAUUAAGGCAUUUGCAGGAUGGAUAAUUUAUUCAAUUAAUAAUUUGUAUUUGGGCUAUGACUAAUUUCAACUUGUAGAAGGGAGUUAAGAUAUGACAAUGAUAAGAACACCACUUGGGUUAGUUAGAAUGUAUACUCUUUCUCAAAGUGCAAUUAACUCAAUUGCACAUAUGAUAAACAUGAUGAAAAGGUGUUGAGAGAUUUUAUUCCUAAGAAGACUAUACCUUUUUUAGAUGAUGUUUCUAUAAAGAGAUGCAAAGAAGAAGACAAGGAUGAAACUUUAGAUAAGAAGGGGUGUCGCAAAUAUAUUCCAGAUCAUAUACAAGAUUAUAAAAAAAUACUAAUUUGGCUUGGAAAAGUUUAUCUUAUAUUAUUGGAUAUAAAAUCUAUAUUUAUAGUAUAAGAGGUCGUGAUUAUUAGACAUUUAUGUAGAUUUUAUAGAAAAAAAUUUGAUCCAACUAAAGUUGAUAUAAUUGGAAGAAUGAAAGAGGAUUAUAGUUCUUUAAUAGAGGUUUGUAGAUUUUUAAGUGUAUGUGUAUUUUAUCAUAUUUGGAUUCUUCAUCGUGCUCACAUAGCAGAUAUAUUGUAUGAAUUUUUAUAUAAGGAAUAUCAAUUUAAAUGGGAAAAAAAAGCAUAUUAAAGUAAUAUAAAUAUUGAAGAAAUUAUUGACAUCCCCACCAGUGUUGAGAAAAAUUGAAUAAAUCCAAUAGACCAAUGAUUCUUACAAUGGAUACUUGUUCAAUUGCCAUUGGAUAGGCUAUAGGUCAAGAUGAUUUAAAUGGAUACAGAUUUGUAGUACGAUUUAGAGCUAAGAUUUUAAGUACUCGACAAUGUGCAUAUUCAUAGGUAAAAAGAGAACUAUAGAGAGUUGUUUCAGUUAUGAAAGCUGAAAAAGAUUAUUUGUUUGGGGCAAUGGUGAUAAUUGAAAUGGAUUAUUUGCCUUUACUUGGAAUGAUUACCAAUUCUACAAUACAAGAUAUUACAAUGUUGAGAUGGAUUGCUUAUAUCAAGUCAUUAAUUCCAAAAUUUAGACAUGUUGUGAGGAAAGACAAUUUGAUAGCAAAUAUUUUAACUUAAGUAAUAUAUGAUAGAAAAGAUGAAAUGAUUGAGGAUGUUGAUGAUGUAGAUACAAAAUUUCAUUCGGUUGUACAAUUGAACAAAGAAGAUAAGCCAUUUCUUGAAGAAAAUUAUGAGAAAGAAUUAUAGGAUAUUAAACAUUAUUUGAAUACAUUAAUCAAGCGUACUAAUUGGUGAAUUGAAAAAUUUAAAUAGAUUAAGAAAAAAACAUAUAAAUUCAUAUGAUAAGGAAGAUUUCUAUUGAAGAGGCCAAAAUCAAAUAUUGGAAUGCCACGAUGAAUAGUAGGUACCAAGAAAGAUUAACAAAGACUACUUAAGUAGUUUCAUGAUAGUCUAUAGAGGAAAUAUAGAGGAUUUUGGGCUACUUUUACUAAAUUGAAGGAACGAUAUUGGUAGAAGAAUAUGUACCAAGAUGUAGCUUUAUUUGUAGAAUCUUGUGUAUUUUUUUAGAUGUAUUCAAAUAUAUGAUUUUAAGAUGAGUUACAUUUGAUAUAUCCCUUGGCUAUUCAUUUUAAAUAGAUUGUGGAUUUGGUUAUUAUGCCAAUAGAACUAUGGCAAAUGAGAUAUUUUGUUUUGGCUUGUGAAGAUUUAUCAAACCAAAUAGAAGGAAAGACACUAAGGAUAAAGUCCACAAAAGAAAUUUUUAGGUUUUUACUUGAGGAUGUUAUUUGUCGCUAUAGAUAUGUAGAAAAGAUCACUGCAAAUUAUAGAGAAUUGGAUGCACAUGAAGCUCGUGAAUUUUUUAAGAGAUGUUAGAUUAAAUUAUUAUUGAAUAUUGCUUAUAAUCUAGAGGAGAAUGCUAAGAGUAAAUAUAGAUAUCUAUUAAUUGUAAAAACAUUAGUUAAAACUUGUAAUGGAAGAGUGAGAGAAUGGCCUUGACUUCUAUCUUAUGCAUUAUAGGCUGAUCAAACAAUACAUAGUUCAAUGAUAGGAUAUGUGCCAAUGGAACUUAUGACAGGUCAAAAACUAAUUAUGCCAAUUAAAGAACAUGUGCCAACUUAGAAUAUGCUACUAUGGGAAGAUAGAUUGACGAUAGAGGAAUUAUUAGCUACUAGAAUUCGACAACUUGAACAAAGAUUAGAAGAUAUGGGACUAGCAUUAGAAAGGUUACAAAAGGCAAGGUUAGGAAAUAAGACUUGAUUUAAUAAGCAAUAUUGAUUGAGACCUAGAGUAAUUAAAGAUGGUGAUUGGGUACUUAUUUAUGACAAUAAUCUAGAUAACCAACAUAGUACUUUGCAAAAGCUUUCAAAAUAUUGAUUUGGAUCAUAUAUAAUAAUAAUGAUUUAUAAUAAUACCACAUAUUCAUUAAAGGAGUUAGAUGGUACAAGGUUGAAGAUACUUAUUGCUUAGAAGCAAGUGAAGAUUUUCAAAAGACGAGAUAAAAAAAACAAUAUGGAGGAUUAUACUGAUGAUAUCAAUAUUUUUGAAGAAGACAAUAGAAAUGAAGGGUUUGAUAAAAAUAAUAAAGAGAUGGUAUGAUGUCAAUAAUGACAGAUGGUUCAUUGACACAUGUUGAAGGAUGCGCAAGUUAAGAAGAUGUGGAUGUCAUAAUGUAAUAUGAUUAUAUAAUGAAAUUAUAAUCAUAUUAAAUUAUUAAAUAAUAUCUAAUUAUCUUAAUUUAAUAAUAAUUCAAGGUAUCUAAACAUGGCUUUUAUGAAAGCUUCUUAGAUUAUUUUCUUCUCUUAAUAGUUAGUAGAUUCAAGGUUGAUUAGUACUUUUACCUUCUAGGUUGUAGAGACUCUUUUAUUACCUUAAAAAGACCAUAUAUUAAUAAAAUCAAGUUAGAAGAGGUAAAUAAUUAAUAUAGUUGAUACUAAGAUUAAGUUGAGGAUAGGAUUGGGCUAAAAAAUCCUUAAAAUAAAUUAGAUUGAUAUCCAAAGGUCGACCGUUUAUAAGAUAGGAUUGAACUCAGACCUCUAGCCAUUGAAACUACCACUUAGGACAAAAUAGGUGUGUAUUUGAAGAUCAAAGAAUAGAAUUUAAGAGUUAGGUUAGAGCUUGUUUUAAAGACAUAAGGUUGAUUUUGGUAGGAUUUGUUUAGACUUAAAAAUUAUUGUUGAAAGUGAGAGUUUGUAUUGGCAAUAUGGAAUUUAUGUAAUGAAGUUAGAGCUAACACUGUCGGCUAGUUUGUAAAAUUAGUGUCACAUCUAUAAUUCAAAUUUUGAAAGUGCUUGGUUAAUUAGGUGUGCUAAGUGUAUGUAAAAUUUUGUAAUAAUCCAACUGUGCUAUUGAGAGAUAUCUGGGUUUUGAUACAAGAAUAUAUUAGAAGUUGGCAGUUUUAGGUUGAAUAGGGUUUCUAUGAUAUCUAAAGAUCUAUUAGUCAGAUCAAGGUGAACUUGGCAUUGCAUUGGAAGACUUAAAGAUCAAGCUGUAGACCAAUUUUGAAUUAAAUUUAAUAAUUCGAUAAGGAGAAAUCAUUCCGUGAAUAUUUGCAUCAACUUUUAAGUUGGCAGCAAAGUAACAUCAAUAUGGUUUUUGGGCAUUUUUUCACAAUUUGUAAGUGGAAUUGAAGUAAAUUCUUACUAAAAACAUAAAAGACUUGUAGUGGCAUUUGUGUGCAAAUUUUUACUCUAAAUGAAUGAUUAAAUCACGAGCUACAGUUUGUUAAAGCUUGCUAAUUAAUAUUAAGGUUUUUAAAGAAAGUUCAAAAUUACCUAAUUAUUGAAGUAAAAAGACAAUUGGAAUUUAUGUAUGGUUGAAACUACUAAGAAGAGUGUUUUUGAGUGCUUUGUAUUGGAUUCAAGCACUUUUGAAUUAAAAUUCAAAUUGUAUUCUUCUUAUAAGGACAAAAUAAAUUUGGAUUUAUAGAUAUUUAUAAAACAAAAUUCUACCUUCUCCAAUCAAAUGCUUGAUGCAUUCUCAAAUAGGACAACAUGUAAUAGAACAAUGUUGUAGCAUCAAUAUCCAAGUGCAUUAUGGUCUAGGGAAGUUGCUUCAAGAAUUGAUCUAUAAAGAUAGUAAUUGUGAUAUGAUUAUGAUGCAUCUAUGACAAACACAUAUUAAGAUCUAUAGUCAUUUAUUCCCAACAUGCCGUAAGUAGUAGAAUUGGCUACAAUAGUCUAAGAAAUACUACAUUGUAUACUUUGGUACAUUGAUAUGACUCGCAAGAACAUACAAAGAUUCAAAAAUCACUAUCCAAACCUACCUAAAAUCAUAUCUUUGAGAUCCAUUGUAGAAUCUUUUUUAUAACUUCUAUCUUAUCUCUUGUUUCAUCCUUGAAGUUUGGUCUCUAUAAUAAGUUGUUUGGCAUAGUAUGUUGUCGCCCUUGCUUGUAUUUAAGCUGUAUAUCAAAAAGUUAUAACUUUUUUUUUCAAUAAUAAUGCCACAAUUUCAUAUUUUUUAGAUGCAAAUCAUGUAGUAAAGGCUGAUGGUCAAUCCAAACGAUUGUCACAAAUUUAGAAUACUAAUUAAAAAUCUAAAUAAGAAGCUCAAGAAGAAUCGAGAAGAACCAGAUUAAUCAGAUGAGUACAAGAACAACACUAGGGACGUGAGCUAGAGCUCCAAGAGGUGUGUUGUCAAGACUAAGGAUCCCUUCAAUCUCGGCUCCUAUAUAUACUACAAGCUAGGAAGCUUCUCAAGUAGCUUCCACAAACUAAGAAGCUUCUCAAGCAGCUUCUAUAAGCUUGAAAACUUUUCAAGUAGCUUCUACAAACUACAAAGCUUCUCUAGAACCUUGUAGAAUCUUCUACAACUUCUUAGUGUAUGUUCUUGACAUCAUCCCUCCUUUUAGCUUUGAGGUCUCUGAGAAACACUCCUAUUGCAAGUCAAUACCAACAUAAGAAGUUGAAAAUUUGUUGCAUAGUGUCUACAAUAUACUCUAAUUUUUGUUCACAUGACAAGUAGUUCAUUGGUCCUUGUAACCAGCGAUAGUGUCCUAUGUCUUCAAUUUUUGACUAAGCAUGAACUUCCGUGUCUUCAUUGUAAAAAUGCCCUAUAAAUACUCCUUCGAAAAGAUCACCAUAGGUAGGUUCUACCUCAAACACAAUCACUAGCGACCUGUUACUAGGUAUCCUUUGUUGUCUUUGUAGUACAUACGGUUCUUCAUCUUAGGAUCAUCUUUGUGAGAUACUCGAAUGACAAGAUAUGACUGGUAUGGUAUCUAUCUCUUAGCUAUCCAUAUCAGACCAAAAAAAUAAGUACUAAACAUGGAAGAAUGAGCUCAGAUUACAAAUUUAGAGUCUCUAAUUAUAUCUUUUAGAAGUUCCUUCUUCUUUUUCUUUGUAAGGCAGAGGAUUAAGAGGCUUCAAGGAGGAGAGACUUCACUGAAAAACUUUCAUCUAAAGAACUUAGGUUUUUGAGGAUAGCAUCAAUGAAACUCUUGUAUCUUUUGCGAUGCAUUGAUAAGAUUUUUUGCUGGUUCCCAUGUGCGCUUAUUGAUAUCAUAGCUGCUUCAAUGCACUAGGUACUCUAAUUUUCGCUCCUUACAUUGUAAAUCUAGUAUCUUUUCUACCUCGUAUUCCUUGUGGUUUUCAAUUUCAAUACUAGGUGGCAAACAUUGCACUCUUCUAGGAAAAGACAACUCUCAAUAAGGCUCUAAGAAAGAAACAUGAAAAAUUGGGUGUACUUUCAUAGCAAUCGGUAAUCCCAGACGGUAUGCCAUUGGAUUGAUUUGCUUCUGGAUGACAAAUGGUCCUAAUCUCUGGUAGUCCAACUUAUCACAUGGCCACUUGGUUUUGAUAUUUUGUUGAAGCAGCCAUACUUCAUCUCCAAUUUUGAAAGUAGAUGCCUGAUUUCAAAAAAAAUUUGCAAACACCUUGUAAGUUUUUUGGGAAAUUUGCAAUUGAAGCUUCAACGUAGUUUGAAGCUCCAAUAGUUGUUUCAUAAAUCCUUCAGCUAUUGAGUUGUUAUUAGUUAAUGGACUCAAUAAAUCAAGCUUCCAAUGAUACCCAUAGUUAGAAAAGAAUGGUGUUUAUUGACUCGACGCAUGAAGGGUGUUGUUAUAUGUAAACUCGACUAACGAUAGAUAUGCAAUUCAAUCAAUUUGGUGAUAGUUGAUGCUGCAUCGUAAAUACUGCUCUAAAAUUUGAUUUAUCCAUUCCGUUUGGCCGUUAGUUUGAGGAUAGAAAGCCAAAGAAAGCUUGAUAUCCACCUUCAAUAUCUCAAAGAGAGAUCUCUAGAACUUUGAUACAAAUUGGGUUCCUCGAUUUGACACAAUAUCAUCUCGUAAAUCAUGAUAUCGAUAUAUACCAUCAAAGAAGAGCCUUGCUGUGUCUUUGCUUGAUGAUGUUUUCUUGCAAGGGACAAAGUGUGCCAUCUUUGUAAGCCGAUCUACCACAAAAAAGAUGUUGUCAAAUGAAUUUGAUGGUGGUAAGUCCUUAAUGAAGUCCAUGGAAAUUGAAGACCAUAGUCGACAUGGAAUAGGCAAUGGCUGAAGAAGACCAUAAAGAUGAUGUUGAGGGUUCUUAGAUCUUGAACAAAUGUCACAUGAGAAGACAAAAUCCUUAACAUCCUUCCACAUUUGGGACCACCAAAAAUCUCUAAAAAUAAGUUCCAAGGUCUUAUUGAAUCCAAAAUGUCCCGUAGUUGGAAAGUUGUAUCGGGAUUGGAGAACUCAUAGUUGUGCUGGUCCCUUUGGAAUAUACAAUCGCUCCUCAAAGUAUAAAAGAUCUCCUUCUACCUUAAACUUGUCAUUAUUGACACAUUGCAUGAUAUCGAGGGCUAUAGUAUCUCCAAUAGUCACUGUAUGUAUCUAGUUGAGGAAGUCAACAUCAAUUGGCACUAUAGUAGAGCAAAGCCUAAACUAUUUCGACUUCAACAAUGUUGUACACUAUUGAUCAAACUGCGCUUCUCUAUGCUUUGGUGCUAGAUAUGAUUUCCUUGAUAAUGCAUUGAAUAGUCCUUGUUGCUUUCGAAGCUGAUAAGUAAUAACAAAGUCAAACCUCGAUAGUAACAUAUUCCAUCGAGCUUGACAACAAUUCAAAACUCGAGCCGACAUGAAGUACUCUAAAUUCUUGUGAUCCGUGUAUAUGGUGUCGGGAUAGAGAGAGUUUGUCUCAAGAAAGCAUUGGGCUUCUAGCUGCUACUAAAUACUCAAUCAAGUCUAAGAUAUAAAAUACCAAGUUUAUACAUAUAAUAUUUUCUAUUUUAGGACAAUUAUAUCAAAACACAAAUCCAAGUACCAAGAAAACACCCAAAUGUAUGAUAAAGAUCUUAAAACCUUAUAUAUCCUUAUGAGAGAAGUUUCUAGAACUUCAACAACUCAUAUCUCACGAUCGGACUAUUUAAACAACCUUGAAAUUUACAUGAAAUACUGAUAUACUUUCAAAAACUUCCACAAAAAAAUUCAACGGUAAAAUCAUCACGGAUCUUGAGAUAUUGCCAAAACCCUAAUAGUAGCUUUAAACCCUAGCUUACAUACACCCGUGUGCUAAUUUCUUCAUAUCUCACAAAACAAGUACUCAAAUACCAUGAAAUUUUGAUAUAUAGCCUCUUAACUCAAUAAUUUUGAGCCAAAAAUUCGUCCAAGAACUCAACAUAUGACUCCAACCAUUACUAUCAACAAAAUGACUCACUUACUACCUUUGAAUUAUAUGUGCUGUCUUUAAAUGUCUAUAACUCCUUCAUCUAGACUUGAAAUUCAUCAAACAAUAUAUGUAAAGUGUAGCCAAGAAAGUGUCUUCUUCAAAUCCAGUUGCCGAUCUUUCAUUUCUUACUAUAUGCAUAUGUUAUGCUUCAAAGAGUGACAGUAGGUACAAAUUCGACAUCUUACUUUUGAACACCUAUAUCACCUUCACAAAAACUCGAAAUCAUACAAACUUUUCACCCAAAUUAUAUCCAAAACCCUGAAAACUCUGACUCUAGCCUCCAAAGCUCGAAUGUCUCCAAAAGAGAAAUCCUAAUCCCUAAUAUGGCCUCGGGCAGCCUCCUUGAAGCCCAUUGGACAUGGCCUUCGACCAAUAGGAAUGAAGAUCUCCAUUCCUUACCUUCAUCCAACCAUGCCUUGCUUUCAUCCCUUCCAAUAAGCCUCCUAUUAGUUAAAAUUUUCUUCUUUAGGCUCUAAUCUCCUCUCAAGGCUUUAUACUAAAUAUUUAGGUCUUAUGAUUGUUUUAAAUGCUAUAAUCAAAAAAGAUAAAAUUUAAAAUAAAGUUUCUUAAAUCCAAUCUCUUUAAAUUAAUCUAUUUAACCAUUCUAACAUACACCAAGACUAAUGAAUAUAUUAUAUAUUCUAACUAAUUUUUACAUACUAUAAGCUUUUACAAUAUAACAAUGUAGCAAGAGCAUUCAUAAUGGCAUCCAACUUGGACUCCAAACUUUCAGUCAUACUAAUAUCUUAACCUCCGACCAUUCUAAGAGAAGGAAAGAAAUGUCUCUAUAAGAAUGUAGUAUUGGUUUAGAUGAGGGUACUCCACAACCUCUAAAAUGCCUUAAAACUUUUAAGAAGAGGGGUAAUCCACUCUCUCCAAGAAAGAUAAAAUUCUAAUAUUAUAAUAGAAGAAAUAUCAGUUUAGAGGAGGAUAAUCCAUAACCUCUAAAAUGCUAGCACCUUCAAGCAAAGGGAUAAUUUACACUCUAACAAGAAGGAACUAGCUCUGAUAUGAAAGAUGAGUGUAGUCUCGAUAAAUUGUUACGAAUUUAGAAUACUGAUUGGAAAUCUAAAUAAGAAGCUCAAAAAGAAUCGGCAAGAACUAGAUUAAUUAGAUGAAUAUAAGAAUAAUACUAAAGAAGUGAGCUAGAGCUCCAAGAGGUGUAUUGUCGAGACUAAGGAUCCCCUCAAUUUUGGCUCCUAUAUAUACUAUAAGCUAAGAAGCUUCUCAAGUAGCUUCUACAAACUAGAAAGCUUCUCAAACAGCUUCUACAAGAGGAAGCUUCUCAAGCAGCUUCUACAAGCUAGGAAGCUUCUCAAGUAGCUUCUAUGAGCUUGAAAACUUCUCAAGUAGCUUCUAAAAACUACAAAGCUUCUCUAGAAACUUCUAGAAUCUUCUACAGCUUCUUAGUGUAUGUCCUUCAUAAGAACUACUAGCUUUUUCAAUAGAUAGUAUCGCCAUACUUUUGUAGCAUGUAUAAUCGAUAUUGUUCUCGAUCAUGUGUAGAGUAAUUGUACUCUAUCCUUCAGAGCUUGCAUGAUUCAUAUGCCAUAAGUUGAAGGUCCCUACCAAAAUCUUCUUAAAGGAUUAUUCCAAUAGCAAAGUCAAAAGCAUGAAUAUCAAUUGUACAAGGAAGAUUAGAAUGAUACAAAUGUAAUAUUAUAAUAGUAAUGAGUGCCUCUUUUAACUUAUUAAAGGCAUUUUACUACUCUAGUUUUUAUUCAAAUGAGGCACCUUUUUCUUAUAGGUUUGUCAAUGAGGUAGUAAUGUGAACAAAUUGCUAAACAAAACGACGAUAAUAUCUAAGAAGGCUUAAAAGUGAGCAAACUUUAGAAGCAUCUUUGGAGGUUGGCUAAUCUUCCACUACUUUCAUCUUAUCUUGCUCCAUACGCAUGCCUUUAGAGGACACUUCAUGUUCCAAAAAUGUGACUUUUGACUUCCUAAGUUCACAUUUUGAUUGCUUGUAAUAGAAGUAAUUAUCUUAUACUUGGUGCAACACUUCUCAUAGGUGUUGUUCAUGCUCUUCAAAAUUUUUACUAUAUAUAGAGAUAUCAUCAAUGAAGAUGAUUAUAUACUUGUCUAAAAGGUCUUGAAAUAAUAUAUUCAUUUGAUCCAUGAAAGAGGCUAGAGCAUUGGUGUGGCUAAAAGGUAAAACUAGCCAUGCAAAAUGUCCAUAGUAUGUACAAAAUACCAUCUUUUUUACAUCUUAUCUUGCAAUAGAUGUGUGCCAAUAGCUGCUCCAAAAAUCCAAUUUAUUAAAGAUGGUUAUACCUCAAAGUUGAUAAAAAAAAAUCAUCCAUGCAUAAAAAUAAAUAUGUAUUUUUAAUAGUUUACUUAUUGAAGUUUUAAUAGUCAAUGCAAAGGCAAAAUCCACUAUCUUUAUUAGAUGUAAAGAAUACAAGUCUUUUCUAUGGCGAUGUACUUUCUUAAGUGAGGCCUUUCUCUAAGAGUUCAUCCAAUGUCUUCUAUAGCUCUUCAAAUUCUUUUGGUGCUAUGUGUGAUUGUUAUUUUACUUACUCUAGACUAAUCUAAUCGAAAUAAACUUAUAUAGAAGGAUUCAAAAAUAAAGAAAGACUAUCUACAUGAGUUUUCACGUUAGGGUCACAUAAUUAAUUGUCUCCUGAUUGACUAAAAUAACCAAGAAUGCUAUAUGUCUUCCGUAUUAUAUCAAAAAAAAUAUUACAUUUGAUAAUUCUAUCUUAUCGAUUCACUGUCUCUUUUUUUUUCUAAACUUAUGAUAAUAAUAGAUAAUACUAUACUAUCUUAAAAGAUUGCAUAAAAUAUUCUAUAAUUAAAAUCACUGGAAUUCUCCAAAACUAACUAUUAUUUUCACUAAUCUUGUAAGGUAAGUUAUCUACAUAUGCACGACAUCGUUAGCUUGUUCUACAAGCUACUAUACAGAAUUAACUUGUUCCAUAAGUUACCAACAAGUGGUUAACUUGUUGGUCAAGUUUUCAACCUACAAACUCAUCUAAAGUCAAACCACAUCUGUGAAACUUUUAAAAAGCUUCACUAAAAGACUUUAUAAAAAAAUCUAUAUUUAUCUACCUCUAUCUAAUCAUAUAAGUAAUUAUUGAGGUAAAUAUAUAUGCUUGUAAUAUUACUCCCCUUUCUAGAGACAAGUUCUACAAAAAGUAGUCUUCAUAUGUUGAAAAAGUCCAUGAUGCAAUAAAUUGUAUUUGCUACAUACUCUGAUCUUGACUCACUUCAAAGAUGGUUGAUAGGCUCUCUGAGCCAUUGAUAGUUCCUCAUAUUGAGGCAGAAGACCACCUUGUUAUUUGAUUGUCCUUGAGGCCUUUUUAACUUUCUUCAAAUAAAAUAAUUAAGACAUCGUUAGGAGUUGUUCCUAUCUCUAAUAAAAUCACUAAACAACAAGAGUCUCUUCCAAGGUCGUGAUACCAAACAUAUUGUCGUAUGGCAUGAUUUGCUAUCUGAGAAUACACUAGAUAUCUAACUGUAGAGAGUUUAGCUUAAACCUUUGUAUCAAUCUUGUCUUAGCUUCUAAAACUCCUUUGAUUUGCAUAAAACUCAAAAUAUAACAAAAUCCCUUCAAAAUAAAUUUUUUCCGCAAAGGGUUUUUUUUUUUCAAACUUGAAAAAUUCAUAAUUCUUGAUCUAGCCGUUCAAUUUGUUUCAAAUUUAUAUAAUAGGUAGAAAUCACCUUUAACUUUUAUUAAAAAAAAAAUCAACUACAAAUUCACUUCCGAUCUUUUGGCAUCUAAGAAAUCCUAGCAGAUGCUCUAAACCCUAAUUUACAAGCACCUGAACACUAUUUUCUUAAUAUCUCAAGAACCCAAUACUCAAAUAUCAUCAAACUUAUGUACAAAGUUUAUUAACAUGAAAUUACACAUUUCUUGAAAUUUUGAGCCAAAAUAUUGUCAAAUUGCUCAAGAUAUAGCUCAAGACACAACCACUAGUAAAUUAGAUCACUUACUAUCCUUAGAUUGAAUGUGUUGACUUCAAAAAUCCAAUAACUCCUUCACUUCAACUUGAGAUCCAGCAAGCAAUACAUAAAAAAUAUAGCCGCAAAAGUUUUCUCUCUAGUCGCAGUUGCCGAUCCUCAAUUGGCAUCUGUACGCAUGCGUUAUGUCAAAAAGAGUGACAGUAGCUCCCAAAUUAAUACCUUAACUUUGAGCACUUAUAUCUCCUUCAAAUAAAUUCCAAAUCAUACAAGAUUUGUACCAAAACUAUAGCCAAAAAUCUAAAAUUAUUGACCUUAGCCUUCAAAACUCAAAUGGCUUUGAAAAAUUAACCCUAAUCCCUAAUACGGCCUUGGGUAGCCUCCUCAAAGCCUAUUAGUCAUGAUUUUUGACCAAUAGGAAUGGAGAUUUUCAUCAUUCAUCUCCAUUCAUCUAUAUUGGUGCCCUAAUUAUUCCCUUUACUACCAAAAUCCUUCUUCAAUCUUUUUUCUUAUAAGAUUUGUAUAAUUUAUGCUCUAAACAUCAAAUAAAAGAAUCAAAAUAAGUUUUCAAAGGUCACUAAUGUCUAACAAAAGUGACUCUAAAUAUUUAGAAGUUACUAUCAACCAAAACCAAUCUUAAAAGAUACUAUCAAAAGAAAAUUAAAGUUAUACAAAUUCUAUAGUUAUCUUUUUAAACAACCUCUUUUCAGGGCAAUAAUCAAAUUAUAUUCUACAACCAACUAAAAUCUACUAACAUAGCUCUCACCAUGUUAUUUAAUAAAUUAAAUAUUAAGUACAUAAUUAUAUUAUUUUUAUAUAGUAGCCAAAGCACAACAUGACAACGUUCUAUCUUAUCAUCUAUUUGAGGAAGGAUAUAUCGUUCUUGAAGAUCUUUGAAGUUUUUGAUUUCAAAAUCUUGAAGGUUGUGACAAUUGCAAUGUCUCAUUUAGUAAGUCCGCAAAUAAAAGCUCUUAAGUUGAAUUUGCUGAUUGUUGGUUCUCCAUCUCUUGAAUAUCACAAUUAUACAAAAGUUAUAAAGAAACAUAGAAAGUAGAAUGUUAUCUUUGUUUGAUCUUUUUUCUUUUAUAGCAAAGAUUUGUUAUUCUUCAUCUUAAUUUUGAUGGAUUUUAUUGAUGAAAAGCUUCAACUUUCUUUAUUUUAUUUACAAGGUUCUUUGAUGGCUCCUAUGCAUAUUCACUAAUAUCAUAUCCAUGCCAAUGAAUAAGAUAUUUUAACUUAUUUUGGUGCUACUUUUAGUCUAAAACUUCUUCUACCUUGAACUCUUGAUUAUAAUUCAAUUCUAUAGGAAGAGAUGGCAUUUGUCUUCUUCUCAAGUAUUCGCUAUCUUAUAUGGUUCCAAAAAAGAUAUGUAAAUAUAAGGUAGAGCUUCAUAGACUUUAGUAGAUGUAAUCGAUAAGCAACAAGAUUGAUUUAUUCACAAAUAGAAAAUUUCCUAGCCUACGAUAGUCUAACUUAUUACAAAGACAAGUAGUCUUGAUAUUAUGAUGAAGUAACCAUACCUUAUUACAUAUGUUGAAUUAUGGUUGCUCUUUGUAAUAGGCAUCUGCAUUAGUAUUUUACCAUCUAAGAGCUUCUUUUAAUUAUAUCUUUAUUCUUGCAUAUAGCUAUGACAAAUGAUUUGCUAAAUCUGUUGCCAUAAGAUUAUUAACUUUUGAAAUAUCAAAAGUAUCAAGUCAUGAAUGAUAAUCAUAACUAGCAAAGAAAGAUAUUUGUUGAAUAGAAGAAUGUAUCAAAUUAUUAUAUGCAAACUCUGCCAAUGGCAAAAGAGUUGUCCAAUCAUCUUGAUGAUAAUUAAUAAUACACCUCAAAUAUUGUUCCAUAAUUUGAUUCAUUCAUUUCGUUUAUCUAUUAGUUUGACGAUAAAAAGUCAAAAAAAGCUUUAUAUCCAUGUUUAAAAUAUUCAAUAGGAUUGUCCUAAAUCUUGAUAUAAAUUGAGUCCCCUUAUUUGAUAUAAUAUCUUUUAAAAAUCCAUAACAUCAAUAGAUAUUGUUGAUAAAAAGCUUAGCUAUUUUUUCACUUGAAAUAGAUUUUGUACAUGGUACAAAAUGUGUCAUUUUGGUGAAGUGAUCUAUGAUUAUGAAUAUAGAAUCAUAUGAACCUGAGAUUGGAAGAUCUAUGAUAAAAUUCAUAGAAACAAAAGACGAUGGUUGUUUUGAAAUAGGUAAUGAUUGAAGAAGUCUAUAAAGUUGAUAGCAAGGAAUUUUGGAUCUUGAAGAAGUAUCCCAUGAUUGUACAAAAUCUUUGAGUGUCUUCCUCAUUUGAGGCCAUGAAAAAUCUAUUGACAUUAGUUCCAAAGUCUUAUUGUAUCCAAAAUAUUCAACGGCUGAAAAAUCAUGACGAGCUUGAAGGACACAUAAUCAUGCCUUACCUUGUGGAAUAUAUGGGCGAUCUUCAAAAUAUAGUAGGUUGUUCUUAAAUUCAAACUUUUUAGUGUCAAAGGACUUAGAGGAAGUAUUCUUGAUAUCAUGAAUAAGAAGAUUAGAAGACAUACUUGAUUGAAUUUACUUGAUAAAGAUAGAAUCAAUAGUCAAUGUUGAUUUUAUUGUUUGAAGAUGAAAAUACUCAAGCUUCAAGAGAAUCAUUCUUUGUUGAUCAAAAGAUGCAUCUCUUUCUUUUGGUACAAGAUAAAAAUGUCUUGAAAGGGCAUCUAAUAAACCUUGUUAUUUAUUGGAUUGAUAAAUAAACUUAAAAUUAAAUCUAUAUAAAGACAUGCUCUAACGGCCAUGAUGACGAUUCAAAAUACGUAUUGACAUGAAGUAUUCAAGAUUCUUAUGAUUCGUAUAUAUGGUGAUUGGAUUUGAGACACUUUUUAGAUAAUGAUUCCAUUCAUGAAAUGAAUCCACGAUUUCAAGGAGCUCUUUUUCAUGGAUCUCAUAAUUAAUCUUUGUUGCUGAAAGUUUCUUGGAAUGGAAAGCUACUAGAUAGAUUUUGUCAUUUUCUUUAUUCGCGACAACAUGGAACCUAUAACAAAAUCUCAUGUAUCUAUUUUUAAAAAAAAUGCCUUAAAGAAGACAAUGCUGUCGUGACGUAACAUGGCUAACAAGUGAAAGGAUGAAAAAAAUAUCAUGUUUUGAGGAUCUCACUUCAAAAAUAUUGUAGCAAAUUAUCUUGGAAAAAUAGAUAUUAGUCAAAGGGUAGAAAAAUUAAAAGUACUAAUGCUGCCUUUUUACAAAUUAACCUUCUAUUUACUUUGUAAGGCCAUAAAUAAGACAAAACAAGGUAGAUUAGAAAAAUAAAGGAUGUAGGCAUAUGUAGAGAGGACUUAGGAGUGCAAAUUAGUAAAAAUUACCUCAAGAAGAUGAAAGUUGAUACUUGAAGAGGACCAGUUAUGAACCGGGGUUGAAAUCAGACCCCGAGGCACAAAACCGUGCUCUGAUGGCGACUCAAGGGUUCUUUGGGAGAUCGAAGAGCCGAAUUAUGGGAGAGACUUGUGGAAGGAUUUUUGAGAGGUAAUUUUGUGUCAUUUGGAUCAGUAUUGGAUUUUUGAAGGAUUUUCAAAGCGAGUGAUGUUCUCUAUGAAUUCAGAUCUUUGAGAAAUAAAACUGGUUUACAAAUUUUUGGAUUUCGUGUCAUUUGUAGCAUUUUUAUAGGUAAAAAUUUAGAAACUUAUUGGUAUGCUUGUUGUGAAUGUGUGUAAGAGAUUUGAGAUCAAGCGAAUAGCUAGAUCAAUACAUAUGAAGGUUUUUGUGGACUAAGGUCUCAAGAUUUAGGCUUUUGAAGACCAAUAAGGUUUUCUUAGAUAUCUAGCAAUCUGCUAAUUGGAUUAGAGAGAUUUUAGGUUUUAUCAGUAGAAGACUUGAUUUUCUAUAUAUAAGUAAAAUUUGAAAGCAAUCAAAUAGUAGAAAAGGAAGAUAUCAGUGCUAGAAGUUGGCAUCAAGAUUGGAGAAGGAGAGACCAGCCGACAUCCAAGCGGAAUUUUGAGGUCAUCGACUAAUUGGUAAGUGCGAUUUUCUUCAAAAUUUAUGUGCUGGUUUCUAACUUAAACUCUAAAAAGUGUGCAAAUUUUGAAUUAGAAUAAACAAUUCAAUCUUUAGUUAUUUAAUUUUCAAAUCUAUGAUUAGGAUUUGAUUUAGGUUAGGAUUUGAUUAGGGUUUAGGAUUAGGGUUUAGUUAGGAUUUGGUUUAAGAUUUAGGAUUUGUUAGGAUUAGGAUAUAGUUUAAGAUUUGAUUUAGGAUUUAAGAUUUGAAUUAGGAUUUGGAUUAGGAUUUAGAUUAGGAUUUAGAGUUGGAUUUAGGAUUUGGUUAGGAGUUGAUUUAAGGUUUAGGAUUUGAUUAAGAUUUGAUUAGGGUUUAGUUUAGGAUUUAGGAUUUAUCUAGGAUUUGAUUAAGGUUGGAUUAGGAUUAGAAAUUGGUUAGAAUAUAAGGUUUUAUUAGAUUUUUGUUAAGGUUUGACUAAGUUCUCUUUAAUAUUCUUUUAUAUUUCUUUAGGAUUUCCUUAUGUUUCUUUUAUAACUUCAAUAAAAUUUAAUUGAGCUUGCUUAAUAUUUGAUUAUGAUUGUUAACAUUAUCGGGGUAGAGAGAGUUUGCAUCAAGAAAAUACUGUCGUUAAUUAUUCAAUCAAGCUUCAAAAAAAGAGAAGCCCUAAUUUUAUAUAUAAUUUUUUCCCUUUUUGAGUAAUUACACCAAAUACACAAUCCUCAAGUAACCCACAACUUCUAAAAUAUGAUAAAAUCUUCUAAAACCUUGUUUAUUCUUAUUGUCACGAACAUACUCAUAUAAGCUAGUAAUUAUAUAUACAAGUAGGUAAAAGUAAGUUAAUUCUAUAGUAUUUAAUAUGGAAGCUUCCUAAAAGAUUCAUAGACGCUGCUUUGACUUCAUAGGUGUCUUUAAUUGACUUUUUGGAUUAGAAACGUGGUCAACAAGUUGGCCAUGUACCACACAUGUUGUUAGCUUGAAGAUCAAGCUAACUAUGUGGUCCACACGUAGAAAAACUUGCCUUGUAAGUCAAGGCAUGUGUCCUACAAAGUCAACACAUAUUGGAGGUCCUAUAGAACGUCGCCACGUAGCGCCUAGUUAGAUAGUAUAUAUAAAGACAAGAGUGAAGCCUUCUUCACUUUUGUCAACUCUUUUCUUGCUUCUAGUCUAGUUUCAAGGGUCUUUAGUUUUCUUGUCUUUUGGCAAUAGCCAUUCUAGUUUCUCUUUCAAUAUACAUACUUAUUUAUUUAUAUUUAGUUACCUUUCUUUGAGUGAAGGCUCACUUGUCUGGAUUAUUUUUUCAUCGAGUUCUUGUCCUUGAUAGAUUGACAAGAGUAGACCUAGAAUAUCAGAGCUUUGUCUAAUCUUGAUUAAGAGUAGAGUACCCCUUUUUCUUGAUAAGAUAUAAGCAUAUUAGAAGUUGCGGAUUACCCUCUUCUAAACUGAUAUUGUUCUUAGUAUUUUCUUUGUUCUUAAGUCCUCUCUUCUAUUUAUCUUGAGCGAUAUUAGACAUCUUCUCUUUUCUAAGUGUUAUCAUGGCAAAACUUGUUGAAAUGAAGAAUGCAAUGGCACAAAUGCAAGAGCAAUUGAGGGAAUUAAUACUUGCGAUGUAUCAACUCAAUUUAUCACCAUAAGGAACAACAAGAUUGGCAGGAAGUGAAGAUAUAGAAAUGGUUGGAGCUGCUUCAACAUCUGCACCAAACCAUAUCCUUUCUCCUAUAAUGGAACAUCUUUCUAAUGUUAGAGAACUAAGAAUUGCCCUAUCUAAGAGGUUUGAUGGCACUAGAUCCAAGUUUCGAGGAUUUAUCAAUCAAGUGCAACUUAUGAUUGAACUUCAACUCCAAAGCUAUCCAACUCCAAGAUCGCAAGUUAGAUUCAUUGGUACGCUUCUUUCAGGUUCAACACUAUCAUGGUUUUCAUCUUUUCUUGAACGACGAGAUCCAAUAUUAGAUAAUCUGGAGGCUUUUUUGGCAGAGUUUUGAUUCAUGUAUGGAGAAUAUGAUGCAAUUCAUGUUGCAACCAAUAAAAUCUAUACUUUACGACAAGGAAAUGGAUCAGUAACGUUGUAUGCUUCACAAUUUUGAUAACUUGCAACUGAUAUCAAGUGGGAUGAUACUACAAUUAUUAGCCAAUUUCUCUACAUAUUAUAAUAUGAGGUAAGAAAAUUAAUGCUCAACUUACUUGAUCUUCAAACAUUGAGUCAAGCAAUUGAAUUUGCUAUGAAGUGCGACAAUCAUCUUUUUGAAUUUCGAUCUGAGAACCAUACAAGUGAACCUCAACGUUACUAUAAUUCAAUGGCAACACCAACACCUCUUCAAUACAUACAUUCGGAAGUAGAGGAUAUGUAAAUCGAUGCAGUACAUUUCAAACCUCUUACUGAGCAAGAAAAGACUCAUCGUCGUCAAGAAGGAUUAUGUUUAUAUUAUAGAGAACCAAAGCACACUACUCAACAUUGUCCAAAGAAACAACGCAAUCACAAAAUGAGGAGUAUGGCUGUGAAAAAAGACAAUAUAUCAGAAAACGAGUUUGUCCAGCUACAAUAGGGACUGUGCGGCUGGAACCUUGCACAAUAUCUAGUAAAGGUCCUAUUCUCUCCUUAGAGCCCUCUCCUUGUUUUACACUAAAUAUUAUUUUAGGACCUAAACAUUACAAAGCCUCUGCCUUAUUAGAUUCGGGAGCCUCAGCAUGUUUUUUAGAUGAAGAAUUUACUAAAAGACAUAGCAUAUGUUUACUAAAGAAAACUAAACCUGUUCAUGUAGAAAUCAUAGAUGGUCGUCCAUUGUCUUCUGGAGAUAUUACUCACGAAACCCUUCCUAUAGAAGUAAUAAUCAAUGGUCAUAAUAGUUUUAUAGUAUUUAAUAUCAUUAGAUCUCCUUCUAAUCCAGUCAAUUUAGGUUUAUCGUGGUUAGAAAAAUACAACCUUGAAAUAGAUUAGAUUUCUUGAACUCUUACUUUUUCUAAAAGUAUAAUUAACAGUGUAGUUAAUCAAAUAGAGAGUCAUAAGUCCAGUUCAAUUAAAUCCAUAUUUAUAGGUACAAAAACUUUCUUGCAUUCUGCUAUGAAAGAAUCACCAUAUAUUAUUUAUGCCACACUUGUUCUUACUGGUGGAAAGACUUCAAGUGGCAUUCCAAGCCAAUAUCAAGAAUUUCAAGAUGUAUUCGAAAAAAAGAAUGUAAAUACACUCCCGACACAUCGUCCCUAUGAUUGCUCAAUUGACCUUCAAGAAGGAGCACAACCGCCAUUCGGACCAAUCUACAGUUUAUCACAAAAUGAGUUGACUGAACUCAAGGAGUAUAUUGAAGAAAAUCUAGCCAAGAAUUUCAUAUGCCAUUCUAAAUCUCUGGUAGGAGCUCUUAUUCUAUUUGUGAAGAAAAAAGAUGGAUCAUUGCGGAUGUGUGUUGAUUAUCAAGGAUUCAACAAGAUUACCAUCAAGAACAAGUAUCCACUACCUUUAAUAUCUGGACUUCUUGAUUAGCUGAAUCAAGCUAAGAUCUAUACAAAAAUAGAUCUUCGGAGAGCAUACAAUCUAAUACGCAUCAAAGAAGGAGAUGAAUGAAAGACUAUGUUUCGAACUAGGUAUGAACAUUUUGAAUACAUCAUGCCUUUUGGACUUAUAAAUGCUCCAGCAACUUUUCAACAUCUAAUGAAUGAUAUUUUUUGAGAGUUUUUGGACAAUUUUGAGGUCUGUUAUCUAGACAACAUCUUAAUCUAUUCUAAGAAUCCAGAAGAAUAUGAACUUCGUGUUCGUCGUGUGUUAUAAAAAUUAAGAGAUGUAGGAUUCUAUGCCAAGAUAGAAAAGUGUGUAUUCCACACUACUUAAGUUGAUUUCUUAGAUUACAUCAUUUCAAAUGAUGGACUUAUGAUGGAUCCUAAGAAAGUCUAAACUAUUAUAGAUUGAAAGAUCCCAAAAACGAUAAGAGAUGUCCAAUGUUUUUUGGAAUUUGCCAACUACUAUCGGAUCUUCAUCAAAGACUUCUCUCAAGUUGCAGCUCUACUUACACGUUUGACUUGUAAAGACAAACUCUAAUGGAAUCAAGAAGCAGGAGUUGCUUUUGAAUCUUUCAAGACAGUGUUUGUUUCUGCACCAAUCUAGUAUCAUGUUGAUUUUUUCAAAGAAUUCUUUAUGGAAACAGAUGCAUCAAACUUUGCUCUGGGUGCGGUUUUAUAACAAAUGGGAACAGAUGACAAACUUCAUCCAGUAGCCUUUCAUUCAAGAAAAUUCUCAGCAGCAAAAAUCAAUUAUGAGAUCCACAACAAAGAACUUCUUGCAAUUGUGGAUUCUUUUAGAGAAUGGCGUCAUUAUCUAGAAGGCGCUUCUAGUCUAGUCACUAUAUAUAUGGCUCAAAGGAAUCUCAAAUAUUUUAUGUCAAUGUGCAUAUUAAAUUGUUGUCAAGCUCGUUGGAGCAUGUUUUUAUCAAGAUUCAAGUUCAUUAUCACUUAUCGGCCAGGAAAACAACAAGGUUUGUCCAAUACCUUGUCUAAACGUUCUUAUCUUGCACCAAAAGAAGGAGAUGUAGCUUUUGAGCAACAAAGAAUGGUUCUCUUGAAGCCGGAGCAAUUUCAUCUUUGAGCAAUAAAAUCAACAUUGACAGUUGAUUUAACUUUUCUUAAGCAAGUCCAGUUAAGUAUGUCUUCAGACCUUCUUAUUCAUGAUAUCAAGAAUAAUUCUUCUAAAUCUUAUGAUCCCUCUCAAUUUGAAUUCAAGAACAACCUACUCUAUUUCAAAGGACGCCUAUAUGUUCCAAAAAGAAAAGCACGUUGUCGUGUUGUAACACGAGUAUACAGUGAAAAUAAAAAGAAAGGGGAAUUUUAUUAAUAUUCAGUUACCUCGAAUAUUGGGAGCAUCGACCAACUCCAGUGCAAAUACUGAGUGGUCAGGUUCAGUCACUCCGUUACAGUCAGCCGGGGCAUACUAAAAUGCUCCGUUCGAUUCCAAUAACGGAAGUCAGCAGGAAGAGAAGGACCAAUUCACACAACGGGUUCGAAGAGCCAAUUGGAUCCAAUUUCGAGAAUCCAAUCCGGGUCCUCUUAUCCAAUAUGAGACCUGAAUUGGCCGGUCAACUCAAUUACGGGAAAUCCAGGUCUUACUACGGAUCUUAGCCAAUCUGACGCGAGGACCAAUUUGACCCAAUUACGGGAACAUCCAAAUUACUACUGGACUCUUAUCCAAUAUGAGACCUGAAUUGGUCGGGCGACUCAAUGUGGUCCCGAUUACUGGGUUCGAUUCUGUUUCAGGCUGUCCUGUUCUCUGUGCCGUUUUAGGGAACGUUGUUUUUGGUAAAUGGAUUUUUUAAAGGUAAAAACGGAGGAGAAAGCUCUAACGACGAGAGCCAAUUUCGGAUCCAAGCUUGACGGUGGGAGCCAAUUCCGGAUCUAAGACGGAAGAUUGAAGAAAUUCAGAGGAUAAGGUUAGAGGGGAUAUAGUUUUGAAGGGGGGGUUUUUUUUUCUCUAGGAAUCGGGAGGAGCUAGUUUUCAAGCUUUUACAAGGUUACUAGUUCGGUUUUCAUUGGAGGUUUUUGGAGAUCAAGGGAAUUAGAGAGAGGAGCUUCAUGCUUUGGGUCGGGGAAGGAAAGAUAGAGAAUUUGGAUUUUUCUUCUUCGUAGAGUUUUGGGAAGGCUGAGGCAAUCGCUACUGAAGUCAGUAUUGUAAUGGUGAAUUGGGAUUUUUAAUGAAGUGGGUUUGAAUACUCUUGACUAUUUUGUGAAAUCGAGUUACGUCUGUGAUUGAAGGAUUAAAAGGGCAUCUAUAGCAUUGAGUAUGCGGAGUGAAUGAAAUUUAUUGGAUUAAUCUAACAAGACAGUCAGUGGAUACAAGUUCGUAAGUACAAAGCGGUAUUGAAGAUUAACAGUUUGGAUUGUUCGAGGUUCUCUGUAACGUCUAGAGACCUACCGGCUGGGAUAAAAACUACUUCGACAAACAGUCGAAGAGCAUCCGUAUAGAUUUACGGUACAUUGUUGCAGUCGUUUAUAUUCCAGCAGUCAAAAUUGAUAGACUGCUUGACUAUCGACGAAUCUCCAUACUACCUUCUACAGCCAGACGCCCGGCACGUUCUCAAGCAGGAAAGCACGUAAUACGACAACAUUUACGUGUUCUUUAAGCUUGUCACGACUUCCCAGCAGCAGAAAAUUUUGGAUAUAAUAAGACUUUGAAGCUGAUAUCUAUGGAUUUUUGGUGGCCUCAAAUAUAGAAGGUAGUCAAAGAUUUUGUACAAUCAUGUGAUGUUUGCUCAAGAUCAAAAAUUCCUCAUCAUCAACCUUUUGGACUUUUUCAGCCAUUACCCAUUCCAAAACAACCAUGGUCUUCUGUUUCUAUGGACUUUAUUACGGAUCUUCGAAUCUCAGGUUCUUAUGAUUCUAUAUUCGUGAUAGUAGAUCAUUUUACCAAGAUGGCACAUUUUCUACCAUGUACAAAAUCUAUUAUAGGUGAAGAAACAGCUAAGCUCUUUCUUGACAAUAUCUAUUUCUAUCAUGGAUUAUCCAAGGAUAUUAUAUCAGAUAGGGAAACUCAAUUUGUAUCAAGAUUUUGGCGGACACUUUUUAAGAUUCUAAAAGUGAAUAUAAAACUAUCUUCGACAUUCCAUCCUCAAAUUGAUGGACAAACGGAGCGUGUUAAUCAAGUUUUGGAGUAAUAUUUAAGAUGUACUAUUAAUUACCAACAAGAUGAUUGGACAACUCUUUUGCCAUUGGUAGAGUUUGCUUACAAUAACACGGUACAUUCUUCUACAAAACAAAUACCUUUCUUUGCUAAUUAUGGUUAUCAUCCAUGAUUUGAUACUUUUGAUUUUUUAAAAGUUAAUAAUCUUAUUACGAAAGAUUUAACGAUUCAUUUAUCAAAGCUACAUGCAACGAUGAAGGCGCAGUUAAAAGAGGUUCAAGAACAACAAAAGAUCAAUGCGGAUGUCUAUCAAAAGGAACAACCACCAUUCUUCUUGGGUGAUAAGGUAUGGCUACUUCAUGGCAAUAUCAAGACCACUCGUCCUUGUGACAAGUUGGACUAUUGAAGGCUGGGACCAUUUUCUAUUUCUGCACAAAUCAAUCCAAUUGCAUAUCGUUUAUAUCUAUCGGAGUCAAUGAAAAUCCAUCCAGUAUUCCAUGUGUCUCUUCUUGAACCAUACAAGAUAGUGGACAUACCAAGAAGACGACAAGCUCCACCUCCUCCUAUAGAAGUGGACAAUAAUGAAGAGUUUGAAGUAGAAGAAGUCUUAGAUUCAAGGCGAUGCCGAAAUAAAUUGGAAUAUCUUGUCCAUUGGAGUGGAUAUGGUAUUAGUGAAUGCACAUGGGAGCCAAUAAAGAAUCUUACAAAUGUAGCAAACGCGAUGGAGGCUUUUCAUCGACGACAUCCAUCAAAAUCAAGAUGAAAACCUUUUUUAUAAAAGAAACAGUAUCUAGGUAAGAUAACAUUCUACUUUCAAUCCUUGUUCGUAGCUUCUUUGUAGUUGUGACAUUCAAGAGAUGGAGAACCAACAACCAGUGGAUUCGACUCAAGAGCUUUUAUUUGUUGAUCUGUCGGAUGAGACAUUACGAUUAUCACAACCUUCAAGAUGACGCAAUCAACAUAAAGAUCUUCAAGAACGACAUGUUCUUCUUUGAAUAGAUGGCAAGAUACAACGCGUUUGGUAUCACGAUUUGGAAAGGGACUCCCGAUGUUUGGUGAUUUUGUUAGAGGUAGGAACAACUGCUGAUGGUAUUCCAAAUGUUCUAUUCGAAGGAAGUUAUGAAGGCCUCAAAAAUGAUCAAAUAACUGGGUGGUCUUCUCGCCCUGGUAUAGGAUACUAUCAAUGGUUGAAAGGCCCUAUCAAUCAUCUUCGAAGAGAACAAAGAUCAGAGUAUGUGGUGAAUAUAAUUCAUCGCAUCAUAGAUUUCCUCAACAUAUGAUGACCGCUCUUCGUGGAACUCGUCCUUAGAAGGGAGGAUAAUGUCACGGACAUAUUCAUAUAAGCUAGUAAUUACAUAUACAAGUAGGUAAAAGUAAAUUAAUUUUAUAGUAUUUAAUAUAGAAGCUUCCUAGAAGCUUUAUAGAUGUUGCUUUGACUUCAUAGGUGUCUUUAAUUGACUUUUUGGAUUAGAAACGUGGUCAACAAGUUGGCCAUGUGCCACACAUGUUGUUAGCUUGAAGAUCAAGCUAACUAUAUGGCCUACACGUAGAAAAACUUAUCUUGUAAGUCAAGGCAUGUGUCCUACAAAGUCAACACAUAUUGGAGGUCCUAUAGAAUGUUGCCACGUAGCGCCUAGUUAGAUAGUAUAUAUAAAGACAAGAGUGAAGCCUUCUUCACUUUUGUCAACUCUUUUCUUGCUUCUAGUCUAGUUUCAAGGGUCUCUAGUUUUCUUGUCUUUUGGCAAUAGCCAUUCUAGUUUCUCUUUCAAUAUACAUACUUAUUUAUUUAUAUUUAGUUACCUUUCUUUGAGUGAAGGCUCACUUGUCUGGAUUAUUUUUUCAUCGAGUUCUUGUCCUUGAUACUUAUGUGGAGAUUUCUUCGAACUUCAACACCUCAUAUCUCCUAAUCCGACCGUCCAAACAAACUCAAAAUUUACAUCAGGUACUGAUGUAUUCUUAUUAACUUCUACAACAAUUUUCAACUGCAAAUUCGUUGCAGAUCUUGAGAUAUCUUGAAAAUCCUAACAGUCACUUCAAACCCUUGUCUUUAUACAUCUGCGUGCAAUUUUCUUCAUAUCUCACAAAAUAUAAGCUUAAAUACCACGAAAUUUGUAUGUAUAGCUUUUUAAUACAAAAUUUUACAUUUUCCAAAAAAUUUGAGCCAAAAUAAUUGUCCGAAAACUCAAGUUAUGGCUCCAACCAUUACUACAAAUAAAUCCGCUUACUUACUGCUUUUGAUUUAGAAGCGCCGCCUUCAACUCCUUACAACUCCUUCAUAUGAACUCCAAAAGCAAUAAUUCCUUUAUAAAAGAUGUACAUUUUGAAAUCACCGUUCCAGUUGCAUCUUCCGAUCUUCAAAAGCUACUGUAAAACUCCUUGUACCUUCAAAAGAGUAACAGUAUGUCUUAAAUAUAUACCUUAACUUCAAACGGCUAUAACUUCUUCACCUUAGCUUCAAAUCCUCUAAUAUUUGUAUAAAAAUUGUACUCCAAAUCCUAAACUUUACAACCCUAGCUUGUAAUCUCCGAAUGCUCUCUUUGAAGUCACCGAAACUCUUGUUAAGGUUGUAGGCAGCCUCCUCAAAGCCCAUUGGACAUGGUAUUCGACCAAUAGUGAUGAAGUUCUCCAUUCCUUGCCUUCAUCUGACCAUGCCUUGCUUUCAUCCCUCCCAAUUAGCCUCCUACUAGUUUAGAUUUUCAUCCUUAGGCUUCCACCUUCUUCCAAGGUUUCAUACUAAACAUUUAGGUCUUAUAUUUUUUUUUUUAAUGUCAAAAUCAAAACAAGUAAAGAAACAAAGUAAAGUUUCUUAUACCAACACCUUUUAAUUUAAUCUACUAGCCACUCUAACACAAAUCUACAUUUAUUAACAUAUAAAUAUUUUAACUAAUUUUUAUAUACUGUAAGUAUUUAUAGUACGAUAAUGUUUAAUUGUAAAUUCUCUAAAAUCCUAUUGGAUUCUUAGGACCUUUUAUUGCAAUUUUCUUUUACCUUCGACAAUCAAGUGUUUGAUGUAUUCUCAAGCAAGACUUCACCUAAUAUGACAUAUUUGGUGAACCCGACGUGAAAAACUUGAGGUGGAAGGUAUUUGGAGUUACUUUGAUCUAUUUGGGUUAUGGAGAAGGAAGGCAAGAGAAUGGAAGGAGGAGCUUUUGCUGGUGCUUCAAGUGGAGUUGGAAGUGGAGCUUCAAUUGAAAGACAAGGUAUGUAUUUUGAUCCCAACUCUGCAAGCAUGUUUGAAGCAUUGGCGUUAUUCAUACAAUAACAGGUUAAGGAUCGCAAAGAAGGCAUGGCAGACAAAGCAUUAUAAGUUGUUAUAGACAAGAUUGAUCAAUUUGAAGGGAAGGAUAUUACAAAAUAUUUAAGGUAUUACGUAAAGAAAAUGGAAUUGAAGUGUAUUGUAGAAAAGGAGAUGGUUCAGCUAUUUGAAUUCGCUACUGUACUAGAAAUAAAAAAUCAUGUGAAGUCCAUUAUAGGACAUUCUGGAGGUUCAUGGAAAAAAUUAUCUUAAGCAUUAAAGGAUGAAUAUUUUUUAGAAGAUAGGGAUUGAAUUAUAAAGAAGUCAUUUUUUGAAUGAAUUGAAAGGCCUAAGAAGGAUCUACUAGCAAUGAAGUUACUAAGAGAGUUUGAAAAGUAAUAUUCUUAUUUAUUAAAGAAGGAGAGGCAAAUAUUAGAUCUAAGUAAAGUGGAGCUUUUUCUUCAAGUGGCUAAUGGAGAGUUGCAAGAGAAGUUAGAAAUUUUGCUAAAAGAUAAAGAAGAAGUUGAAGGAUUGACAACAAAUUGGGAGAAAGUAGAAGAGGCAAUUGGGAUGCUUGCAAAAAGAGAAAGGAGAAAAAGAUAGGAUGGAAAUUCAAAGACCAUUGCAAGCAUCUAAAGAAAAAAUGUUUGCUAUCUAUCCUACAUCUACGAUUCAGCGUUCAAUGGCUACAUCAAAGAGAAAAGAAAUGAGUAUUGAUGAAAUCAUACGAGAGAUGAGAGAUUUAUAAAUAAAAUUUACAAAACUUGAAGAGAUGGGUCAAUCAUCAAGAAUAUCAACAAGACAAAAUUUAAGACCAAUAGAAGGUAUGGUGCAUAGGUGCAUGUGGUGUGAUAGUAUAGAUCAUUUAAGAAGGGAGUGUGAAGAUUUUUCAGAGGCGCUACGCAAAGGAGUUGUUUUUUUUAAAGAUGUGUAGAAUAGAUAUUAAUUCGUUUUUAAAAGAUAUUGGUAAAAUAUAUUAAUAGUCCAUAUAAUAGAAAAUUCAGGAGGACGGAUGAGUGAUUUAGUUAUUAAAAGUGAUUAAUUACAGAAUUAUGAUUAGAAUCUAGAGAAUCAGGGGAAAGUAUAUAGAAUUUGUAGAAGUUAAUUAGGAUGCCGGAUUGUGAGAGUCGUGAACCGGGGGCUAUCGCUGUGAUAGUGUGAGCCGGGAUAAGCUUGGUGCUACUUCUUUUCUUUUGUUUGUUAUUUUCUUUGAAUAAGAGGAUUGAGAGUUUCUGAAUAUUGUGAAGUAAAUUAUGGAAUGGAAAUGUGAUUGGUACUAUUUGAGAAGAAGAAAGAUUGAAUGCUGAAAUGUGAUUGUAAUUCAGCAGAGAGAAUGAGUCUGUAUUUGUGUGAAACACUGUAAUGAAAAUAUCAGUUCUGUGUGAAGAAUUCCAGUGAUUGGAAUGAUGAUAAUUGUGUGUUGAAAGCUGUGAGGGCAUAGUAUUACAGUUGGAGAUUAUGAGGGUGAAUAUAUUAGUAGAAAUAGUAACUAUUGAUAUGACUGAAUUGCUGUAAAGAAGAGAUCGAUAAGGUGAAGGAGGAGAUUAUAGUUUCUUUGUGUGUUCAGGUAUUGGAAAUAGAGACGAUACAUUCAGGAGGUAAUUGAUUGUGUGACCCUAACAUAAACGCUUAAGCAACUAGUCAUUCUCCGUGUUUGAAUUCUCCUAUACGAGUUUAUUCUGGGAGGUUUCUUCUGGAAUAAGUAAAACGAGUAAUCACAUUUUGGCGCCGCUGUCGGGGAGUGAUAAUAGCUUUGAGUGUUAGGAAUUAAUUACCAAACAUGUGAGAAAAUUGGCAAUGGAAGACAAUUUCAGUAGUGUUUGAAACAUGAUUAUGGUUAAUAAGAACGAGAGCAUUGCAUCGAGAAAAAUAAAUCAGUUGAGAGAAAGACAGGGAAGAACGCAAGGAAGGAACUUGCUUAGAGAGGAGCAAGAAUGUAAUCUUAAAAAGAAGCAUCGACAGAAUUGGAUUAAACCAUGGUUGCAAGUUUGUCGGUGCAUUCGAACAUAUCAAAAAUCGGACAGACUGUUAAUUUUGCAGUCGUAUGUACCAUUAGAAAAACUGCCAAGAACACUCGGGGGAAAUUUUGUUAACAUUCCAGUGGAAAUCUUGUGGCCAUUAACUGAAAGAGAAGGAAGCAUAGAAGAAUUUGGUACUCCAUUGGAUAUUUUUUAAAUAGGAGGUACCGCUGAAACGAGCAAUAGUGGCUCUUUAGAUUGGCACAAAUUGGUCGCCAAUAAAGAUAACUAUAUUGUAUUUCAAAAGCCAAUAUUUUCACCUGUAAUUCAACCAAUAAAAAUAUUUAUAGAAAAUAACAGUAAAUUGAGGAGCAUUGAGAGCUUGGAAAUUAGAAUAAGGGGAAGCAGAGAUUAUUUUAAAAUGGAGUUUAGCGGAACAAGAAAUUUAAUGGCAUCAAGAGGACUAGCCAUUUUGAUUGUAAUGUAAAUGGGUGCAGUAGGCGAUCGUACGACUAGUGUCACGCUACUACCUACUUUUCAGGGAUUUCCAGGUGUGGAUCCAGAUCAAUAUUUGUCUCAAUUCUUGACAGCGUGUGUAGCUAAUAAUGGAAGAAUAGAAGACAUUUGGUUAAGAUGGCUGCCAGCGAUAUUGAUAGACACAUUGUUUGAUUAGUAUAACCGCCAACCUGUGGGAUAAUUUAUCAAUUGGGAGGCAUUAAAAAAUAUAUUUUUAGCCCAUUUUUGAUCAAUUGGUUUUGAAGAACAUCUUAGAGAAAAAUUAAUGACCAGCAGAAUGGUACCAUGGAAAGCGAUACAGUCAUAUUAUGGUCGUGUAGCAGAUAUGCUUCGAAAAUGGCCAAAUAACCAAAUACCGGAAUCGUUUGUGUUGUCCAUAUUGGUUAAUGGACUACACCUACCAGAAUUGAAGAUGUUUGUAAAGAAGGCCCAAUUAGCCACCAUUGCAUCAUCUCUUGAGGGAAGCAAAAGUAUGGGAGGAAUGUCACUAUGACCAGAACUUAAAAGUUGGAGCCACGAUGAUUCCAUCUCAAAGAGGUUAUUAAAUUACAAAUUAAAAUGACGCAUUGGAAAGUUAUCUGGGAAGGAAUGAUUAUGGUACAAUUCCACAAGGAAUAGUACUAUCAUUGCAUUGCAUUGCAAGUUGUACCACCAUCAUCAUCACACCCGUAUGUGCCUUAUUCCGCGUACCAAAAAUCAAUACCUACAAAGGAAUUGCCAAAUGCAUUGAUAUCAAGGGAUCCCAAUGAGUCAUUGCUGUUAACAUUGACAAAAAAAAUGGAUGAAUUGGCUGUGAAUCUCGCCAAGGAUAUAGAAUAAAAGCAUAAAUCAACCAAUAUGCGUCCCAAUGUAUGGGGCAGCAAUUGUAAGGGGCAAGGUCAUUUAGUAACAGAAUGGCCUUUACCACCCCAAAUCACUAUAUAAUGUAGCUUUUGUGGAGGCAAGCAUAUUACCACCAACUGUUGGAAUUUACGGAAAUAUCAACAAUAAUUUAGUAAUCAGACCAUGAUCCCACCAACCCAGUGGGACAUCAAUUAAGUACAAAUGAAUAAUAGGUUUGACUGAAAUAAAAAUCAAGCGAAUAAACAAAAUAGGAAUUAUUUCAAUUUCCUAAACUCUGAAUUUUACCAAAAAAAGUGUAUCCAAUACUCACGGAUUGGUGAUGAAUCAACUAAGAUACCAUCAAUAUCAACCCAUGAUGAAGCCAAUGCCAGACUCUACAAUAACAAUGGGUCAACCAGAAUCCUUUACUCAUCCGACAUAGAACAGACUUAGCCAUUAUAUACGAGUAGAGACACCCAAUAUCCCUGAAGGAGUUGGCAGGAGACCACUUUGUUGCUAUCGUUGCAAACAAAUCGCACAUUAUGUGAGUGAAUGUCCUAAUCCAAGGGCCAGUGGUGACUAUACUCCAAUAUGUGGAAAUUGUAAGCAGUCUGGUCACACUUAUCAGCAAUGUAAUGCACCCUUUAAUUAUAAUAACCAGAACUAGCAAAUGCAAACAAGCCAACCGGUAGAGGACAAAGGCCCUCUUCAAUGAGAUUCACCAGUACAUCGUGUCGAGGUGGUGAACGUAGUGCUUACCAGAGGCCAACAAAAAGACAAGAAUCCAAUUCAAGACUUGGAUGAACCAAUCGCAAGAGAGCAAGUAGCACCGUCCAUGGGACUAAACGAACCAAUAUCAGUAUUGGGACGUAUCCCAAUAUUGAAACUUCAAUAGACUGAGGAACCCAAUUCAAUUCUAUGUACCAAUUUGUCAGGACCAUCCAAUCCAGGUCCUAUUACGGGCUCUGUACUUAGUAUGAGAUCUGAAUUGGUGGCAAAACCCAAUGAGGUCCCAAUUACAGAGGCUUCGGUUCCGCUCCAAGUAGUUUUGAUCUCUACGCAGUUCCGAGAAAUGUCCUAUCCAUUGAAAGAUCCUCUCGAGGGUGAGAAUUCCAAGGAAGCCUCGGUUGCUGUUCCAAUUCCGAGUUUAGGACGGAAGAAUAUCUUACCUCACAGAGUAAAAUCGAAACCAAUGAAAUGUAAAAGAGCAUUGGGAAUUACUCUCAAUAUGGAAUCCUACAACAUUCUGAAGGAUUUGGAUGUUAUUCAGCCUUCAAUUACAAUGAAAUAACUUUUGGUCGUUGUCGUAGUGUAAAUGCUUAUAGUAUGUAAAAAUUAGUUAGAACACAUUAAAUUUUAAUAAAUCUAAAUAUAUGUUAGAGUGGAUAAUAGAUUAAAUUAAAAAGAGUUGGUAUAAAAAAACUUUAUUUUGUUUUCUUUGGAGGCUGCCCACGACCUUGAUAAGGGUUUCGGCGACUUCAAAGAGGCCAUUAGGAAAUCAAAGGCAAGGGUUGUAAAUUUUAGGGUUUUGGCUACAAUUUUUGUGCAAAUUUUAUAGGGUUUGGAGUUAGCGUAAAUAAGUUAUAGCCGUUUGAAGUUAAGGUGUCAAUUUGAGACCUACUGUUACUCUUUUGAGUUUAAGAGGAGUCUUACGGAAGCUUUUGGAGAUCGGAAGGUUCAGCUAAAAGGGCAACUUCAAGACAUACAUUUUUUGCGAAGGAAAUUCUGCAUUUGGAGUUUAUGUGAAGGAGGUAUAGGGAGUUAAAGACAGCGCAUUCAAAUCAAAGGCAGUAAGUGAGCGGUUUUGUUCAAAGUAGUGUUAGGAGCCAUAACUUGAGUUUUCGAACGAAAUUUUGGCUCAAAUUUUGAGAGAAUGUAAAAAUUUGUGUUAAGAAGCUAUCUAUACAAGUUUUGCGGCAUUUGGACUUAUGAUUUGUGAGAUAUGAAGAAAAUUGUGCGCGGGUAUAUAAAGAUUAGGGUUUGAAGCGAUUGUUAGGGUUUUGAAGAUAUCUCAAGAUCUGAAACGAAUUUGUAGUUGAAAUUUGUUGUAAAAAUGAAUAACAACAUAUCAGUACUUCAUGUAAAUUUUGAUCUUGUUUGGACGGUUGGAUCAAGUGUUAUGAGGUAUUGAAGUUUGGGAGAAUUUCCACACAAGGAUAUACAAGGUUUUAGAGUACUUCUACCAUAUUUUGGGUAUUGUUGGUUAUUUAAGACUUAAGUAUUUGGUGUAAUUGUCCCAAAAGGAGAACUUAUAUAUAUAUAAAAUUAGGUUUUCCUUAUUUUAAGCUUGAUUGAGCAAUUAGUGACAGCUAGAAGCCCAGCGCUUUCUUGAGGCAAAACCUCUCUACCCCGACAGCACAGUAUUACAGUUGGAGAUUAUGAAGGUGAAUAUAUUAGUAGAAAUAGCAGUUAUUGGUAUAACUAAAUUGCUGUAAGGAAGAAACCGAUAAAGUUAAGGAGGAGAUUAUAGUUUCCUUGUGUGUUCAAAUAUUAGAAAUAGAGAUGAUACAUUCAGGAGGUAAUUGAUUGUGUGACCCUAAUGUGAACUCUUAAGCAACUAGUCAUUUUUCAUGUUUGAAUUCCCCUAUACGGGUUUAUUCUAGGAGGUUUCUUUUGGAAUAAGUAAAACGAGCAAUCACAAGAUGCUAUGAUAUACUUAAAAGAGAGUGGAGAAAAAUUAGAGACAAAUUUUGGUAAAAGGAGAAUGAGGGUGUUUGUAGGAGAUGCUUUCAAGGUGCAUACAACUUCAAGUAAUGAAGCAUCAACUUUUUGGAUGGGAGCAAAUCCAAGCAAAUGCUUCAGUAUAAAUCUUGACUAUCCAAGAGAAUCUGGUUUUUUAUGGUCAAGUGCAAUGAAUUAUGCUGAAAAAAAAAUUUUACUAGAGAUGAUCUAAAACAUGUUGGUAAUAACAUUCGGCAAAUUAUUCGGUGGGAUGAUCCAGUAGAUAGAUUAUCAGUUCAUGUUCAUAUUGCAAGGAGUCAACAUGAAGCAUUAAUAGAAGAAAAAUGAAAGAGAGAUGAAAAUCAUGAAGGGCCAUCAAAAAGAAUCACAAGAGGAGAUAAAAUUCUACAACAAAAGAAUCCUAUGCAUGAAGAGAUAAUAGAGAAUAUUUCUACAAAGGAGAGGGAGAUUGUGAAAGAAAAAGUAAAGGUUCUUGCUUAUAAAUUAUAAUCAGGUAUUGAAGCUGCAACAGAUUUAAAGAAAGUAUUGUAGGAGUAGAUUUUAAAUAGAAAGGUUGAAUUUACAAUUGGUGAAAUUAUAGGAAUUGCAAAAAAAAAAUUCAUGAAGUUAUUAUUGAUACAAUAAAAAGAAAAUGGUAAUCUAUUGGUGAUACUAUGACAUCAAAUGCACAAGGUACAAAGACAAUAGGAAGCAAUGAAGAUGAAGAAAUAGAAAUGCAAAUUGUUGGAGUUGUUUCACGAGUCAAAUUUACAAGAAAAGAAGAUAUGAUUCAAGCUUCUAGUCAUUAUUCUCGGAGUCAUUGGACAAAGGCUACUACAGAAACUUUAGUAAAAUUGGGAGAUUUAGAGUAACCAAUUAUAGCAUUGAUUGAUCAUGGUUCUGAAAUAAAUUUAAUAUUAACAGAAUUAUAUAAAAAGAGAAAUUGGCCUAUUGAUAUUGAGCAUGGGUGGAUGAUAAGAGCAGCAAACAAUUCAAAGAGGGAUUUGUAUGGAGCUUGUCUAAAUAUCAAGGUGACAAUAAGAGAUGUUAUUCAUGAAUAAAAUUUCUUUGUGUAAGAUAUGUCUAUAUAUCCUAUUAUAUUAGGACAACCGUAUAUUAUUGCCACACAAAUGGAGACAAAGGUUAUGGAUGAUAGAUCAGCUUAUACAAGGAUAACAGGUCAAGACAAAAAGAGGGCAGUGUAAUUUUUAAUAGUUUGUACAAAUCAUGGAAGAAAUAGGGAUAGUUUGAGGGAAUAUCCUUUGUUAAAGAUACAUAAAGAAUUUGAAGAUCUUGAAGUCUCAAAGGAUUUUUACUAGAUGCUAUUGUAAAGCAGGAUUGCAAUGGUAAAAAGAGUGAAGGCUUCCGGCCUAAUAGAAAGGAUGAAGAUAUUAUAGGAUUAUCACAAGAUGGAUAUAUUUUAUUCAAAAACAUAAAUAAUUUCAGUAGGAUAGAUAAGAAAAAUGUUAAGAAUAUAGAACAGGGAUUAAAAAAAUAUAGAAUGAUUGAUGAAGAUGAAUACAUAUCAGGAAUGUUUGAAGAAUCUUGUUUUUGUGAUACUAUGAAUGAUUUACAAAUAUUAUUGAAUGGAAAUUUUGAAAGAAGUGAUAAAGUAAUAAAUGUCCAUUUUAAGCAAUUUUAUGAUAGAAUAAAAGAAUAUAUGGAUAGGUAUGAAGUGAAAGUAAACACAAAAUAUAAGACUGUUGCAAGGAAGAUUAAACCAGUGGCAUUGCCAUUACCAUUGGAUUUUGAAGAAAGGAUUAAAGAGGCUUCUAUGCAACCUAACUUAAAAGAUCCAAAGAAAAUAGGUCAUGAAUUCAAGGAUAAUUUGACGUUAGAUGGUUUAAAAAUUAGAUGUGAUAAAUUUUUGACAAGAGAUGAGGAGAGAUGUUUUAAAGAAAUGCUUUCAUGAAAUGGUAAAGCAUUUGGAUUUGAAUCAUAUGAAAUAGGGUGCAUUGAUCCGAGUAUUGUAGCACCUAUGGUUAUUUUUAUAAUUUCACAUGAACCAUAGAAUUUGAGGCCACUCUGAGUUUCAAAGGCCCAUUUAUCAAAACUAGUUGAAUUACUCAAUGAAAAAAUUAAGAUGGAAAUUUUAGAACCAUCUAUUGCACCAUAUUCCAAUCAGUGGUUCAUAGUAUCUAAGAAAAAUGAAACAUUGAGGUUUAUUUAAGAUAUACAAUCGGUAAAUAAAACAACUAUUAGAAAUAUGGGCUUGAGUUCAAUUGUAGAUGAGUUUGCAGAGGCAUUUGCAGGGAGAUCAAUUUAUUCUAUGAGAGAUCUUUACUCAAGAUAUAAUCAAUUUCAAUUGGCAAUGCAAAGUAGAGAUUUGACAACUAUGAAGAUACCAUUGGGAUUGAUCAGAAUGUGUACAUUACCAUAAGCAGCUACAAAUUCUAUGGCACACAUGAUGAAUGGAAUGCAUAAGGUACUAAGAGAUUUUAUUUCAAGAAUAAUAAUGCCUUUUUUAGAUGAUGUGUUAAUUAAGGAAUGUGAAGAAGAAAGAAAGGAUGAGACAUUGGAUUCAAAGGGAUGUAGGAAGUUUGUAGCAGAUCAUAUUGAUGAUUGUAAGAAGAUUUUGACAAGGCUAGAAGAAGUUCAUUUAACCUUAUUGGAGACAAAAUCAAUAUUUGGAGUAAAAGAAGUUUUGGUAGUAGGACACAUGUGUGGUUCAUAUGGAUGCAAACCAAGUAGGAAAAAAGUUGAUAUUAUAAAAAAAAUGAAAGAAUGUGCAAAUACGACAGAAAUCAGGAAGUUUUUAGGAGCAUGUAUUUUCUAUCAUAUAUGGAUACCUCAUUUUGUACAUAUAACAGAUCCAUUAUAUGAGUUGUUAUGAAAGAAUCAAAAAUUUCAAUAAAAAGAAGAACAAAAAAAAUCUAUGGCAAAGUUAAAAGAAUUUCUUUCUUCACCUCCAACUUUGAAGAAAAUAAAUUAUGAAUGUGAAAGGCUAGUAAUAUUAAUAGUUGAUACAAGUCCAAUUAGAAUAGGUUGGACAGUUGGACAAGAUGAUGAACAAGGGAAUAGAUAUGUAGUAAGGUUUGGAGCAAAGGUUUUGAAUGCUAGACAAAGGAUAUAUGUACAAAUCAAAAGAGAAUUAUGGGAUGUAGUAAUAGCUAUAAAAAAUGAAAGAGAAUAUUUGAUUGGUGCAUCAGUAGUUGUAGAAACAGAUUGUCUACCUUUAUUGGGUAUGAUUACAAGUUAUUCAACUCUCGAUAUUAUUAUAUUAAGGUGGAUGGCAUAUAUCAAAUCUAUAAAUCCAGAAUUUAAACAUAUUACAAGAAAAGAAAAUUCAGUCGCAGAUAUGUUAUCAAGAGUAAGGUAUUACGAUGAAGAAGAUAUGAUAGAUUUAGAAGAUGAUAUGGAUACAAAUUUUUAUACUAAUGCAUUAUCAAAGGAAGAAAGUAUAUGUUUGAAUACACCAUUAGAAACAUUUUCAAGAGAUCUAUAUGAAGAAGAAUGAAAAGACAUUGAGGAGUAUUUAAGCACAUUAAAGUGACAAGAUGGUUGGACAGAUAAAGAAUUUAAGAAAAUCCAAAAGAAAGUCUAUGGAUAUUUUUUACGCGAUGGAUAUUUAUGGAAGCAUCCAAAGAAGAGAGGAGAAGUACCACAACAAGUGAUAUGUGGUUUAGAAGCUCAACAAAAGAUUAUUAAAGAAUUUCAUGAAAGUUUAUGGGCAUGGCAUCGAGAUAUUUAGACAACAGUUAUUAAGUUGAAAGAAAAAUAUUGGUGGACGAGCAUGUAUAGGGAUGUGGCAAAUUUUUUAGGAUCUUGUGAAACUUGCCAAAUAUAUUCAAAUAUUCGUCAUCGAGAUGGUUUGCAUCCUACAUAUCCAUUAAUAAUUCAUUAUAAAUGGGUGGUAGAUUUAGUUGUAAUGCCAAUGGAAUUUGGUUAGAAGAAAUAUUUGAUACUUGCUCGGGAAGAUUUGACAAAUCAAGUAGAAGGAAGAGCACUUUCAACAAAGACUACGGAAGGAAUAUGUCGGUUUAUAUUAGAGGAAAUUCUUUGCCGACAUGGAUGUAUUGGAAAAAUCACUACAGAUAGAGGAGAAUUGGAUGCAAAUGAAGUACAAGAGUUCUUUGAAAGGAUGAGUAUUAAACUUGCAUUGACAAGAGCAUAUAAUUUAGAAGGAAAUGGCAAGAGUAAAUGUGGACAUUCUCUGAUUAUUAAAGCAUUGGUUAAAGCAUAAAAAGGCAAGAUAAGUAAUUGGCCUAAAUUAUUACCAUUUACAUUAUGGAUGGAUCACACAAUUCAUAGUAUAGUUAUAGGAUACAUGCCAGCAGAAUUGAUGUAUGGUCGAAAACCGGUAUUACCGAUAGAGGAGGUUGUAUCAACAUGGACUAUAUUACCUUGGAAAGAUGAUUUAACAAGAGAAGAGUUAUUGGCAUUACGAAUUUGACAACUUGAAAGAAGGCCCAAGGACAUUGAAGUAGCUGUGGAAAAGUUGAAAGAAGCGAGAGAAAAAAACAAGGAGAGGUUUGACAAAAAAUAUUGAUUGCAUCCAAAACCAAUUCAAAAUAGUGAUUGGGUGUUGAUUUAUAAUAGUAGUUUAGACAACCAACAUAGUAUGGCAAAGAAAUUUGUAAGGAGAUGGUUUGGACCUUAUGUUGUCAAACAAGUGCACAAGAAUGGAACAUGCUUGUUAUGAGAACUGGAUGGUACAGAUUUAAAGAUACCAAUAGCAAACAAACGAAUCAUAUUGUUUAAUCAAAGAGGUAAAGAAUUUUUUUUUGAUGAAAAAAAAAAUCUAAUAGGAGAUAUUAAGAUGGAAGAAAAAGAGCAAAAUGAAGAUCAAGAAUUUGACCAAGAUGAAGAACAUUCGAUAUCAAUAUAAUGAAAGAACUUGGUGCAUACCAGAGGAUGCACAAUUUUAGGGGAGAUGGAUGUCAUGAUAUAACAUGGCUAAUAAGUGAAAGAAUGAAGAAAAUAUCAUGAUUUGAGGAUCUCACUUCAAAAAUAUUGUAAAAAAUUAUCUUGGAAAAAUAGAUAUUAGUCAAAGGGUAGAAAAAUUAAAGGUGCUAAUGCUGCCUUUUUACAAAUUAACCUUCUAUUUACUUUGUAAGGCCAUAAAUAAGACAAAACAAGGUAGAUUAGAAAAAUAAAGGAUAUAUGAAUAUGUAGGGAGAAGUUAGGAGUGCAAAUUAGUAAAAAUUACCUCAAGAAGACGAAAUUUGAUACUCAAAGCGGACCGGUUAUGAACCGGGGUCGAAAUCAAACCCCAAGGUACAAAACCAUGCUCUGAUGGUGACUGAAGGGUUCUUUGGGAGGUCGAAGAGCUGAAAUAGGGGAAAGACUUGUGGAGGGAUUUUUGAGAGGUGAUUUUGUGUCGUUUGGAUCAGUAUUGGAUUUUUGAAGGAUUUUCAAAGCGAGUGAUGUUCUCUAUGAAUUCAGAUCUUUGAGAAAUAAAACCGGUUUACAAAUUUUUGGAUUUCGUGUCAUUUGUAGCAUUUUUAUAGGUAAAAAUUUAGAAACUUAUUGGCAUGCUUGUUGUGAAUGUGUGUAAGAGAUUUGAGAUCAAGAAAAUAGCUAGAUCAAUACAUAUGAAGGUUUUUGUGGACUAAGGUCUCAAGAUUUAGGCUUUUGAAGACCAAUAAGGUUUUCUUAGAUAUCUAGCAAUCUGCUAAUUGGAUUAGAGAGAUUUUAGGUUUUAUCAGUAGAAGACUUGAUUUUCUAUAUAUAAGUAAAAUUUGAAAGCAAUCAAAUAGUAGAAAAGGGAGAUAUCAGCGCUAGAAGUUGGCAUCAAGAUUGGAGAAGGAGAGACCAGCCGACAUCUAAGCGGAAUUUUGAGGUCAUCGACUAAUUGGUAAGUGCGAUUUUCUUCAAAAUUUGUGUACUAGUUUCUAACUUAAACUUUAAGAAGUGUACAAAUUUUGAAUUAGAAUCAAUGGUUCAAUCUUUAGUUAUUUAAUUUUCAAAUCUGUAAUUAGGGUUUAAUUUGGAUUAGGAUUUGAUUAGGGUUUAGAGUUAGGAUUUAGUUAGGAUUUGGUUUAGGAUUUAGGAUUUAUUAGGGUUAAAAUAUGAUUUAGGAUUUGGUUUAGAAUUUAGAAUUUAGGGUUUGGUUUAUGAUUUGAUUUAGGAUUUAGGAUUUGGAUUAGGAUUUGGAUUAGGAUUUGGAUUAGGAUUUGGAUUAGGGUUUAGAUUAGGGUUUAAGAUUUGGUUUAGGAUUUGAUUAGGAAUUGGUUUAAGGUUUAAGAUUUGAUUAAGGUUUGAUUAGGAUUUGAUUUAGGAUUUAGAAUUUGUCUAGGGUUUGAUUAAGAUUGGAUUAGGAUUAGGGGUUGGUUAGAAUUUAAGGUUUUAUUAGAUUUUUAUUAGGAUUUGACUAAGUUUUUUUUAAUAUUCUUUUAUAUUUCUUUAGGAUUUCUUUGUGUUUUUUUUAUAACUUCAAUAAAAUUUAAUUGAGCUUGCUUAAUAUUUGAUUAUGAUUGUUAACGUUUAAUUAUAAAUUCUCUAUAACCCUAUUGGAUAGUUAGGACCUUUUGUUGCAAUUUUCUUUUACCUUCCACAACCAAGUGUUUGGUGCAUUCUCAAGUAAGACUUCACGUAAUACGACAACACAAUGCAAGAUUGGUGCAGAAGUAAACUUCUUUUGUAAAGCAUUAAAUGAUGCUUUUGCUUCUUUAUUCUACUCAAGUUUGUCUUCACAAGUUAAACAUGUAAGUGGAAGUGAAACUUGAAAAAAGUUCUUGAUGAAGAUUUUAUAGUAAUUAAUAAAGCCUUAAAAGCAUUACACAUAUCAUAUCAUUUUUAGAAUCUUCCAAUCUAUGAUAAUUUGGAUCUUUUUGGGAUCCAUCAUAUGGCCUUUGUUGAAAAUGAUGUAUCCUAAAAAGUCAACUUGAGUAGUGUAGAAUACACACUUUUUUAUCUUGGCAUAUAAUCCUACAUCUCUAAGUUUCUAUAACACAUGACGAAUAUAAAGUUUAUGUUUUUUUGUGUUGUUAGAGUAAUUAGAAUGUUGUCUAAAUAGCAAAUGACAAAAUCAUCUAAAAACUCACAAAAAAUAUCAUUCAUAAGAUAUUGAAAAGUAAUCGAUGAAUUUGUGAGUCUAAAAGGCAUGAUAUUAUAUUCAAAAUAUCCAUAUCUAGUUUAAAAAGUAGUCUUCCAUUCAUUUCUUUCUUUGAUAUGAAUUAAGUUGUAUGCUCUUUGUAGAUCUAUUUUAGUAUAGAUCUUUGAUUAAUUAAGUUGUUCAAGAAGUCCUAAAAUCAAAGGUAAAAGAUACCUAUUUUUUAUGGUCAUCUUAUUGAGUCCUUGAUAAUCCACACACAUCCGUAGAAAUCCAUCUUUUACAAAUAAGAUAGGAGCCCCGAUUGGAGAUUUAGAAUAGAAUAUGAAGUUCUUUGCUAAGUUCUCAUCAAUAUACUUCUUUAAUGCAGCCAACUCAUUUUGCGAUAAGCUAUAGAUUGAUCCAAAUGGUGGUUGAGUACUUUGUUGUAAAUCAAUUGAACAAUCAUAAGAUCAAUGCUCUGGAAGAAUAUCUCCUUUCUUUUUUUCAAAAAUGUCUUAGCAUUCUUUAUGUUAGCUAGGAAUACUUCACGUUUUUUCACCAUUAGAAAUGGGCAUAGUGUGAUUGCUCGUUUUACUUAUUCUGGAAGAAACUUCCCAGAAUAAAUCCAUAUAGGGGAAUUCGAACACGGGGAGUGACUAGUUGCUUGAGCGUUCACGUUAGGGUCACACAAUUAAUUACCUCCAAUGUAUAGUCACUAUUUCCAUUAUCUAAGCACAUAGAAAAAUGAUAAUCUCUCCUUUCACCUUAUCACUCUCUUCUUUGCAACAAUUCAGUCAUACCAAUAACUGUUAUUUCCACCAAUAUAUCUUCACUCUUAUAAUCUUCAACUGUAAUACCUCAACAUCACAGCUUCAGCACACAAUUAUCCUCAUUCCAAUUACUGGAAUUCUUCACACAAAACUACCAUUCACAUUACAGUGUUUCACACAACCACAAAUUCACUCUUUCUGCUGAACUACAUUCAGAUUUCAGCAUUCAAUCUCUCUUCUUCUCAUUCAAUAACAUAUAAUUCCAUUCACACUUUCAUUCCAUGAUUCACUUCACAAUAUUCAGAAACUCUCAAUACUCUUAUUUCAAAGAACAUAACAACAAAAGAAAAGAGGUAGCACCAAGCUUAUCCUGGCUCACACUAUCACAGUAAUGGCGGUUUCUUCCUCUCUCUCAUCCUCCUUAUCCUACCACAAGAUACCAACUGCUACAUCUCUAAUGAAAACUAUUUUUCCUAACUAUUCAUCCAUUUUAACUACUGAACUACCUUUCUAAUAGUCAUCUAUCCCUGUUUACACUAUAAACUAAGUAUCUACAAAUCAGCAAAUAACUACUUAUUCUACACAUAGCAUAUAUGGCAAAAGUUGAUCCUUCUAUUUCAACAUGGAUGAAAGCUCUUGCACAUAUUGUCAAGGAUAUAAAUCUCAAAGAAAGAGAAUUCUCAAUAUACUCUUCUAUCACUAAAGAGAACUAAAAAGUCACUCAAAAGGUGAUGUAAUAUUAACUUGAAUGGCUAUUGCCAAAAAAAAAAAGACUAGAAAGACUUGAAACAAGACUAAGACUAGAAAGGCAUUGAUAAGAAUGAAGAAGGCUUCACUCUUGCCUCCAUUUAUACUAUCUAAUUAAGAGCUACGCGGCGAUGUCCUAUAGGACCUCCAACAUGUGUUGACUUUGUUAGCCACAUGUCUUAUCUUGCAAGGCAAGUUAUCUAUGUAUGGCCCAUGUAGUUGGCUUGUUCUACAAGCUACUAUACGGAGAUAACUUGUUCUACAAGCUACUAAUACAUGGUUAGCUUUUUGGCCAAGUUUCUAACCUACAGACACAUCUAAAAUCAAAACUGCAUCUAUGAAGCUUUUAGGAAGUUUUUCUAGAAGACUUUAUAAAUUAUUCUAUAUUUACUUACUUCUACUUAAUCAUGUAAGUAACUAUGGAAGUAAAUAUAUAUGUUUGUGAUAUUAUCCCCCCUUCUAGAGACGAGUUCUAUAAUGAGCGGUCUUCAUAUGUUGAGAAAGUCCAAGAUGCGGCAAAUUAUAUUUGCUACAUAUUCCAAUUUUUGCUCUCUUCAAAGAUGGUUGAUAGGUCUUCUCAACCAUCUAUAGUGUCCUAUACCAGGGCAAGAAGACUACCCUGUUAUUUGGUCAUUGUUGAAGCCUUCAUAACUUCUUUCAAAUAAAAUAUUUGGAACACCGUCAAGAGCUAUUCCUACCUCUAAUAAAAUCACUAAACAUCGAGAGUCUCUUCUAAAGUCAUGAUACCAAAUACAUUGUAUCUUGCCAUCUAUUUGAAGAAGGACAUGUUGUUCUUAAGGAUCUUCAUCUCGAUUCUGCCAUCUCAAGGUUGUGACAAUCACAAUGUCUUGUCUGGUAAGUUCGCAAAUGAAAGCUUUUGAGUUGAAUCUGCUAGUUGUUGAUACUCCAUCUCAUCACAAAUACACAGAAGCUACAAUAAAAGAUAGAAGGUAGAAUAUUAUUUUCUUUUGAUCUUGUUUCUUUUAUAACAAAGAUUUACUAUUCUUCAUCUUGGUUUUGAUGGAUGUCAUUGAUAAAAGACUUCAACUUUCUUUGCUACAUUUAUAAGAUUCUUUGAUUGCUCCCAUAUGCAUUCACUAAUAUCAUAUCUAUACCAAUGAACAAGAUAUUCUAACCUAUUUUGGCACCACCUUCAAUUUAAGACUUCUUCCACCUCAAACUCUUAGUUAUUAUCUACUUCUAUAGGAUGAGAUGGCAUUUGUCUUCUUCCCAAGAUAUUCACUAUCUUAUACGGCUCCAAAAGAGAUACGUGAAAUAUAGGGUGGAUCUUCAUAGACUCUGAUAGAUGUAAUCGAUAGGCAACAAGAUUGAUUUGUUUACAAAUAGGAAAAGGUCUUAGCCUACGAUAAUCUAAUUUAUCGCAAGGACAAAUAGUCUUGAUAUUACGACAAAGUAACCAUAAAUUGUCGUCCAUAUUAUAUUAUAGUUGCUCUUUGAGAUAGGCAUCCAUGUUGGUCUUUUUUCGUUCUUGAGCUUCCUUUAAUUGUAUCUUCAUUAUUGUAUGUGGCUCUAACAAGCGAUUUGCCAAAUCUUUUAUCACAGGAUUAUCAACUUUUGAAAAGUCAAAAAUAUCAAGACGUGGAUGAUAACCAUAAUUGGCAAAGAAAGAUGUUUGUUGAGUGGAAGAAUGUACUAAAUUAUUAUAUAGAAACUCUGUCAAUGGUAAAAGAGUUGUCUAAUCAUCUUGAUGAUAGUUGAUGGUAUAUCUCAAAUAUUACUCCAAAACUUGAUUAAUCCGUUCUAUUAGUGGAUCAGUUUGAGGAUGAAAAGCUGAAAAAAGUUUUAUAUCCAUCUUUAGAAACUUGAAUAGAGUUCUCCAAAAACUUAAUACAAAUUGAAAGCCCUUAUCCAAUAUAAUAUCCUUUGGCAAUCCAUGAUAGCAAUAGAUAUUGUCAAUAAAAAGCUUAGCUAUUUCUUUACCUGUGAUGGAUUUUGUACAUAGUACAAAAUGUGUCAUCUUAAUAAAACGAUCUACUAUCAUGAAUAUAGAGUCAUAAGAAUCUGAGAUUGGAACAUUCGUGAUGAAAUCCAUAGAAAUAAAAGACCAUGGUUGUUUUGGAAUCGAUAAUGGCUAAAGAAGUCUGUAAGAUCGAUGACGAGGAGUAUUUAAUCUUGAGGAAAUAUCACAAGAUUGUACAAAAUCUUUGACUACUUUCUACAUUUGUAGCCACUAAAAAUCCUUGAAUAUUAGUUCCAAAGUUUUAUUGUAUCCAAAAUGUCCUGCUGUUGGAAAGUCAUGACAGGCUUAGAACACAUAAUCAAGCUUUACCUUCUGGAACAUAUAGGCAUCCUUCAAAAUACAAUAGAUUAUUCUUGAAUUCAAACUUGGAAGUAUCAUGAGGCUUAGAGGAAGUAUCUUUGAUGUCUUGAAUAAGAGGAUCAGAGGACAUGCUUCAUUGAAUUUGCUUCACAAAUGUUGAAUCAACAGUCCAUAUUGAUUUUAUAGAUCGAAGAUAAAAAUACUUGGGCUUCAAAAAAAUUGAUCUUUGUUGAUCAAAUGAUGCAUUUCCUUCUUUUGGGAGAAGAUAAGAACAUCUAGAAAGAGCAUCCGAUAGACCUUGUUAUUUUUCGAGUCAAUAAGUGAUCUUGAAAUUGAAUCUAGAUAAAAACAUGCUCCAAUGGACUUGACGAUGAUUCAAGACACGUCCUAACAUAAAAUAUUCAAGGUUCUUAUGGUUUGUAUAUAUGAUAACUAGACUUGAGGUACCUUCUAGAUAAUGAUGCCAUUCUUAAAAUGAAUCUACGAUUGCAAGGAGCUCUUUAUGAUGGAUCUCAUAAUUAAUCUCGUCUGUUGAAAAUUUCUUUGAAUAGAAAGUUAUUACAUGGAGUUUGUCAUCUCUUUCCAUUUGUGACAACAUGAUACCUAUAGCAAAAUUUGAUGUGUCAAUUUUUGUAAAAAAUAUUCUUAAAAUAGUCAAUAUAAUAUAAGAUUGGUACAGAAAUAAAUUCCUUCUUUAUAGCAUCAAAUGACGCUUCUGCUUCUUUAUUCCACUCAAGUUUGUUUUUACAAGUCAAACAUGUAAGUGGAGCUGCAACUUGAGAAAAAUUCUUGAUGAAGAUUGGAUAGUAAUUAGCAAAGCUAAAAAAAUAUUGCACAUCUCAUACUUUUCUUAGAAUCUUCUAAUCUAUGAUAGUUUGAAUCUUCUCAAGAUCUAUCAUAAGGCCUUUGUUGGAAAUGAUGUAUCCUAAAAAAUCAACUUGAAUAGUGUGGAAUAUACACUUUUUCAACUUGACAUAUAAUCUUACAUCUCUAAGUUUCUAUAAUAUGUGACAAACAUGAAGUUCAUAUGCUUUUAUAUUAUUAGAGUAGAUUAGAAUGUCGUUUAAAUAGAAAAUAACAAAAUCAUCUAAAAGUUCACAAAAAACAUCAUUCAUAAGAUGUUGAAAAGCGGUCGGUGUAUUUGUGAGUCCAAAAGGCAUGACAUUAUAUUCAAAAUGUCCAUACCUAGUUUGAAAAGCAAUCUUCUAUUCAUCUCCUUCUUUCAUACGAACUAAGUUAUAUGUUCCUCGUAGAUCUAUUUUGGUAUAGAUCUUUGCUUGAUUGAGUUGGUCAAAAAUUCCUAAAAUCAAAGAUAAAGGAUACCUAUUUUUGAUGGUGAUCUUGUUGAGUCCUUGAUAAUCCACACAUUUGUAGAGAUCCAUCUUUCCUCUUCACAAAUAAGAUAGGAAUCUCGGCUAAAGAUUUAAAAUGGCGUAUGAAAUUUUUUGCCAAAUUUUCAUCAAUGUACUCCUUUAAUGCAGCCAACUCAUUGUGCGAUAAGCUAUAGAUUGAUCCAAAUGGUGGUUGAGCUUCUUCUUGUAGAUCAAUUGAGCAAUCAUAAGGUAGAUGUUUAAGGAAAAUAUCUACAUACUUCUCUUCAAAAACAUCUUAGAAUUCUUGAUAAUACUUAGGAAUACCACUUGACAUUAUUUUAUUAUUAGAAAUGGGUGUAGCAUAUAUAGCAAAAGAUGAUCCUUUUUUUGCAACAUGCAUGAAAGUUUUUGUACUUACUAGUAAAGGUUUGAACGUAUUGAACUUAUGUACUUCUACUUUGCUAACGCGAACUUGGAUUAUACUAUUAGAAAAGUUAAGAUUAUAAAAAAUCCAAUCUAUUUGAAGGUUAUAUUUUUCUAGCCAUAAUAAUCUUAAAAUAAUCGGAUUAGAGGAAAAUUUUAUUGCAUUAAAUACUACUACAUUGUUAUGAUCUUUAACUCCUAUAUCUAAAGGAAUAGUUUUAUGAAUAAUAUUUUCAGAAGAUAACAAACGACCAUCUAUGACUUCUACAUGUAUGGAUUUAACUUUCUUAACUAAAGAUAUUUUUUGAUUUUUGACAAAAUCUUUGUCUAUAAAACAUGCUGAGGCUCUUGAAUCUAACAAUGCAAAGACUUUGUAAUUAUUAGGUCUUAAAUAUACUUCUAUUAUAAAAGAAGGUGAGGGGUCUCAAGAGAGGAUAGGACCUUUACUAGGUGUUGCAUAUGAUUCCAGCUGCUUGAUCCCUAUUGUAGCUGGAGAAACUCAUUUUUUGACAUAUUAUCUUCUUUGGUAAUUAUACUCCUCAUUUUGUAAUUGUGUUACUUCUUUGGAUAAUAUUGAGUAGUAUGCUUAGCUUCUCCACAAUAUAAACACAACCUCUUUUGGCUAUGUCAAGUCUUUUUUUGCUUUGUAGAAGGUUUAAAAUGUAUCAUAUCAAUUUGCAUUGGUUUUGAUUUUGACGAAUAUGUUUCAGACAAUUCAUAUCAAAAUUAGUUGAUAAGUGCUUUGUCAUUCCAAUCCACCUUGCAAGUAAGAUUUUGGAAUUCGACAACAUAUGUAGUGGCUGAUUGUGAUUCUUGUUGUAAGGAUAAAAUUUUGGUCUCUGCUACUCAUUCUCGAUCACUUUCUCCGAAUAUGGCCAUAAAUAUUUUUAGGAAUGAAUUCAAAUCAUAAAGGAGUCGUGAAUCUUUUUCCAUUAAAAGUGCAAACCAAGAGAGAACACUUCCUGAUAGUAGCGUGCCUAUAAAUCCAACUUAGGUAAAUCGAUCAUGAUAUUAGAAAGGAUGCAACCUUAGAUAGAGCUUGACUUCUUACAAAAAUCCUCGAAAUUUUGAUCUUGUUCCAUCAAACUUCUCAGGCAUACUAAUCUUUGUCCCUGUCAUACUUGUAGAAGCAAAACUCUCUAGAUUCGGUUGUGAUGUUGAUCUACUUGCUUCUUUCAACUACACAAUUUCUUGCUCCAGACUUUGAACUUCUUCUAUAGGCAUAGGCAUAGUACUUCCAUGAUUCACAUUAAAAAUAUGUGAGAUUUCUACUCUUAGAGUGUUGACAAGUUCAUGAAGAUCUACCAUAGUUGCAAAUCUAUUCUCACUUCCAUUGAGAGUUGCCUCUAUAAUCUUUCCUUCCAUAGAUAACUCAAAUAAAUUCAAAAGUUAAAUUAGAAGAAGAUAAUCUACAACCUCUAAAAACUAAUCCACUUACUUCUAAAAUAAGAUAAUAAUAAUAUGUUAGCACUCUUGUCAAAUUGUCAAGGACAUGAAUAUCAGUACACUCUUCUAUCACUGAAGAGAACUAAAAAGUCACUCAAAAGGUGAUGUAAUAUUAACUAGAAUGGCUAUUGCCAAAAAUAAGAAGACUAGAAAGUCUUGAAAUAAGACUAAGUUUAGAAAGGCAUUGAUAAAAGUGAAGAAGGCUUCACUCUUGCCUCCAUAUAUACUAUCUAAUUAAGAGCUAUGUGGCAAUGUCCUAUAGGACCUCCAACAUGUGUUGACUUUGCUAGCCACAUGUCUUAUCUUGCAAGGCAAGUUAUCUUUGUAUAUACCAUGUAGUUGGCUUGUUCUACAAGCUACUACAUGGAGAUAACUUGUUCUACAAGCUACUACACGGAGAUAACUUGUUCUACAAGCUAUCAAUACAUGGUUAGCUUUUUGGCCAAGUUUCUAACCUACAAACACAUCUAAAGUCAAAACCACAUCUAUAAAGCUUCUAGAAAGCUUCUCUAGAAGACUUUAUGAAAUUAUUCUAUAUUUACCUAUUUCUACUUAAUCAUAUAAGUAACUAUAGAGAUAAGUAUAUAUGUCUGUGACACCUAUCAAUAAAAGUUUGGUUGUACUAGACUUUUAUACUUCUACUUCACUAACUUGAUCUUGGAUUAUACUAUCAAAAAAGUUAAGAUUAUAAGAAAUCCAAUCUAUUUGAGGAUUACAUUUUUUUAGCCACAAUAAUCCUAAAAUAAUUGAAUUGGAGGGAGAUCUUAUUAUAUUAAAUACUACUACUUUGUUAUGAUCUUUAAUUGUUACAUUUAAAGAAGCAAUCUCAUAGGUAAUAUUUCUAAAAGACAACAAACGACCAUCUAUGACUUCUACAUGUACGGAUUUAGUUUUCUUAACUAAAGAUAUUUUUUUAUUUUUGACAAAAUCUUCAUCUAAAAAAUAAGCUGAGGCUCUUGAAUCUAAUAAGGCAAAGACUUUGUGAUUUUUAGGUCCUAAAUAUACAUAUAUUAUAAAAUAAGGUAAAGGAUUUGAGGAGAGAAUAGGACCUUUACUAGAUAUUGCACAUGAUUCUAGCCGCACGAUCCCUAUUGUAGUUACAGAAACUUGUUUUCUGACACAUUAUCUUCUUUAGUAAUUGUACUCUUCAUUUUGUAAUUGUAUUACUUCUUUGGACAAUAUUGAGAAGUGUGUUUAGCUUCUUUACAAUAUAAACACAAACUCUCUUGGCAACGUUAAACUUUUUCUUGCUUUGUGAGAGGUUUAAAACAUAUCAUAUCAAUUUGCAUUGGUUUUGACCUUAAUAAAUAUAUUUUAGGAAACUUGGAAGCUGCUUCCAUUUCUUGACUUAUUCUUUUUGAGCUAAGUCUUUCUUCUUCACACCUUUCAAAUAAUCAAUUUUCGUAUGUAAUGAUUUGAAUAAUAAAUUAUUUCAAAGAUUCUACUUUUGGUAUUAUUAAUAACAAAUCUUUGAUACUAUCCUUCCAUCUAUAUCAAAAUUGAUUGAUAAGUGCUUUAUCAUUCCAUUCCACAUUGCAAGCAAGGUUGUGGAUUACCUUCCUCUAACUGAACUUUUUGAAUUUCUUUAAGUUGCCUAUGGAAGAAAAGAUUAAGGAUGCUACUCCUAACAGAAGAGAGAAUAGAUUUAUAACUAUUGCUAAUCUUCAUGAGCUUCUCAAAAUUCUUAGAGUAGAAAUUUGACUUAUUUCUAACUUGAAUCAUAGAGGUACUAUGCCUAUGUCUAUGGUAGAAGUUCAGAGUCUCCAGCAAGAAGUUGUGCAAUUGAAAGAAGCAAGUAGAUCAACCUCACAACUAAAUUCAUGGAGUUUUUUUUCUAUAAGUAUGAUGGAGAUAAGAAUUAGUAUAUUUAAGAAGUUUGAUGGAAUAAGAUCAAAAUUUCAAAGAUUUUUGCAAUAAGUCAAAUUCUAUCUAAAGUUGCAUUCUUUCUAAUACCUUGAUGGAUUUACUAAAGUUGGAUUUAUAAGUGCACUUCUAUGAAGAAGUGCUCUCUCUUAGUUUGCACCUUUAUUAAAAAAAGAUUUUCGACUCCUUUAUGAUUUGAAUUCAUUUUUAGAAGUGAUUAUCGCCACAUUCAAAGAAAGUGAUCGAGAAUGAGUAGCAGAGAACAAAUCCUUAUUUUUACAAUAAAAAUCACGAUCAGCUACUACAUAUGAUAUUGAAGCAAGAGAACUAGAAAGUCAUUCAAAAGUUAACAUAAUAUUAAUUAGAAUAGCUAUUGCCACAAAUAAGAAGACCAAAAAGUCUUGAAACAAGACUAAUGACUAGAACGGCAUUGAUAAGAGUAAAGAAGGCUUCAUUCUUGCAUCCAUAUAUAUUCUUAGCUAAAAGCAACGUGGUGAUGUUCCAUAAGACCUCCAAAACAUGUUGACUUUGCUAGCCACAUGUCUUAACUUAUAAGGUAAGUUAUCUAUGUAUGCACCACAUGGUUAGCUUGUUCCACAAGCUACCAACACGUGAUUAACUUGUUGGUCAAGUUUUUAACCUUUGAACACAUCUAAAGUCAAAACCACAUCUAUGAAGCUUUUAGAAAGCUUCAUUAAAAGACUUUAUGAAAAUAAUCUAUAUUUACCUACAUCUACCUAAUCAUAUAAGUAAUUAUUGAGUUAAAUGUAUAAGUCCAUGAUACUUAGUUAGUUUGUUAUUUUUUUUUAUUUAUUAUUAAAUAUUAAGGAAUAUUUACUAAGGUCAAUAUUUAUAUUGGCCUUCUAACUAUACAUAUAUUUAUAAGAAAAACCAUAAAUAUUAAUUAAUAUUUAGAAGAAGCAUGAAAAAGAACUUCAUAUCUUUUUAGUUUGUUAUAUAGAAAGUAGGAUUUAUAGUAGAUUUUAAUUAAUUUUAUUAUUAUAAAAAUCACCAAUGUAGGAAAUUAUAGCCUUCAAUUGAUAUUAGUAUUAUAGAACCAUUACAAGUAUUUUUAGAAUUUUUAAAAAAUAUAUUUAGAACUUUUUAAGAAUUUUUAGAGUAAUUUCUAAGACUUUGAUAAAAAUGAGUUUUAUCACUUUGGGAGCUAUUAUGAAGAAAUGGAGCAAGAUUUGAAGGCUGCAAAAUUGGGUGUUUUUUAAUACAAUGAUGAAGUCAAAAAUGUAAAAUUAUUGGUUUUACUAGUAGAAAAUAGGAGGACUAGUAGCUAGUGUAGUCCUUUUAAAAAAGGAGGUCCUCAAGUCCCAUAUGAUUAUAUGUCAUGGACAUACAUUGGAAGAUUCUUUGAAUAUUCUUCUAGAAUAUUCUUUUAGAAUAUUCUCUAAAGAUUCUCUAAAGAUUCUUUUAGAAGGUUCUAGAAGAUUCUUAGAAUAUUCCCUAAAGAUUCUCUUAGAAGGUUCUAGAAUAUUCUUAGAAGGUUCUAGAAUAUUUUGAUAGAUUCUAGGAAGUUGCUCGAGAAGUUUCCUAAUUAGUAGAAGUUGUUGGAGAAGCGUCCUAGUUAGCGGUGUCGUGUUGUAACACGAGUAUACAGUGAAAAUAAAAAGAAAGGGGAAUUUUAUUAAUAUUCAGUUACCUCGAAUAUUGGGAGCAUCGACCAACUCCAGUACAAAUACUGAGUGGUCAAGUUCAGUGACUCCGUUACAGUCAGCCGGGGCAUACUGGAAUGCCCCGUUCGAUUCCGAUAACGGGAGUCAGCAGGAAGAGAAGGACCAAUUCACACGACGGGUUCGAGGAGCCAAUUGGAUCCAAUUUCGAGAAUCCAAUCCGGGUCCUCUUACCCAAUAUGAGACCUGUAUUGGUGGGACAAUCCAAUGCAGUCUAGUUACGGGAAAUCCAGGUCUUACUACGGGUCUUAGCCAAUCUGACGCGAGGACCAAUUUGACCCAAUUACGGGAACAUCCAGGUUACUACGGGCAUCUUUCCCAAUAUAGGACCUGAAUUGGUCUGGCGACUCAAUGUGGUCCCGAUUACGGGGUUCAAUUCUGUUUCAGGCUGUCCUGUUCUCUGUGCCGUCUCAGGGAACGUUGUUUUCGGUAAAUGGAUUUCUUAAAGGUAAAAACGGAGGAGAAAGCUUGAGGUGGGAGCCAAUUCCGGAUCUAAGACGGAAGAUUGAAGAAAUUCAGAGGAUAAGGUUAGGGGGAAUAUAGUUUUGGAGUGGUGUGGGUUUUUAUUUGGGGGGAUGAGAGAUUUUUGAAGAUCAAGGGAAUUAGAGAGAGGAGCUUCAUGCUUCGGGUCGGGAAAGGAAAGACAUAGGAUUUGGAUUUUUCUUCUUCGUAGAGUUUUGGGGAAGACUGAGGCAAUCGCUGCUGAAGUCAGUGUUGUAAUGGUGAAUCGGGAUUUUUAAAUGAAGUGGGUUUGAAUACUCUUGACUGUUUUGUGAAAUCGAGUUACGUCUGUGAUUGAAGGAUUAAAAGGGUGUCUAUAGGAUUGAGUAUGCGGAGUGAAUGAAAUUUAUUGGAUUAAUCUAACAAGACAGUCAGUGGAUACAAGAUCGUAAGUACAAAGCAGUAUUGAAGGUUAACAGUUUGGGUUGUACGGGGUUCUCUGUAACGUCUAGAGACCUACCGGCUGGGGCAAAAAGGACUUCGACAAGCAGUCGAAGAGCACCCGUAUAGAUUUACGGUACAUUGUUGCAGUUGUUUAUAUUCCAGCAGUCAAAAACUGAUAGACUGCUUGACUAUCGGCGAAUCUCCAUACUACCUUCUACAGCCAGACGCCCGGCGCGUUCUCGAGCAGGAAAGCACGUAAUACGACAUAAGUGGUGAACCCGACGUGAAAGCUUGAGCAACAGCAAAGCAAUGAUCGAAAGGAAGCUUUGGCAACCAAAGCAUUACAAGCAGUGGUCAAUAAAAUUGAUCAAUUUGAUGGAAGGAAUAUUUCAAGGUAUUUAAGAUGUUAUGUUCGUGAAAUGGAAUUAAAUCGGGUUUCUGAGAAGAAAAUGGUUGCACUAUUUGGACUUGCCACGAUACCGGAGAUAAGGGACCACAUUACAUCGAUUACGGAUCGUUGUGGGAAUUCAUGGGAGGAUUUUUCACAUGCAUUGAAAGACGAAUAUUUCUUGGAAGAUGCUGAUCGCGUUACUAAGAAGCUGUUUUUGGGAUGGAUUGGGCGGCCCAAUAAGAAUUUGCAAGCAACAGAGCUACUAAGGGAAUUUGAGAGGCAGUACUCUCAAUUAUCGAAGGUAGAAAAAUUGACAUUGGAGCCGAACAAAGUUGAUUUAUUUCUUCAAGCUGCUGAUGGAGAAUUGCAAGAGAAAUUAGAACCCCUUCUUGAAGACAAAGAAGAAGAUGAAGGAUUGACAACGAAGUGGAAGAACGUUGAAGAUGCGGUAGGGUUGCUUACAAAAAAAGAAAGGAGGAAGGAUAGGAGUAAUAUUCCGAAACAAGUACAAGCAUCCAAAGCUCCAGUACGUACUACACCACCGACAAUGCCUACAGUUCAACCUUCGACAUCCUUGUCAAAGAAAACAGAUAUGGGUAUGGAAGAAAUUAUACGAGGAAUGCGAGAUCUUCAAAUCAAAUUGGCAAGACUUGAAGAGAAUACUUCUAUAAACAAUUCGAAGAAUGUUUCAAAACAAGGAUAUGUACAAAGAUGCAUUUGGUGUGAUGAUGCUUCACACACUAGAAAAGAUUGCAAUGAAUUUAAUAAUAUGAUACGGCAGGGAAUUAUUUGCUGGAAAGAUGGGAAGAUAGCAUUGAAAGACAGGGAGGAUCUUCUUCAAACCAAUUUUGGCAAGGGAGGAAUGAGAGCAUUGGUUCAAGAUUACUUAAAAGGGCAUGAAACAGUAGCACGAGAAAGUGCAAGUUAUGGUGCUAGAGUAGAUGAUGAAAUUGGUGGAAGUACGGAAACUAGUGAGUUUUGGGCUUCUGCCGUUUCUACAAUGCAAGAAGGGAAAUUACCUCGAGAAGCGUUAUUGAGAACUGCAGCUACAAUACGUGGAAGAAUAGGUUGGGAGGAUCCCGUUGAGUCUCUUUCAGUUCAUGCAUAUAUUGCUAAGAGCCAACAUGAAGCUUUGAUGGAAGAGAAAAGACGAAGAAAUUUUGAUGAUACUAGAGAAGGAAAUUCUUUUAAGAGGCAAACUCGAGGAGACAAGGCUCGGGAGGCAGCUUCACAAGAAUUGCCUGUAAAAGAUACCUCAGCAUCAUUGGGAGAAAAAACAACGGAGACAAAAGAUAAGGGCAAAUCAAUUGCUUAUAAGCUACUUUCUGACAUUGAAGCAGCAACAAAUUUGAAAGGGGUGUUGGAAGAACGUAUAUUAAACGCUAAGGUGGAAUUCACAUUGAAAGAAGUCUUAGAAAUUGCAAAGAAGGAGUUUCAUGAUGUUAUCAUUGACAGCAUUAAGCGAAAGAGGCAAUUAAUGAGCGAAACUGGAAUGAGUCAUGCUAUUGACGCAAGAAUAUGUAGAGAUGAAGAAGAGGUUGAUAUUGGUUACAAGCAACCAAUAAAUGAAAAGAAUGGGUAUAAUCAGCGAGUACGUUUUGAAGAUUCUAGUGACAAGGAAAUGGAAACUUUGAGCCAUUAUACUCGAAAGCAUUGGGCAAGGGCAACUACUGAGGUAUUGGUGAAGGUAGGAGAUAUAGAAGAACCAAUAGUUGCUUUCGUGGACCAUGGUUCUGAAAUAAAUCUCAUGUCUAAAGAUCUUUAUAAGAAGCAAAAAUGGCCAAUUGAUAUGGAACAUGGAUGGGCAAUACGAGCAGCUAAUAACACACGAGGCGAAUUAUAUGGAGCUUGUCCAGAUGUCAAAAUUCGGAUUGGGGAUGUUGCUACGGAGCAAUAUUUCUUCGUUCAAGAUACAACGUCUUAUCUGUUGAUUUUAGGACAACCUUAUAUCACGGCAACACGGAUGGAAACAAAGGUACUUGACGAUGGUUCUGCUUAUGCAAGGGUACGGAGCGAAGAUGGGAGGAAAGCUGUACAAUUUCUAACAGUACCUCCUAACCAUGAACGGAAUCGAGAUAGGUUGAGGGAGAAACCAUUGCCAAAGAUUGUUGAAGGAUUUAAGGAUUUUGGAGAGGUACCACUGUAAAACGAGAUUAUGGAGGUACAAAAGAGGAGGUACUCUCGCGAGAUGAAGGUGCCUUUGAUGCGAGUUUUAUUGGUAUAUUGGAGAAUGGAAAUAUUAUGUAUAAGAAAGUUGAAGAUUUUAAAAGAAAAGAAAGAAAAAGAUUAUAUGAUAUUGAAGGACAGUUACGCAAGAUAGGUACAUUGCAAGAUGAUGAGAGGAUUUUGGGUGUUUAUGAAGAAAAUGGGCUGGAAGAUUCAUUGGAAUUGAUUACAUCUAUUGGGUUAGGAGAUAAUGAUAAGAUUGUUGAGAUUCAUUCGAGAGAGGUUUAUACCAUGCUUGAAUCUUUUCAAGCACGAGAAGUCACAGUAGAGAUGAGAUAUAAAACGGCAGAUAAGAAGGUAAAGCCUGUUGCCGGACCAUUACCAGAGGAUUCUAAAGAACAAAUGGGAGAAGCAUCAAAAGAAGCAAGUUUAAGAGAUCCAAUGAGUAUUGGACAUCAGUUUACUGAAGAGACUUUUGAAGAAUUGAAGAUUGGUUCUGAUGGUUCUUUAUUGCCGGAGGAAAUUACUUGCUUCAAAAAGAUGUUGGCUAAACAAGGUAGAUCGUUUGCCUUCGAAUCUCAUGAAAUUAGGUGUGUAGAUCCAAAUAUUAUAACACCUAUGGUUAUCUUCACUGUACCGCAUGUACCUUGGAAUCUAAGACCGAUUCCAGUACCGAGGGCACAUUUACCUAAAUUGGUCGAACUAUUGAAAGAAAAGAUAAAGAUGAAAAUAUUAGAACCUUCAUUUGCACCGUAUUCUAGUCAAUGGUUUACGGUACCUAAGAAGAAUGGGUCACUUCGGUUUAUUCAAGAUAUGCAGCCGGUGAAUGCUGUAACUGUCAGGAAUGCAGGAAUUGGACCUAUUGUGGAUGAAUUUGCUGAGGCGUUUGCUGGAAGGGCGAUCUAUUCAAUGGGUGAUUUGUAUUCAGGUUAUGAUCAAUUUCAACUUGCCGAAGGAAGUAGAGAUAUGACAACGAUGAGGACACCGCUUGGAUUGGUUAGAAUGUGCACUCUUCCUCAAGGCGCGACCAACUCAGUUGCGCAUAUGAUGAAUGGGAUGAAUAAGGUAUUGAGAGAUUUAAUCCCGGAAAAGACUAUGCCUUUUCUGGAUGAUGUUCCUAUAAAAGGGUGCAAAGAAGGAGACAAGGAUGAAACUUUAGAUACGAGGGGGUGUCGCAGAUAUGUUGUUGAUCAUAUACAAGAUUGUGAAAAGAUUUUAACUCGGCUUGGAGAAGUUCAUCUUACAUUAUCGGGUAUGAAGUCCGUAUUUGGAGUGCGAGAGGUUGUAAUUGUUGGACAUUUAUGCGGAUCUUACGGAAGAAAACCAGAUCCGACUAAAGUUGAUGCAAUUGGAAGGAUGAAAGAGGAUUGUGGUUCUUUAACAGAGGUUCGCAGGUUUUUGGGUGCAUGUGUAUUUUAUCAAAUCUGGAUCCCUCAUUUUGCUCACAUAGCGGAUCCAUUAUAUGAACUGUUAUGCAAGGGUUACCGAUUUGAAUGGGAAGAAAGGCAUAUUCAGGCAAUGCAAAGAUUGAAGAAAUUUUUGAUGUCACCUCCAAUAUUGAGGAAGGUUGAUUAUAAGUGCAAUAAACCAGUGAUUCUUACUGUAGACGCUAGUCCAAUUGCCGUUGGAUGGGCUGUGGAUCAAGAUGAUUCGAAUGGGAGUAGAUUUGUAGUUCAAUUUGGGGCUAAAGUUUUAAGUAUUCGUCAGCGUGCAUUUUCGCAAGUCAAAAGAGAACUUUGGGGAGUCGUUUCGGCUAUGAAAGCUGAAAAGGACUAUUUGAUUGGGGCAAAAAGGACUUCGACAAGUAGUCGAAGAGCACCCGUAUAGAUUUACGGUACAUUGUUGCAGUCGUUUAUAUUCCAGCAGUCAAAAACUGAUAGACUGCUUGACUAUCGGCGAAUCUCCAUACUACCUUCUACAGCCAGACGCCCGGCGCAUUCUCGAGCAGGAAAGCACGUAAUACGACAGCGGAAGUAGCUCGAGAAGCUUCCUAUUUAGUAGUAUAUAUAGGAGUCGAGGCUGAAGGGUUCUUCAGUCUCGACAACACAUCUCUUGGAGUUCUAGCUCACCUUUCUGGUGUUGUUCUUGUACUCAUCUGUUUAAUCUAGUUCUGCCACUUCUUCUUGAACUUCUUGUUAGAUUUCAAGUCUGUAUUUUGUGUCCGUGACAGUUUGUCGAGACUGCAUUUUUACUGGUAUCAGAGCUAGUUCCUUCUUGUUAGAGAUUGGAUUACCCCUCUUCUUGAAGGUGUGCUAGUAUUUUAGAGGUUGCGGAUUACCCUCCUCUAAACUGAUAUCUCUUCUUUCUCAAUAUUGGAGCCUUAUUCUUCUUGGAGAGAGUGGAUUACUCCUCAUCUUGGAGUCUUAAGGCAUUUUAGAGGUUGCGGAGUACUCUCCUCUGAACCAAUAUUGUCCUCUUGUCAAAACUCUUUUUUCUUCUUUCUAAAGGUUAGCCAAAGGUUAAGACGUUAAAAUGGCUGAAAUUUUGGAAUCCAAACUAGACGCCAUCAUAAAUGCUCUUGCCUCGUUGUCACAUAGGACAACAGAGAUUGAAGGAGUCAUGGUAGGACUCCAUAACAAUGGAGCAUCUGGGAUAGCGCCAUCUAAAGCAUAUCAGCCUCAAACUUCUGCGCCAGAAGAAGCAGUUCUACCUCCAUUUCAACAAGAUCGAGUAGUCCUACAACGAAAGGAGCCUCGAGUUAGUCUUCCGGGUAAGUUUGAUGGAACUCGUUCCAAGUUUCGAGGUUUUGUCAACCAAAUCAGGUUGAUAACAAUUUUACAGCCCGAACGUUAUCCGACGGAGGAAGCGCGUGUUGGACUUGUUGGAACCUUGCUUACAGCACAAGCUCUGUCUUGGUUUACUCCCUUGUUCGAGAAGCGAUCGCCAAUCCUGAGCAACUUUGAAACGUUCUUGGAGGCAUUUGCAGGAGCAUUUGGCGAGCAUGAUAAAGUUCGAUGGGCUACAACAAAGAUCCGAUCGCUACGACAAGGAACACGCUCUGCAUCAGUCUAUGCCUCGGAUUUCAGACAAUUGGCAAGUGACAUUAAUUGGGAUGAAGAAGCGUUGGUGAGUCAGUUUUAUUGGGGCUUGAAGGAUGAUGUGAAGGACUUGCUGUUAUCUCUUCCUGAUCCUCAAACGCUCAACGAAGCUAUUAGCCAAGCUCUAAAGUGUGACAACCGCCUAUUCCAGCGUCGUCAAGACCAACGUCCAAGACACCAAAUGACUCGUUACAAUGUGACUAUGUCUGCAAAUAGCUUAAACUCACAUUCGGAGGCAACAGACAUGCAAAUCGACACGGCGCGUGUCCGAUCUCUUACUCCAACAGAGAAGAAACGGCGUAUGGAGGAAGGGUUAUGUUUGUACUGUGGAGAAGAAGGUCACAAGGUUGGAAAUUGCCCAAAGAAGCAAAAUUGGCACCCUGUCAAGACUAGAAGUACGAUGAUUCCGGAAAACGACGACGCCCAGCCACAGUAGGAACCGUACGGCUGGACAAUCUAAUAUCACGACAACAAUCAGGUUCCUCCUUCUUUGUCCAACCUGCCCGUUGUUUUACAAUUCCUUUGUUUUUAGGCCCUCAAAAACAAAAAACUUUAGCUUUAUUGGAUUCGGGGGCAUCUACUUGUUUUUUAGAUGAAGAGUUUGCUAAAUGCCACAAGAUCCAUUUAGUACAGAAGUCCAAACCUGUUCACGUAGAGGUGAUAGAUGGACGACCCUUAUUGUCAGGCAACGUUACCCACAAAUCAGAACCUAUAGAAGUGGUGUUUAAGGACCAUAGUAGUCACGUUAUUUUUAAUAUUAUUAGAAUCCCAUCAAGCCCUGUUAUCCUUGGUCUUUCUUGGUUAGAAGAUCAUAAUCCGUCCAUUGAUUGGAGGCUACGAAGGAUAACAUUUCCUGAAAAAAAUAAUAAUAAACCUGUUGGUAGAACCUACAUGAAGAAAUCCAUGUUUAUUGGAGCGAGAGCGUUCCUAAGAUCGUCCAAGGAAGGCGCACCAUUUGUCAUUUAUGCAGCUCCAACUAGCGGCGAGAAUAUCUCAACAUCGAAUAUACCAGAGCAAUAUAGGGAUUUUGAAGACGUAUUUCAGAAGAAGAACGCUGAUAUACUGCCGAAACAUCGACCAUAUGAUUGCGCCAUAGACUUAGAGGAAGGAGCGCAACCACCUUUUGGUCCAAUAUACAACCUAUCGCAGACGGAGUUGGCAGAAUUACGGAAGUACAUCGAUGAGAAUUUAGCCAAGAAUUUUAUUCGACAUUCAAAGUCGCCAGCCGGAGCACCAAUCCUAUUUGUGAAGAAAAAGGAUGGCUCACUGCGGAUGUGCGUGGACUACCGAGGACUCAACAAGGUGACCAAGAAAAAUCGCUAUCCCUUACCUUUGAUCUCCGGCCUCUUAGAUCAACUUGGACGUGCAAGGAUUUUUACAAAGAUUGAUUUAAGAGGAGCCUACAACCUUGUGCGAAUCAAAGAAGGAGAUGAAUGGAAGACAGCCUUUCGUACAAGGUAUGGCCAUUUUGAGUACAAUGUCAUGCCUUUUGGUCUUACCAAUGCUCCAGCGGUCUUUCAGCAUAUGAUGAACGACAUCUUUCGGGAGUACCUCGAUGACUUUGUUGUCAUUUAUCUGGAUGAUAUUUUGAUAUUUUCCAAGAAUGAAGAAGAACAUGAGAAGCACUUUUGUUUGGUUCUUGAAAAACUACGCGAACGAGGACUCUACGUCAAGUUGGAAAAGUGUCAAUUUCACCAGAAUGAGAUGGAAUUUUUGGGCUUCAUUGCGACUACAGAGGGCUUGAAGAUGGAUCCAAAAAAGAUAGAAGCAAUUAUAUCUUGGGAAGUUCCGAAGACGGUUAGAGAUGUUCAGUGUUUUCUUGGAUUUGCUAACUUCUAUCGGAUCUUCAUCAAGAAUUAUUCUCAAGUUGCUGCACCACUCACGCAUCUAACAAGUAAAGACAAGCUCGAAUGGAGAUCACAAGCAGCAAAAGCAUUUCAAGAUCUCAAGACGGCAUUCACUACGGCUCCAAUCUUGGUACACCCUGACUUUGCAAAGGCUUUCUAUUUAGAGACCGAUGCUUCAGAUUUUGCUUUGGGAGCUGUGCUUUCACAGAUGGGCAUAGACAAGAAGCUUCACCCAGUUGCGUUCUAUUCACGGAAGUUCUCUGCUGUUGAGAUCAACUACGAGAUCCACGACAAAGAGCUGCUUGUUAUAGUGGAUGCCUUCCAAGAGUGGCGUCACUUCCUCGAAGGAGCUGCACAUCCAGUGACUGUUUAUACGGACCACAAGAAUUUGGAGUACUUCAUGACAGCUCGAAUUUUGAAUCGUCGUCAAGCUCGAUGGAAUAUGUCUCUAUCACGAUUUGACUUUAUUAUCACCUAUCGCCUUGGAAAAUAGCAAGGAUUAUCUGACGCAUUAUCGAGGAGAUCGUAUCUUGCGCCAAAGGCUGGAGAAGCAGCGUUUGAUCAACAAUGUACAACAUUGUUGAAACCAGAAAAAUUCAGGAUUUUUGCUACUGUUGCAACUAUCGAUGACGGCUUCCUCAGCGAGGUACGUACUGCGACCAUUGAGGAUUCUAUAGCUCUUGACAUCAAACAACGUGUCGAUAAUGACAAGUUUAAGGUGGAGGGAGAUCUUCUGUAUUUUGAGGAGCGGUUGUAUAUCCCGAAAGGACCAACUCGACUCCGAGUACUUCAAUCUCGCCACGACUUUCCAGCUGCGGGACAUUUUGGAUUCAACAAGACUUUAGAGCUCAUUUCACGAGAUUUUUGGUGGCCCCAAAUGUGGAAGGAUGUGAAGGAAUUUGUCCUUUCUUGUGAUGUUUGUUCAAGAUCCAAGAUUCCUCGACAUCGUCCGUAUGGACUUCUCCAGCCAUUGCCUAUUCCGCACCGACCAUGGUCUUCAGUUUCUAUGGACUUCAUUACGGACCUACCGCCAUCGAAUUCAUUUGACAGCAUCUUUGUUGUGGUGGAUCGAUUUACAAAGAUGGCGCAUUUCGUGCCUUGCAAGAAAACAUCGUCAAGUGAAGACACCGCAAGACUCUUUCUUGAUAACAUAUAUCGUUAUCAUGGCCUACCAGAUGAUAUCGUGUCGGAUCGAGGUACUCAGUUUGUAUCCAAGUUUUGGAGGUCCCUCUUUGAGAUAUUGAAGGUGGAUAUUAAGCUCUCUUCGGCUUUUCAUCCUCAAACUGACGGUCAAACGGAGCGGGUGAAUCAAGUUUUGGAGCAAUAUUUACAAUGCACCAUCAACUAUCAACAAGAUGAUUGGACUGCAUAUCUACCGCUUGCUGAGUUCGCAUACAACAACACACUUCAUGCGUCAACUCAACAAACACCAUUCUUCUCCAACUACGGAUACCACCCCAAGCUCGAUUUAUUGAGUUCUUCAGCAAAUAACAACCCAGCAGCUGAAGGAUUUCUGAAGCAACUAUUGGAGCUUCAAGCGACGUUGAAGCUUCAAUUGCAAUCUGCCCAAGAGAGUUACAAGGCAUCUGUAGAUAAAUAUCGAAAUGAGGCGCCUACUUUUAAAGUUGGAAGUAAAGUAUGGCUUCUUCGACAGAAUAUCAAGACCAAGCGGCUAUGUGACAAAUUGGACUAUCGGAGAUUAGGGCCAUUUGUUAUCGGGAAGCAGAUCAAUCCGGUGGCAUAUCGUCUGGAGUUACCAGCUACUAUGAAGGUACAUCCAGUCUUUCAUGUGUCUUUGUUGGAACCUUAUCGAGAGUCAGUUUUUCCCCAAAGAGUACAAAGUCCGCCACCAAGUAUCGAAAUUGAAAACCAUGAGGAAUAUGAGGUGGAAAAGGUACUAGAUUCACGGCGUAAUAGGAGAAAAUUGGAGUAUUUAGUGCAUUGGAGUGGAUACGACAUCGAUGAACGAACGUGGGAGCGUGCCGAAAAUCUUGCCAAUGCACCAAAAAAGGUACAAGAAUUUCAUCAACGAUAUCCUCAUAAACCUAAGCCGAUUCAACGAUAGCUUCUUGCUGAAGCUUGCUCAUCAAGUAGCAUAAAAAGGGGGGAGGGCACCUCCAAAACCCAUAAUUCGAUAGUGUAGAACUUUGUUAGCAACUAUAGUUUGCUCUCAUCAUUUUAGCCUUUGGACAUGGAUAGUCAAGAUACUACACUUGUUAUGUCAUCUCAAGCGACUAGCUCAUGAAGACGACCGCGAGAUGAAGAACCGCCUGUACCACGACGACGUCGGAGGAUACCGAGCAACAGAUCGCUAGUAAUUGUAUUUGAGGUCGAGCCUGCCUACAACGGUCAGCCAGAAGGUGUGUUUGGAGGACAGUUUCACAAUGAAGACACAGAAGUCCACGCUUGGUCAGAGGUUGAAGGUGUUGGUCACUACCGUUGGCUCCAAGGGCCGAUGAAUCAUUUGCCUCGCGAACAACAAUUGGAAUUCAUAGCGGAUGUGAUGCGACAGAUUUUCAUUUUCUUGCGUUGAUAUUGACUGAUAACAACAUUGCUUCUCGGAGACCUCGAAGUUAGAAGAGGAGGUGAUGUCAUGGACAUACAUUGGAAGAUUCUUCAAAUAUUCUUCUAGAAUAUUCUUCUAGAAUAUUCUCUAAAGAUUCUCUAAAGAUUCUUUUAGAAGGUUCUAGAAGAUUCUUAGAAUAUUCCCUAAAGAUUCUCUUAGAAGGUUCUAGAAUAUUCUUAGAAGGUUCUAGAAUAUUCUUAGAAGGUUCUAGAAUAUUCUGAUAGAUUCUAGGAAGUUGCUCGAGAAGUUUCCUAAUUAGUAGAAGUUGUUGGAGAAGCGUCCUAGUUAGCGGAAGUAGCUCGAGAAGCUUCCUAUUCAGUAGUAUAUAUAGGAGUCGAGGCUGAAGGGUUCUUCAGUCUCGACAACACAUCUCUUGGAGUUCUAGUUCACCUUUCUGGUGUUGUUCUUGUACUCAUCUGUUUAACCUAGUUCUGCCACUUCUUCUUGAACUUCUUGUUAGAUUUCAAGUCUGUAUUUUGUGUCCGUGACAUUAUAGCACCUUGAAGGUAGUUAGAAAGAUAAGACUAAGGCCUUGUAGCCUCUUUUAAAAAAUUGAUAUACAUUAUUUGUGAGCCUUGGUAAGGCUUGAAUUUUUUAUCUCUUAAGUAAGUUAUUCUUGAGAUAAAAAUUAUUUAUUAAAUUUUUCAUUUAUUUGCUUGUUGUUUUAAAUCUUCAUAACUUACUUAUAAUAACUCGGAUGUUUCUUAUAUUAUUAGAAAGAUAAAAAAAAAUUACCUUUCUAAAUUUUUCUUUUUUUUCUUUUAUUUUUUCUUAUUAUUGGAUAAAAAUGCAAUGAACAAUUUGUGACUAGUUUUGUAGUAUAUAAUUGCUUGAUUGUACUUAUUUCACUUGUUUUUGUAUUUUUCUUCUUUUAUUCUUGUUCUUGCUACUUCCACUUCAUACCACCAAUUACAAACAACUCUUCAUUGAUGGCAUCUUGUAAUUUGGGUUAAGUAUUGAAUUUUACACUCACAUUUUGGUGCGUUUGCGGGGAGGUGGUGCUUCUAAUCGUGUAUGUGAAUAUGAAGUUUCUUGUUGUAAUUGAUCUUGCUUGAUUUUUAUGAAUAAGCAAUUCAAAUAGGUCUAUAUCAAAAGUGUUUUACUUUUCUUCCUUAUUAGUGAAAACAAAGCAUUUCAAAUUUUUACUUUAUAAAAUAGUUAAGGAUUUCAAUGUUGAAAUGAAUGUAGAUUUCACUCGGGUUUUUAUCAAUCAGUUUUUAUGUGUUAAAUCUUUUGUGUUUAAACUUUAUGAAGUUGUGAAUCGUGACCUCAGCUUUUCAAAAAGCUAUUACAAGCUCAAAUUGGAGUUGAUUUGGAUUUUAUGUGAAUUUUAGAUUAGGAAGAGGUUCACUGCCUUGGCAAUUUCAUGUACCUCUUGUUUGGAAAGGCAUUUCUUAGUGCUUGGUAAUAUAUUAUUGUAAAACUUUUCGAAGACAAGCACCUUCAAAGUUUAGUUUGUAGUGGUAAAAAAUUCAAUGCUAUUGAAUCAAAAUUGAAUCUGUGGCGAUUUUUGGAGUAGAGAGAGGUUGCUGUCAUGAGCGGAAUACAAUUGAGGUUAGUAAUUUCUAUCUCUUCUAUCAUUUGCAAUCUGGAUUUAUGUUAUAUUUUAAAAUUUUGUAUUAAAAAAAUUCUUCUUAACUAUAUCAAAUAAAAAUAAAAAAUAAAUUAAAAUAAAAAAUAUAUAUAUAUAAAUGAAGAAAGAUACAAAAUAAAAUAAAAACAAAAGAGAAUCAAUAUUAAAUUAAUAAAAAUAAUAGAUUAAAGGUAAAAUAGAAAUGAUAAUAAUAUUAUUAAAUUAAAAGAAAAAAUAUAUAUAAAAAUGAAGAAAGAUAUAUAAUAAAAUAAAACAAAAGAAAAUAAAUAUUAAAUUAAUAGAAAUAAAAGAUUAAAGAUAAAAUAGAAAUGAUAAUAAUAUUAUUAAAUUAGAAUAAAUAUUUAAUUAAUUAAUUAAAAUUAUAAAAUUAAUUAACAGUUUUAAUUUGCUUUUAAUUUUUAUUUAAUUAUUAUAUUCACUUUUAAUUUUUUUUUUACUUGUAUUUUAUUUUUUAUUUUAAAUAUUUACUCUUAAUUUUAUUUAUUGAUAUUUUUUUAUGUGCAUGAUAAGUUUUAUGUAUUGGAAUAAAUUUAAUAUAUUUUUCAGUUCUUCAUUAAUUGAUUUUCUAUACAAUAAUAUUAUUUCUAACCUUAAGUAAUAUUUGAUUAGUUUAUUAUUAGUGUUAGUAUUAUUUGGUGGUUUUCUUAAGUUACUUUUUAGUUCCAAAAGCAUACAAGAUGGAGUUUGACUUCAAAGUCUCAUCACUCCCUUUUUUUUUAAUUUUCCAGUUGAUGGACAUUCUCUAGUCGUAGGGAGAUUUAAUCACUCUCUCCACCCCUCGUAUCAAUUCUUUUUAUCUUUGUAAAUAUCUAAUUGAAGGCUUUUCUCUGGUGGUAGGGAGAUUUCAUCACUUCUUCUACCUCUUAUAUCCCUUCUAUUCAUAGAAAUAGUAUAGAAGGAGAUUAAGAAGAAUUCAAGUGAAUUCUUCAUCAAUAAAAGAAGAAAAAAUUUAAGAAGAAGGAAUAAGUAGAAAAAUUAGAUAGAAGAAAUUUGAAAAAAAAAAAAAAAAAAAAGAAGAAGAAAAGAAGAAAAAUGAAGACCAACAAGCUCAAAUUAUAAUCCAAGAUGAAUAUCUUUUCAAUAAAGUUUAUUUAGUUUUAAAUUUAUUUUACUAACACAACUUAUAGUUUGAAAUAAAGGAGCAUAAGAAAAAAGAAUAAAAGCAUUAAAAGCUUACAAAUAAGUAAGUCGAACCUUAUCAAUUUUUACUUUCUUUAAAAUUUUAGAAAAUUACUUGAAUAUGAGUAGGAGCUAAGAGUUGGAUGAUAGAAUCUAAGAAGAAAAUAUGAGAAGAGGUAACCUUUUAAACCUUCUUAAAGAUUUUAUUUUCUUUCGGAUCAACAGAGCCUUAAAGUUCUUUUCUAUUUUAAUUCAAAAAUAGAUUUAAUAUAUAUAUAUAUAUAUAUAUAUAUAUAUAUAUAUAUAUAUAUAUUAAUUUAAAUCGAAUAUGAAGGAAGUCAUAUGAGAUAUUCUUUGACACGCGCCAAAUUGGCUAGCAAUACAAUCUAGUGAAUUUUCCUACAAAUAGGAUUGAUGCAUAUAAAGAACCUUUUUUAUCUAGUAUAUUUGUUGCAAAUUAAGUAGUAAGGAAUUCCUUAACUGCAAUGGUAUAAAGGUGUCAAGGAUAUGAACUAAAAGAUGAUGCAAAAACCAAUGAAAUCCAUGUCAAAAAAAGUAUAACAAAAUAGAAACAAGGAAGCUUGUAUAUUAAAAAGAAAUUAGAAUGGCUUAUUGCCAAAAGACAAGAAAACUUGAGACUCUUGAAACUAUACUAGAAGCAAGAAAAGAGUUGACAAGAGUGAAGAAGGCUUCAUUCUUGUCACUAUAUAUACUAUCUAACUAGGAGCUACGUGGCAAUGUUCUAUAAGACCUCUAAUAUGUGUUGACUUUGUAGGACACAUGCCUUGACUUACAAGGUAAGUUUUUCAAUGUGUGGACCACAUAAUUAGCUUGGUUUUCAAGCUAACAACAUGUAUGGCACAUGGCCAACUUGUUGAUUACUUUUUUAAUCCAAAAAGUCAAUUAUAGAUACUUAUAAAGUCAAAGUAAUAUCUAUGAAGCUUUUAGAAAGCUUUUAUAGAGGAUAUUAUAGAAUUAAUUUACUUUUACUUACUUCUAGUUACUUCUUUAUGUCUAUGAUAUUAUCCCCUCUUCUAGGAACGAGUUCCACAAAGAGCAGUCAUCAUAUGUUGAAAAAAUCUAUGAUGCAAUGAAUUAUAUUUGCUACAUACUCAGAUAUUUUUUCUCUUUGAAGAUGGUUGAUAGUGCCUAUCAACCAUCAAUAGAAUCUCAUACCAAGGUGGGAAGACCAUCUUAUUAUUUGAUUAUUUUUGAGGCCUUUAUAACUUCCUUCAAAUAAAAUAUUUAGAACACCAUCUAUAGUUGUUCCCACCUCUAAUAAAAUUACCAAACAUCAAGAGUCUCUUCCAAGGUUGUAAUACCAAAUGCAUUGUAUCUCACCAUCUAUUCAAAGAAAAACAUGUCGUUCUUGAGGAUCUUCACCUCGAUUGCAUUAUCUUGAAGAUUGUCACAAUUACAAUGACUCAUCUAGUAGGUCAGUAAACGAAGGCUCUUCAAUCAAAUCCACUGGUUGUUGGUUCUCCAUCUCUUUAGUAUUACAACUACAAAGAAGCUACAAAUAAGGAUAGAAAGUAGAAUGUUAUCUUACCUAGUUCUUGUUUUUUUUAUACAAAAGGUCUACAUUUUCAUUUUGAUGGAUGUCAUUGAUGAAAAGUCUCUGCCACCUUUGCUGUAUUUGCAUGAUUUUUUACUCGCUCCCAUGUAUAUUCAUUAAUAUCAUAUCCGUGCCAAUAAACAAGAUCUUUCAACUUAUUUUGGCACCGCCUUGAAUCUAAGACUUCUUCUACUUCAAACUCUUUAUUAUUGUCUACUUCUAUAAGAUGAAGUAGAGUUUGUCUUCAUCUUAAUAUGUCCACUAUCUUAUAUGGUGCAAGAAGAGAUAUAUCGAAUACUAGAUGGAUUUUUAUUGACUCUAGUAGGUGUAAACAAUAUGCAACUAGAUUGAUUUGUACAAAAAUAGAAAAUGGUCUAAUCUUAUAAUAGUCCAACUUGUUACAAGGACAUAUGAUCUUAAUAUUGUGACGAAGUAACCAUAUUUUAUCACCUAUAUAGAAUGGUGGUUGCUUCUUUCGAUAGACAUCCGCAUUGAACUUUUAUUGUUCUUAAGCUUGUUUUAAUUGUGCCUUUAUUAUUGCAUAUAGCUCUAAUAAAUGAUUUGCCAAAACUUCUGCCAUAAGAUUAUUACCUUUCAAAAACUCAAAAGUAUCAAGUCAUGGAUGAUAAUCAUAAUUAGCAAAGAAAGGUGUUUGUUAUAUAGAAGAAUGUACCGUGUUAAUAUAAAUAAAUUUUGCCAAUAUUAAAGAUAAGAACUUGAUAAAAAUAAAUAAAAAAGUAAGACUUCUCUCAAAGAAAAAUGAUAAAAUAGAAAUAACUCAAAAUGUAUAUUAAGAAAGAAACUGAAAUAGCUAUUGCCAAAAGAUAAGAAAACUAGAGACCCUUGAAGCUAGUCUAGAAGCAAGAAAGGAAUAGACAAGAGUGAAGAAGGCUUCACUCUUGUCUCUAUAUAUAUUAUCUACCUAGGGGCUAUGUGGCAAUAUUCUAUAGGACCUCUAAUAUGUGUUGACUUUGUAAGACACAUGCUUUAACUUACAAGGCAAAUUUUUUUAUGUGUGGGCCACAUAAUUAGCUUGGUCUUCAAGUUAACAAUAUGUGUGGCACAUGGCCAACUUGUUGACCAUGUUUCUAAUCCAAAAAGUCAAUUAAAGACACUUAUAAAAUCAAAGUAGUGUCUAUGAAGCUUCUAAAAAGCUUCUAUAGCAAAUAUUAUAGAAUUAACUUAUUUUUAUCUACUUUUACUUAGUUCUACCUAUUUAUACAUAUAAUUACAUGCAUAUGUCCGUGACAUUACCUCCCUUUCUAAGGACGAGUUUCACGAAGAGUGGUGUUGUCAUGUAAUACAACUAUAUAGUAAAAUUAUAAUUAAAAUUGAAUUUCUAAUUAAUAUCUAAUUAUCUUAGUUCAAUUAUAAUUUGAAGUAUCUAAACAUGGCUUUUAUAAAAGCCUCUUAGGUUAUUUUCUUAUCUUAAUAGUUAGCUGGUUGAAGAUUAGUUAGUAAUUUUACUUCUAGGUUGUAGAGACUCUUCUACUACCUUAAAAAGACCAUAAAUUGAUAAAAUCAGGAUAGAAGAGGUAAAUGAUUGGUAUGAUUGAUACUAAGGUCAAGUUAAGGAUAGAAUCAGGCUAAAAAAUCCUUAAGAUAAGUUAGAUUAAUACCUAAGGGUCGACCAUUUGUGAGACAGGGUGGAAAUCAGUUCUCUAGUCACUAAAAUGACUGUCGAGGGCAAGUUAGGAGAUCAUUCGAAGAUCAAAGAUUAAGAUUUGAGAGCUAGCUUGAAGUUCUUUUCAAAGACAUAAGAAAUAUUUUGAGAGGUUUUUAGAGGACUUAGCAAUUGUUGUUCAAAUUUAAGAAUUGUAUCAGUAAUUUGGAUUUUAUAUAUUAUAAUUAGGGCUAGCAAUUUUGGCUAAUUCUUGCAAUUGGUGUAACAUCUAUAGUUAAAAAUUUGAUAUUAUUUAGAUUAUUAAGUGUGAUAAGUGUGUAUAAAAUUUUGUAAUAAUCUAAUAGUGUGGUUAAGAGAUAUCUAGUUUUUAGUACAAGAGGGUUUUGGAAGGUAGCAGUUUGAGGUUGGGUAGGAUUUCUAUGAUAUCUAAAGAUCUAUUAGUUAGAUUAAGGUGAAAAUUGGCAUGGUAUUGAAGGAUUUAAAGAUCAAACUACACAUCAAUUUUGAGUCAAAAUUAAUGAUUGAAAAGGGAGAAAUCAUUGUUGGGAUUUCUUCUUUGUUUUUCAAGUUGGCGGCCAAGUGACAUUAGUGCAAUUUUUGGAGGUUUUCUCACAAUCUGUACGUUGGAUUGGGCUAAAAGUUCUUGAGCAUAUAGAAGACUUACAUUGACAAUUACAUGCAAAAUUCAAAAUCAAGUCGACAAUCGAAUUAGAUGUUAUAACUUAUUAAAGCUCACUGAUUAGGAUUGGAGCUUAUAAGAAAAAUCUAAAUUUCUUAAAUAUGAAAGUAAUAAGGUAAUUGGAAUUUAUGUAUGAUUAAGACUACUAAGAAGACUGUUUUAAGUACUUUUGAAUUGAAAUUUAGAUUAUAUUCUUCUUGUAUAGAUGAGACCUAUUAGGAUUCUUGGCUACUUAUGAAACACAAUUUCAUCUUUCACAACUAAGUGCCCGACGCAUUCCUGAGCAAAUAACAUGUAAUAUGAUAGUAGUCAUCAUAUAUUGAGGAAAUCUAUGAUACAACAAAUUAUAUUUUCCAUAUACUCUGAUCUUUGUUCUCUUCAAAGAUGACUGAUAGAGCCUCUCAACUAUCGAUAGUGUCCUAUAUCAGGGCGAGAAGACCACCCAGUUUUUUUAUUGUUGUUGAGGCCUUCAUAACUUCCUUCAAAUAAAACAUUUGGAACACCGUCAUGAGUUCUUCUUACUUCUAGUAAAAUCACCAAACAUUGGAAGUCUCUUCUAAGGUCAUGAUAUCAAACGCAUUAUAUCUCGCCAUCUAUUCAAGGAAGAACAGGUCGUUCUUGAGGAUCUUCAUCUUGAUUACAUUGUCUUGAAGGUUGUAACAAUCGUAAUGUCUCGUCUGGUAGGUCAUCAAAUAAAGGUUGUUAAGCCAAAUUCGUUGGUUGUUGGUUUUCCAUCUCCUCAAUGUCACAACUACAAAGAAGCUACAAACAAGGAUUGAAAGUAGAAUGUUAUCUUACCUAGAACUUGUUUCUUUUAUAUGAAAGGCUUUCAUCAUGUUUUGAUGGAUAUCAUUAAUGAAAAGCCUCCACCACCUUUGUUGCAUUUGCAAGAUUCUUUACUAGCUCCCAUGUGCAUUCACUUAUAUCAUAUCCGUGCCAAUGGAUAAGAUAUUCUAAUUUAUUUUGGCACUGCCUUGAAUCUAAGACUUCUUCCACUUUGAAUUCUUCAUUAUUGUCUACUUCUAUAGGACGAGGUAGAGCUUGUCUUCUUCUUGGUAUGUCCACUGUCUUGUAUGGUUCAAGAAGAGAUACGUGGAAUAUUGGAUGAAUUUUUAUUGUCUUCGAUAGGUGUAAAUAGUAUGCAACUAGAUUGAUUUGUAUAAAAAUAAAAAAUGGUCUAAGUCUUCGAUAGUCCAACUUGUUACAAAGAUGAGUAGUCUUGAUAUUGGGACGAAUUAACCAUACCUUGUCACCCAUGUGGAAUGGUGGUUGUUCCUUUUGAUAGACAUCCGCAUUGAUCUUUUGUUGUUCUUGAGUUUCUUUUAACUGUGCCUUCAUUAUUGCAUGUAGCUCUGAUAAAUGAAUUACCAAAUCUUUUGCAAAAGAUCAAAAGUAUUAAGUCAAAAGUAUUAAGUCAUGGAUAAUAACCAUAAUUGGCAAAAAAAGGUGUUCAUUUUGUAGAAGAAUGUACCAUAUUAUUGUAAGCAAACUCUACCAAUGGCAAAAGAGUUGUUCAAUCAUCUUAUUGGUAGUUGAUGGUAUAUCGUAAAUAUUGCUCCAAAAUUUGAUUAACACACUCCAUUUGUCCAUCAAUUUGAGGAUGGAAUGUCGAAGAUAGUUUUAUAUCUACUUUUAGAAUCUUGAAAAGAGUCCGCCAAAAUCUUGAUACAAACUGAGUUCCCCUAUCUGAUAUAAUAUCCUUGGAUAAUCCAUGAUAGGGAUAGAUAUAUUCAAAAAAGAGCUUAGGUGUUUCUUCACCUGUGAUGGAUUUUGUAUAUGGUACAAAAUAUGUCAUCUUAGUAAAACGAUCUAUUAUCACAAAUAUAGAGGAUAAGAAUCUGAGAUUGGAAGAUCCAUGAUGAAAUCCAUACAAACAGAAGACCAUGGUUAUUUUCGAAUGAGUAAUGGCUGAAGAAGUCUGUAAGGUUGAUGAUGAGGAGUUUUUGAUCUUAAGCAAACAUCACAAGAUUGUACAAAAUAUUUGAUUGCUUUCCAAAUUUGGGGCCACCAAAUGUCCUUGAAUAUUAGUUCCAAAGUUUUAUUAUACCCAAAAUGUCCUACUGCUAGAAAGCUAUGACGAGCUUAAAGAACACAUAAUCGAACUUCACCUUUUGGAAUAUAUAGGCAUUCCACAAAAUAUAAUAGAUUAUUCUUGAAUUCAAAUUUAGAAGUAUUACGAGACUUUGAAGGAUAUUCCUUAAUAUCACAAAUAAGAAUAUCAAAAGAUAUACUUGACUGAACUUGCUUAAUGAAAGUUGAAUCAAUAAUUAGUAUUGAUUUCAUUGCUCAAAGAUGAAGAUACUCUGGCUUCAAGAAAAUUAUGUGUUGUUGAUCAAAAGUAGUAUCUCUUUCCUUUAGUACAAGAUAAGAUCGUCUAAAGAGUGCAUCUGACAAAUCUUAUUUUACUAGUCGAUAAGUGAUCUUGAAUUUGAAUCUUGACAAAGACAUACUCCAAUGGGCUUGGCAAUGAUUCAAAAUACGUGUUGACAUAAAAUAUUGAAGAUUCUUGUGAUUCAUAUAUACGGUGACUGGGUUAGAAGCAGCUUCUAAAUAAUAGCACCAUUCUUGAAACAAAUCUAUAAUUACAAGAAUUUCUCUGUUGUGGAACUUAUAGUUCAUCUUAGUUGCUGAAAAUUUUCUGGAAUGAAAAGCUAUUCGAUGAAGUUUAUCAUCUAUUCCCAUUUGUGACAAUACGACACCUAAAGCAAAGUUUGAUGCAUCUGUUUCCAUAAAAAAUGGCUUAAAAAAAUCAAUGCAAUAUAAUAUUGGUGCAAAAACAAAGGCUGUCUUCAAAGCUUCAAAUGCUAUUUCUGCUUCUUGAUUCCAUUGAAGUUUGUCUUUACAAGUCAAACAUGUAAGUGGAGCUACAACUUGAGAAAAGUCUUUAAUGAAGAUCCGAUAAUAGUUGGCAAAUUCCAAAAAGCAUUAGACAUCUCUUACCAUUUUUGGAAUCUUUCAAUCCAUAAUAGCUUGAACUUUCUUAAGAUCUAUCAUAAGUCCAUCAUUUGAAAUGUUGUAUCUUAAGAAGUUGACUUCAAUAGUGUGAAAUAUAUACUUUUCUAUCUUGGCAUAAAGUCCUGAAUCUCUUAAUUUUUGUAAGACACAACGAACAUGAAGUUCAUGUUCUUCUAUAUUCUAAGAAUAGAUUAAGAUAUCAUUUAGGUAACAGACAACAAAAUCAUCUAAAAACUCUCAAAAGACAUCAUUCAUUACUUGUUGGAAUGUUGUUGAUGCAUUUGUAAGUCCAAAAGGUAUGACAUUAUAUUCAAAAUGUCCAUACCUUAUUUGAAAUGCAGUCUUCCAUUCAUCUCCUUCUAUGAUGCAUACCAGAUUGUAUGCUCCUUGUAGAUCUAUUUUUGUAUCAAUCUUAGCUUGAUUCAACUGAUCAAGGAGUCUAAAUAUCAAAGGUAGUGGGUACCUGUUUUUAAUGAUGAUUUUGUUGAGUCUUCAAUAAUCGACACUCAUCUACAAUAAUCCAUCUUUUUUCUUCACAAACAAAAUUGAAGCUCUCGUUGGAGAUUUGGAAUAACAUAUGAAGUUUUUGACCAGAUUUUCUUCAAUAAACUCCUUGAAUUUAGCCAAUUCAUUUUGUGAUAAAUUAUAAAUUAAUCCAAAUGGCAGUUGUGCUCCUUCUUGAAGAUCAAUUGAGUAGUUAUAGGAACAAUGUUCCAGAAGAGUAUCCACAUUGUUCUUCUCAAAUACAUCUUAAAAAACUUGAUAUUGGCUUGAAAUGCCACUUGAAGACUUUCCACCAGUAGAAACAAGUGUCACAUAAUUGACACAAGGUGAUCCUUCUUUUGCAGCAUGCAAAAAAGCUCUUGUACCUACAAAUAUAGGUUUAAUUGUAUUAGACUUAUGACUUUCGACUUGAUUAAUUAUGCUCUUAGUUAUACAUUCAAAAAAGUCAAGACUACGAGAAGUCCAAUCUAUUUUAGAAUUAUAUUUUUUUAGCCAUGAUAAACCUAAAAUGACUGGAUUAAAAAGAGAUCUAAUGAUAUUAAAUAUUAAAAAGCUACUAUGAUCAUUAGUUGCUACUUCUAUAGGAAGGAUUUCAUGAAUAACAUCUCCUGAAGAUAACGGACCACUAUCUAUGUCUUCUACAUGAACAAGUUUAGUUUUCUUCACUAAAAGUAUACUAUAUCUUUUAGCAAAUUCUUCAUCUAAAAAAUAUAUUGAAGCUCCUGAAUCUAACAAGACAGAGGUUUUGUGAUGUUUAGGUCUUAGAAUAACAUUUAUCAUAAAACAUAGAGAGAAUUAUGAGGAGAGAAUAGGACCUUCAUUAGGCGUUGUACAAGGUUCCAGCCGCACAGUCCGUAUUGUAGCUGGACAAAUUCAUUUUCCAACAUGCUAUCUUCUUUGAUUGCCAUACUCCUCAUUUUAUAGUUACGUUGCUUCUUUGGGCAAUGUUGAGCAAUGUGCUUAGGUUCUCCAUAAUAUAAGCACAAUCCUUCCUAAUGACGACAAGUCUUUUCUUGCUCAAUAAGAAGUUUGAGACGUAUCACAUCUAUUUACAUAUCUUCUACUUCCGAAUGUAUGUAUUAAACAAAUGUUGGUAUUGCUAUUGAAUUAUAAUAAUGCUAAGGUCUACUUGUACAAUUCUUAGAUUGAAAUUCAAAAAAACAAUUGUCGUACUUUACAGCAAAGUCAAUUGCUUGGCUCAAUGUUUGAGCAUUAGGUAAGUUGAGCAUUUUUUAUCUCAUAUUAUAAUCCGUAGAGAAAUUGGCUAACAAGUGUAACAUCAUUCUACUUGAUAUCAAUUGCAAGUUGUCAAAAUUAUGAAGCAUACAACAUUACUAAUUGAUUGUCUAGUUACAAAAUAUGGAUCUUGUUGGUUCCAAUACAAAUUGCAUCAUGUUUUCCAUACAUGGAUCAAAACUCUACCAAAAAAGCCUCCAAAUUAUCCAAUAUUGGAUCUCGUCAUUCAAAAAAAGAUGAAAACUAUGAUGAUGUUGAACUUGAAAGAAGCACACCAAUGAAUCUAACUUGCGAUCUUGGAGUUGGAUAGUUUUGGGAUUGAAAUUCAAUCACAAGUUGUACUUGAUUGAUAAACCUUCUAAACUUUGAUUUGGUGCCAUCAAACUUCUCUGGCAAAGUAAUUCUAGGUUCUCUAAAACUGGAAGGAUAUUCAACCAUAGAAGAAGGAACAUGAUUUGGUAUAAAUGUUGAAGCAACUUUAAUCAUUUCUAUGUCUUCACUUCUUGCCAAUCUUGUUGCUCCUUGUAGUGGUAAAUUGAAUUGAUGCCUUGCAAGCAUUAACUCCCUCAAUUGCUCUUGCAUUUGUGCCAUUGCACUCUUUAUUUUAGCAAGUCCUUCCAUGAUAAUACUUAAAAAAAAUAUAUUUAAUAUCGCUUAAGAUAAAUAGAAGAGAAGACUUGAGAAUAAAGAAAAUACUAAAGACAAUAUCAGUUUAAAAGAGGGUAAUUUGCAACUUCUAAUAGGCUUAUGUCUUAUCAAGAGAAAGGAAUAAUCCACUCUUAAUCAAGAUUAUACAAGGCUCUGAUAUUAUAAAUAUACUCUUAUCAAUCUGUUAAGGACAAGAACUUAAUAAAAAAAAUAAAUAAGUGAGACUUCUCUCAAAGAAAGAUGACAAAAUAGAAAUAACUCAAUAUGUAUAUUAAAAAAGAAAUUCGAAUGGCUAUUGCCAAAAGAGAAGAAAACUAGAGACCCUUGAAACAAGACUAGAAGUAAGAAAGGAGUUGAUAAGAGUAAAGAAGGCUUCACUCUUGUUUCUAUAUAUACUAUCUAACUAGGAAUUAUGUGGCAAUAUUCUAUAGGACCUCUAAUAUGUGUUGACUUUGUAGGACACAUGCCUUAACUUACAAGGUAAGUUUUUCUACAUGUGGAUGAUAUAGUUAGCUUGGUCUUCAAGUUAGCAACAUGUGUGGCACAUGGCCAACUUUUUGACCAUGUUUCUAAUCCAAAAAAUUAAUUAUAGAUACCUAUAAAGUCAAAGUAGCAUCUAUGAAGCUUCUAAAAAACUUCUAUAGAAGAUAUUAUAGAAUUAACUUAUUUUUAUCUACUUCUACUUAAUUCUACAUAUUUAUAUAGGUAAUUGUUGGCUGAGAGUUUGGGCUCCUUGCCAAUAACAUAAUGUCUUUGCAUUGAAUGUUGUUUAAGGUUACCACCACACAAGGUCGUUUAGUAUAAUAAUCUGAGAGAAGAAAAGUCUUGCUUGGAAUGAUAUUCAAGUAAGUAUUCUUCUUUUAGGUUAUUUUUGUAAUAUGACUCUUUCAAAUCUAAAAGAUUAGUCAAGUGGAUUGUAGGUUGAUAAACAUAAGAUAAUAAAAUCUAAAUUUCAUAAGAUACUAUGUCUGGCUUGUUUAUUUGUUUUAGUUUUUAAUUUUUAGAGAUGAUGUUGUGAUCGUAGUAGUUUAAUGUACCUCUCCACUAGGUCCUAUAAAUCCAUUGUCAUGUUGUAACACAACUAUAUGGUGAAAGAUGAUAAUAUGGAUGUUAUUAUAUAAGAACCAAGUUAAAAGAUAAAGUAGAAAAAUAUGGAUAAAAGAUAGGAAAGUCAUAAAACUUUUAAUAUUACUGCUACUUUUAUAAAAAAGUGACUUCUAUUUAUUUUGUAGGACCAUAAAUAAAGCAAAUCAAAGUAGAUUGGUAAAUAAAUGAUAAAAACAUCUUUGAAUGGAAGCUAAGAGUGAAUUUUAGUAGAAAUUAUCUAGAGAAAUUAGAUAUUAAUACUCAAAGAGGGCCGGUUGUGAACUAGGGUUGAAAUCAGACCUCAAGACAUAAAACCAAGCUUUUGUAAUAAUUUCGAAGUUCUUUGGCAGAUCAAAGAGUGGAAUUAGAAAGCAAACUUGAUAGAAUUUUGAUGAAUGUCAGAUUUGGAUGAUUUGGAUUUGUAUUGACUUUGUAAGAGCUUUGUAAAGUUAGGAUUUUUUUUGGAUGACUCCGGAUUUGUGAAAUAAAGUGGAUGAUAUUUUAUGGAAAAUUUUGUAAGUUUCGCAAUAAAUCUAUAGAUGAAAUUUUGAGGAUUUAAAGUUUUAUAUGUAUUCAAUUUAUUCUAUGAAUUUGAACUAGAUCAAAGGGUUGGAUCGAAGAUUAUUGAGGUUUAAGUGAGUUGAAAUCUUGAAAAGUAGAGUUUUAGAUCUAGUGAAGGUUUUUAAGAUUUUUUGUAAUUUAUUGAUUGAAUUAGAGUAAAAAUUAUGUAUAUAAAUAGUAGACUAAUUUUUCUAUGCAUAUAAAAAAAAUUGAGAUCAAUUGAAUGGUUUGAUAAGGGAAUAUUGGCACUGAAAGUUUAACAUUUAGAUUGAAGAAGGAGGUUAACCAAUAUCUAUGAAAAUAUUAGGAUUUAUCUUCUUUUUGGUCAGUUUGAUCUUCUUAAAAAAAAUUGUACUUGUUAUCAACUUAAUUAAGAAGAAAUUUUUAAAAUUUGAGUGAAAAUUAAUGAUUCAUUCAUUGGUUAUUGAGAUUUAAAUCUGCUAUAGGAAUUACUUGGAAUUAUUUAGAAUUUGGUUAGAGUAUGUUUAGGAUUUGAUUAGAAUUUGAUUAAGGUUUUUUUAGGUUUAUUUAAGGUUUAGUUAGGAUUUGAUUAAGAUUUGAUUAGUAAUUGAUUAGGUUUUAUUUAGGAUUUGAUUAAGAUUUUUUUAGGAUUUGACUAGGAUUUGUUUAGAAUUUGAUAAGGAUUUAGUUAAAAUUUGUUAGGAUUUGACUAGGAUUUGGUUAGGUUUUAUUUAGGAUUUGAUUGGGAUUUGGUUAAGAUUUAUUUAAAAUUUGAUUAGAAUUUGAUUAGGAUUUAUUUAGGAUUUGACUAGGAUUUGAUUAAAAAUUAUUUAGGAUUUGAUUAGGAUUUGUUAGGAUUUGAUUAGGAUUUAUUUAGGAUUUGGUUAGGAUUUGACUAUGAUUUAAUUAAAGUUUUUAUUUUAAUAUUUUAUUAAGAUUUUUAAUUUAGUAUAUUUUUGAAUUUCUGUGUUAUUUCUUUCUGAUUUCUUUAAAGGAUCUUUAGGAAUACUUUGUAUUUCUUAUAUGAUUCCUUUGUAAUUUUGCUUGAAUUUUAUUGAUAUUUGACUAUACUUUCUAAUCUUUAAUUAUAAUUUUUUUAAAAAUCUAUUAGAGUUGUUAAGACUUGUUGUUGUAAUUUUCUUUUUAUCUUCUAUAGCCAAGUGUCCGGUGUAUUCUUAAGCCAAAUGCCACAUAUCACGACAUUGAAUGAGUACAAUCCUUAGAAAAUCUAUAGUUUAUAAGAACUAUUAGACCUCUCUUGCCAAACAUUAAGGCUUUGACUCCUAGAUUUGAUUUAAAUAUGCCUAAAAAUCUCUUUAAAAAGUUUGAAGAUCUUUUUUUAGAAGAUCUUGAAGAAAACUCAAAAAAAAUAUUUUCAAAUCUUUUGGUAUAUAAUAUAAGUAAUUUGAAUCAAGAGGAUGUUCAAUUGCUUCAAUUCUAAGUACCAAUGGAUCCAAAUAGAGCAGAAAGACAAGAACUACCACCCACAUCAAUUAAACCCUUGGUUCAACUAAAAAAUUUAUCUAUUUGAGAUUUUAAGGAAUUUAAUACUAUAUCUAUGUCCCUUAAUCUUCCUAUCUUUAAAAGUAAAAGAAAUGAAGAUCCCUCAGGCCACAUACAAUAUUUCAUAGAAACACUUACUAUGUAUUUGAUAAUAAAUGGUCGUUAUUAUUUAGUGUGGUUUUCAACCACAUUAAAAGAAAGAGCAUAUGAGUAGUAUUGCAACCAUUCUUCUAACAUCUUUUUAAAUUAAGAUAUCAUCCAACGAGCCUUUUUAGAAUAAUUUUGAUCUAAAAUAAGACAAAGCAUGGUCCUAACUACUUUAUACUAUCUUAGACAAGAGAAGGAUGAAGAUAUUAUGUCAUACAUUUAAUAUUUUGAAUUAGUGGUGACAAGGCUCUUAGAAACUUUGCUCACUAAUGACACUUUGAAACAUUUCUUUAUUCAAGAAUUUAUCAAAGAAGAAACCAUUAAAGAAAUCCUUCAUGCAUGCCCUAAAGACCUUAUAGUGGCCAAACAUGCAACAAAGAAAGUAGAACAAAUCAAUAAAGAGCAUGAAAGGCUAUGGCAUAAAGAAGACCACAAUAUCCCUAACUUCAUAUCCAUCCAUGCUAGGAAUCAUUAUGCAUCAAGUUUUCAAUUGUAUGAUCAACUACCACUUAUUUCCACAACCAUAAGAGCUUAUAUUUUUACCAUUAAACACUAGACCUCCAUUUCUUUCAUUGACUUUAACCUAUCCUAUUGAAGAUAAUAGAUAAAAAAAAUACUUACAAAAAGAGAUGAGAGCAUCUUAAUUAGAAUUUCAAAUCAAAAACUCUCAUCAAAUAAAAUUGAUGAUUAAACAACUAGCUCGACUAGUUAGAAAUUUUAAUUCCAAUCCUCUCCUACCUUCCAUUGAGUUACAAAGACAUACAAUGGGAUUAUGAUGUACUCAAUGUGGAAAAUUAAGGCAUUUGAUCCACUUUUGUAAUUCUAUUCUUCUACAAGACCAACAUUUCCAAUCAUAUGUCCCAUGACACAAAAAUCAAACCUUUCAAGGGCAUAACUUAGAACAAUAAGGCUUUAAUACUAAGAACCAAGGUCCUAUGAAUGAAACAAGAAAAUAAGUAGAAUUCUACGUAUUUUGUAGAAAAAAACAUAUAGUUGGUCAGUAUUGGAUUGAAAACCAAGUAGAAUGUAGAAAUUGUGGUUGUAACCAUUUUACAAAGUUUUGUAGAAAAUCAGAUAGAGUGGUUUCUUUACAACCUCUACCUAAAAAUUAUCUUCAAUAAUCAUUUGAUAAUCAAAGAAAAGCAAGACAACCUCCAAAAAAUAACAAUCUAAGGCCCUCAAAUUUAUAUUAUGACUAUGAGAAAAAUUGAGAGAAUUGAAAUGUAUCUAGUGGACUUCAAACUAGUUCUUGACAUAUUCUAUUAAAUCUUUACAAAAGUCAAAAUCCUUCUAAUCAACCUAAACAUAGUCAAGGAUUUCAAGAUGUGAGAUUUGUGCCUCAAUCCAUAAGGAAGUUGGAACCUAUUUAAAAUUUUAUCCAAUCUAAUAUCAAUUAAUUUCUUUCUCCCAAAUUAAAUUUAAUAACCUUUGAAAAAAAUCAAUUAAAGAAAAAGAACCUACUUGUAGUACUAGUCCUAGCAAUAAUGACUAAAUAUAGGACCACAUCUUUACUUGUCCAUCAAGAAGAGGAGAGUAGUACCUCAAAAAAUCUACCUUGCUUCUUGGAUUUAUGACAAGUCACAAGGUACACAAUCAAGGCAACUCAAACCAACACAACUAAAUUUGUGAGAUUUGAUACCUUGAUAGAAGAAUUACCUUUUUAAAAUCUUAAAAUUGAACAUGAGCUAAGUAUUAAUUGGAACAAGCAUAAUUGAGAGGGUCCCAAAAUUCUAAUGUUUGAAGUUUUCUAACAUAACAAUGAGGAAGAACCCAAUGUAUAAGAAUAUAAUUUAUAAGAUAAUUUUAGCAAAUUAAAGGCUAAUAUUAUAUUUUCUCAAUUAUUGGAUAUUUUUCCAAUAUUUAUGAGGGCAUUAUAGACCUAUAUUCUCAUGAAAAAUCAAAGAAGGCCUAAGUUUAGGAUGAUGGCAAAAAUAGAUGCCUAUGCUAAACAAAGUGAAAUGAAGGUAAUAGAAAUUGAAGUUUCUAUUAUUGAUAAAAAAAUUCCUUAUAGCAUUGUAAAUGGUGGUAGUGGUUUGAAUAUCAUGCCCUUCUAAUCUAGGAAAAAACUAGGACCAAAUAUCAUUAAUCUAUCUCCAUUUGUUAUUAAGAUAGAAAAUCAAAGUCCAUCUAUUUUAGUAGGCCAAAUUAAAAAUUAUAAAACUUGGAUAAGAUUAAAAAAAUAUGCCUUGAUAUAUCAUGUCAUUCAAACACAUAUGUCAAAGGAUUCUUUUUUUUAUUGCUUCGUAGGCCAUGAUUGAGGCAUUCAGAAGCCAUAGUCAAUUAAGAGGGAGACAAACUCCACAUUACCUUUGAUCCAUGGAAGAAUAGAACCAAAAUCUCUACACGACUUAUCCUUGAUCAUGAAAAAAUUAAUUCCAUUGAUUCAUUAAAAGAUAUCCAACAAUCCAAAAGAUAAGACAAAUUCACAAAGGUGGCUAAUUUAAUUGACUAUGAUUCAAAGAAAAUCAAAUACCUAGGUCUCAACCUGUAUUAUUGAAAAGAUGAUUGAGAAUUUAAACAAUCGCUAAAUAAUCAUUCAGAUUCCAAUUUUGAUUUUUAUGAAUCAGUUAAUUUUUUGGAAGAUAUGUUGGAGAUUGCAAAAGUCAAGGAAAUCCAUGUCUUUAGUAUUAAUAUAGAUGAAAUACUAAAAGAAGAAAUUGAGGUCUUUAAAAGAAAUGACAAUUUAGUACCACCUCUUAGAUUUCAAAAUACUUCAUUGAAAAUUUUGGUUGGUAAUGGAGUUAUCUACUAUCUCCCUAUACUUAGUGAUUGAUAUAGAAAUUCUUUAAAAUAAGCCUUAAUACAAAAAUCUGAAUAAAAAAAUUUAAAUGUUUCUCAUGAAGAAAAAGAAGCUCAACAAAUUGAAGCAAUUCAAAGAAAGAGGAAAAUUUCUUCUUGAUAAGAAAUAUAAAAAGUAGAUUUUAUAACCAAGAAUUCUAGUAAUGUUAUAAGAUACCAAAAAAAUGGAUUUUACUAGCAAAUUUGAUGUUUUGUGGUUAGAGCCUUAUCAUAUCAAAGAAGUAUUUGAAAAUAAUUCUUUAUAAUUAGAAACACUAAAUGAUAAAUUAUUUACAACAAAAAUAUUUGAAAAUAGUUGUAAAGAAUAUAAAGUGUGAAUAAUUCACUUUAUAGAAGGAAAAACACUAUACUCUUUGUUUACAUAAAGGAAUAAAGAUCUAACUAAAUAACUUAGUCAAACUUAAUUGUUAUCAAGAAAAUAGGAAUCUUAAUUCAUCAAGAAGAUAAAAACUAUUCUUUAUAAGGUUCUUGAUUCUACUAGAAUAUUAUUUCUUUUUUUAUAAAAAAUAAUGAAAAAAAAAAAAAAAAAAAAAAAAAAAAAAAAAAACUUUGUUUUAUAGGAUUUAGAAAUGACUUGGAAUUGAUUAGCAUUCUUGGAUUGUUGUGCAGUUGGCCACAAAAGUGGUUAUGAAAGAAGUGGCUUAGAUUCAAAUUUGGUUCACAAAGACAGGUAUCUAUAUGAGCUAGUGUUACAGCAAGAAAGUAGCCAAUGUGUGCAACUUAGAAGAUAUGUAGGUCUCAUAUCUACUUAAAUUCUUCUCUUUGAAUAAGAAUUAUAUAGUACCAACUUUUAGCUUUUUACAUAGAAGAAUUUUAUUUUAUUUUCUUUUUAUUAUUUCUUUUUUUAUUUCAUAGAUUUAUCUUAUCUUAUUUUAUUAAGCAGACUGAUUUCUUUAAUAUUUUUAUAACUAAAGAGAAAUAAUACUAAAAGAUAGAAGUUUACUAAUAUUGAACACAAUCUUUCAUAUGAAUAUUUUUUUGAGGAUCUAUAACACUAUUAGUAUAGUCUUGAUAGAAUAUUAAAUCUAGUAUGCCUAACCUUAGAUAAGAUCUUACUUUUGAAGCAAGAAUUUUGGAUCAUUUGCAUCUUUGAGUUAUCUUAAAUGGUUGCCAUAUGUGAGUCAUCAAAUUGAUUUACUAGUUAUUUUAGGAUAAAAAGAUAUAUUUAGAGUACUUAGAAUCAAAAUAUAUGGUGAAUAGUAUAGAAAUAUUUAAACAAAUAGAAAACUAGAGUGUUGGUUGUAGAAUUGGAAUCUUAGUAAGUCUUGGAGGCAAUUAUCUUAGUUGGUUUAGUAUUUUUUUAAUUAUUAUUAAAUAUUAAGAAAUAUUUAUUAAGGUCAAUAUUUAUAUUAGCCUUCUAUCUAUACAUAUUAUUUAUAAGAAAAACCAUAAAUAUUAAUUAAUAUUUAGAAGAAACAUGAAAAAGAACCUCAUGUAUUUUUAGUUAGUUAUAUAGAAAGUAGGAUUUAUAGUAGAUUUUAAUUAAUUUUAUUACUAUAAAAAUCAUCAAUGUAAGAAAUUAUAGCCUUCAAUUUAUAUUAGUAUUAUAGAACCAUUACAAGAAUUUUUAGAAUUUUUUAAAAAAUUAUUUAGAACUUUUUAGGAAUUUUUAGAGUAAUUUCUAAGAUUUUGAUAAAAAUGAGUUUUACCACUUCGGGAGCCAUUAUGAAGGAAUAGAGCAAGAUUUGAAGGCGAAAAAAAGUACCUAAAUAAAUGGGUGUUUUUAAAUACAAUGGUGAAGUCAAAAAUGUAAAAUUAUUGAUUUUACUAGUAGAAAAUAGAAGGUUCAACAGCUAGUGUAGUCCUUGUAAAAAAAAAUGUGCACAAGUCUCAUAUGGAUUAUAGCACCUUGAAGGUAGUUAGGAAGAUAAGACUAAGGCCUUGUGAGCACUCUUAAAAAAUUGAUAUACAUUACUUGUGAGUCUUGGUAAGGCUUGAACUCUUGAUCUCUUAAGCAAGUUACUCUUGAAGUAAAAAUUAUUUAUUUAAUUUUUUAUUUAUUUGCUUAUUAUUUUUAAAUCUCCAUAACUUAUUUCCAAUAACUCGGAUUUAUAUAUUUCUUAUACCAUUGAAAAGAUUAAAAAAUUUCAUUUUUAAAAUUAUAUAUUUUUUUCUUUUAUUUUUUACUUUUUAUUGAAUAAAAAUUUAAUGAACAGAUUGUGACUGAUUUUGUAGUAUACAAUUGUUUGAUUGCACUUGUUUCACUUUUUUUUGUAUUUUUUUUCUUUUAUUCUUUUUCUUGCUACUAUAAAUUCUUAUAGUAGAUAAGGUUACAAGAUGAUGUUCCUCCCAUCAAACCUUGUAACCUUAUCUACUACUACUUAUAAAGCUUCAAUGGUGUUUCUAUCCUCCUAUAUAUUUAUUGUCUCUCUUCUAUAAAUUGAGCAAAUGCUUUAAAUAAAUCAUGGGUACUUAUUCCACUUGAUAAUACAAACUCUAAGAUUUGAUCUUCUAUCUUGACUUAUUGAAAAAUUUAGUGCCUUUCGGCUCUAUCAAUUGAAAUACCAAUAUGUUGAGGUAGAGAGAAUUUGCCUUAAGAAAGUGCUAAGUUUUUGGCUGUCACUAAUUACUCAAUGAAAUCACAAAAUAAAAAAGUACCAAUUUUAUAUAUAAAAUUAUUCCUAUAAGAGCAAUCACAUCAAUAUAUAAGUCCUAAGUACCAAAGAUCAUCUAAAAUAAAAAUAAAAAUAUUCUAAAACCUUAUAUAUCUUUAAGGUGAAAUCUUUUCAAACUCCAACAACUUAUAUCUCAUAAUUGGACCAUCCAAAAAAACCAAAUUUUUAUAUGAAAUAUUGAUAUACUUUCAACAACUACCAUAAUAAAAAAAAUUAACUCUAAAUUCAUUAUAGAUCUUGAAAUAUUGCCAAAAUUCUAAUAGUAGCUUCAAAUCCUUGCUUAUAUACACUUGUGUACAAUUUUCUUUAUAUUUUACAAAUGAAGUACUCAAAUACCAUAUAACUUUGAUAUAUAGCUUUUUAGUCUAAUAAUAUUUAUUUUUAGAAAUUUUGAGCCAAAAAUCUGUUCAAAAUUCUAAAAUAUGGCUCUAAUUAUUACUAUCAUCAAAAUGACUUACUUAUUGCCUUAGAAUUACAUGUGCUAUCUUCAAUGUUCUAUAACUCCAUAAAAAAUUUAAAUAUAAAAAUUCUUUUACAAAAGAUAUAGGAUUUAAAAUUAUCCCUGUGGUUAUAUCUUUUGAUUUCCAAAAGCUAUCAUAAAACUCCUUGUAUCUUCAAAAGAGCAAUAGUAUAUCUUUAAAAGAUACCUUAACUUCAAAUGGCUAUAAUUUUAUCACCCUAAGUCCAAAUCUUCUAUAAUUUUUGUACAAAUUAUAAUCCAAAGCCUAAACCAUAUUACUCUUACUUCUAAUUCUUACAUACUCCUUUUGAAGUUGCCAAAAUCCUUGUAAUGGUCGUAGAUAGCUUCUUAAGAGCCUAUUAGGUAUGAUUUUUGAUUGAUAGGAAUGAAGAACUUCAUUCCUUGCCUUCAUCUAUCCAUACCUUGCUUUCAUCCUACCAAAUAAGUUUUUUUUAGAGGUUUGAAUCUUUAUCUUUGAAAUCCAAUCAUUUCUUUAAAUUUUAUAUUAAAUAUCUAGAUCCUAUAUAAUUUAAAUACUAUAAUCAAAUAGGUAAAUUUAAAAUAAAUUUUCUUAUAUCAACUUUCUUUAAAUUAACUAUUAAUCAUUCUAAUGUGUAUUAAUAUUUAUAAAUAUAUAAUAUAUUUAAGUUAAUUUUUACAUAUUAUAAAUAAUUACAGUAUGAUAAUGCAAUGACAAAAUGAGAAGCAUGAUUGCUAAAGAAGAUGAUAUGUUAAAAAAUGAGUUUUUUUAGGUACAAUAGAGAUUAUGUGGCUUAAAUCAUGUACAGCAUCUAAUAAAGGUCAUAUUCUUUCUUUAGAUUUCUUACCUUGUUUCACAAUAGUAUUUCAUUUAGGACCAAAAAAUUACAAAAUCUUAGCCUUGUUAGAUUCAAAUGCCUCAAACUAUUUAUUAAAAAAAGACUUUAUCAAAAAAAAAGAAAUAUUUUUAGUCAAGAAAAUUAAAUCCAUAUAUAUAAAAGUCAUUGAUGGUCAUUUGAUGUCUUUUAGAAAUAUUAUUCAUAAAAUUAUUCUUUUAGAUAUAUCAAUUAAAAAUCAUAAUAGCAUAAUAAUAUUUAAUGUAAUAAGAUCUCCCUCUAAUUAAGUUAUUUUAGGAUUAUCAUGUUUAAAAAAGUAUAAUAUUUAAAUAGUUUGUAUUUCUUAUAACCUUAUUUUUUCUUAUAGUUUGAUCCAAAAUUUUGUUAGUUAACUAGAAAUAUAUAAGUCUAAUAUAAUUAAAUCAUUAGUAGUAAGUACAAAAACUUUCAUUAUUAUAGCAAAAGAAAGGUCAUCUUUUGUUAUAUAUGUCACUCUCAUUUCUCAUUGUGGAAAGAUGUUCAAUGGUAUUUCUAGCUAGUAUUAAAUUUUUAAGGAUUUUUUUGAUAAGAAGAAUGCAAAUAUUCUUUGAAAAUAUCUAUCUUAUAAUUUUUUAAUUAAUUUAUAAGGAAUUCAACCACCAUUUGGACUAAUCUACAGCUUAUUGCAAAAUAAAUUGGCUACAUUAAAAGAUUAUUUUGAUGAGAAUUCAACUAAAAAAAAUAUAUAAUAUAUAAAUUCUUCAAUAAGAAAUCUUAUCUUAUUUAUGAAGAAAAAAGAUAGAGCUUUGUGGAUGUGUGUAGACUAUUGAGGAAUUAAUAAGAAUAUCAUCAAGAAUUCAAAAGGCAUGAAAUUAUAUUUAAUACAUCAAUUAUUUUUUAGCAUCUCAUGAAUUAUAUUUUUUGUGAAUUUUUUAAUGAUUUUAUUGUUUGUUAUUUAGACAACAUUCUAAUCUACUCUAAAACAUAGAAGAACAUAAACUUCAUAUUUUUUGUGUAUUAAAAAAAUUUAAAGAUAUAAGAUUAUAUGCUAAGAUCAAAAAGUGUAUAUUUUAUAUUAUUCAAGUUGACUUCCUAAAAUACAUCAUUUCCAACAAAAGAAUAAUAAUAGAUCCAAAAAAGGUCCAAACUAUUAUAGAUUGGAAGAUCUCAAAAACAACCAAAGAUGAGUAAUAUUUUUUAAAAUUUGCUAAUUAUUAUACAAUCUUUAUCAAAAAAAAAUUAAUUAUGGAUCUUUUUAUAUGUUUGAUAUGUAAAAACAAACUUGAAUGGAGUAAUGAAAUUAAAGAAUUUUUUAAAGCCUUGAAAUCAAUAUUUAUUUUAAUAUAAAUUUUAUAUUGCAUUGAUUUUUUGAAGGCAUUGUUCAUGAAAAUAGAUGCAUUAGAAUUUGCUAUAGGUGUCAUUUUGUCACAAAUAGGAGUAAAUAACAAGCUCUAUUUGAUAGCUUUUUAUUCCAAGAAAUUUUCAACAAUCGAGAUUAAUUAUGAGAUCCUUGACAAAGAACUUCUUGGAAUCAUGGAUUCAUUUUACAAAUGGCAUCAUUAUCUAGAAGAUACCUCAAGUCUAAAUACCAUGUAUAAAAAUCAUAAGAACUUUGAAUAUUUCAUGUUGGUAUAUGUUUUGAAUCAUUGCGAAGCUUGUUGCAACAUAUCUUUAUCAAGAUUUGAGUUUAAGAUUAUUUAUUGACUCAAAAAAUAAGAAGGUUUGUUACAAGCCCUUUUUAGAUGUUCUUAUCUUGCAUUAAAAGAAAAAAAUACAAAUUUUGAUUAACAAAAAUUAAUUCUUUUGAAGCCAAAAUAUUUUCAUCUUUGAAAAAUAAAAUCAACAUUAACUAUUGAUUCAACCAUUUUCAAGUAAGUUCAAUUAAAUAUGUCUUCUAAUCCUCUUAUUUAUGAUAUGAAGAAUAAUUCUUUCAAGUCUCAUGAUACCUCUAAGUUUGAGUUAAAAAAUAAUCUAUUCAAUUUUGAGAGACAAUUAUACAUUGUAGAAGGCAAAGCACAAUUAUAUGUUUUUUAAGCUUGUCAUAACUUUCUAACAGUUGCAUAUUUUGGAUAUAAUAAGACUUUAGAGCUAAUAUCUAUAAAAAAAAUUAUCACUUCAAAUGCAAAAGAUAGUCAAAAACUUUAUACAAUCAUGUGAUGUUUAUUUAUGAUUCAAAAUUCUUUGUCAUUGAGCUUAACUUCUUCAACUAUUAUCUAUUUUGGAACAAUAAUGGUCUUUAGUUUCUAUGGAUCUUAUCAUAAAUUUUUUAGUCUCAAGUUUUUAUAAUUUUAUAUUUGAGAUAAUAGAUUGUUUUAUCAAGAUAGCAUAUUUUGUACUAUGUAUAAAAUCUAUCACAAGUAAAGAAAAGACUAAGCUUUUCUUAAUAAUAUUUAUUAUUAUUAUUGAUUAUUCAAGGAUAUUAUAUUAGAUAAGAAAAUUUAAUUUAUAUGAAGAUUUUAAAAUUUUCUUUUUGAGAUUUUAAAAGUGAAUAUAAAGCUCUUUUCAACUUUUUAUCUCCAAAUUGGUGGGCAAAUAGAAUAGGUGAAUCAAGUUCUAAAGUAGUAUUUAAGGUAUACCAUCAAUUAUCAUUAAGAUGAUUGGACAAUUCUUUUGCCAUUAGCAAAAUUUGCAUAGAAUAAUUUGAUAUAUUCUUCUACUCAACAAACACUUUUUUUUAUCAAUUAUGAUUAUUAUCUAUAAUUUGAUAUUUUUGACUUUUCAAAAGUUGAUAAGUUUAUAAGUCUAUCGUAGGUAAAGUUGAUUUUAAAAAUCUUCUUUGGCAAAUCAUUUGUCAAAGCUAUAUGUAACAAUAAAGGCAUAGUUAAAAAAAGCUUAAGAAUAAUAAAAGAUCAAUAUGGAUGCUUAUUGCAAGAAACAACCAUAAUUCAAUGUAAACAAUAAGAUGUGAUUAUUUCAUUAUAAUAUCAAGACCACUCAUCUUUAUAACAAGUAGGAAUAUUAUAAGCUUGAUAUUUUUUUAUUUAUAAAUAAAUCAAUCUUGUUGCUUAUCAAUUAUAUUUAUUAGAAUCUAUAAAGAUUUAUCUUAUAUUUUUAUAUAUCUCUUUUUGAGCCAUAUAAGACAAUGAAUAUCUUGGAAAGAAGACAAAUGCUAUAUCCUCUUGUAAAAUUAGAUAAUAAUCAAGAAUUUGAGAUAGAAGUUUUAGAUUCAAGGUGGCAUUGAAAUAGGUUGGAACAUCUUGUUUAUUAGUAAAAAUAUGAUAUUAAUGAAUGUACAUAGAAGCCAAUAAAUAAUCUUAUAAAUGCAAUAAAAAAGGUUGAUGCUUUUCAUCAAUAACAUCUAUCAAAAAAAAUGAAUAAUAGCAAGAUCCAGAAAAGAUAAUGAUUGCUUUUCAUAGAAUUUAUUUCUAAAAAAGAAGAUAAUGUCAUGAAUAUAUACAUAUAUAUUCCAAUAAUUAUCUAUAUAAUUAGAUAAAAAUACAUGAAUAUAAAUUAAUUUCAUAAUAUCUUUUAAGAAAGCUUCUUAGAAGCUUUAGAGAUGUGGUUUUGACUUUAUAUAUAUUUAUAGUUGACUGAUACAUUAAAAACUUGAUCAACAAGUUAAUCACAUGUAAUACAUAUUGAUAGCUUGUAAAACAAGCUAACUAUGUAGUACAUAUAUAGAAACUUAUCUUGUAAGUUAAAACAUAUGUCUAAAAAAUUCAAUAUGUAUUGGAGGUCCUAUAAAACAUUGCCACAUAGCUCUUAGUUAGAUACUAUAUGAGGAAGUAAGAAAGAAGCCUUCUUUAUUCUUGUCAAUUCCUUUCUAAUCUUUAGUCUUAUUUUAAAACUUUCUAGUCUUUUUGUCUUUCACAAUAGCCAUUCCAUUUCAAUAUAUUACCAUCUUAGAGUGAUUUUCUAGUAUUUUCAAGUGACAUAAGAGUAUAUUAAGGACUUUUUUGUGAAAUUCAUGUCUUUGAUAACUUGAUGGAAUAAAAGCACAUAAAGUUGUUGUAAGAGCCUUCACAACUAUUAUUAAUAUUAUUUCUAUUUUUAUUUCUAAACUUCUAGCCUUCAUAACUAUUAUUGAUGUUAUUUCCAUUUUUAUCUCUAAACUUUUAGCCUUCAUAAGUUGUUGCUUGGAAAUGACACUAACUACUUAUUUUAAUUUUCUUCAAUUGGUAAUAAUUCUAUUUUUUUGUAUCUCUUCUUGAAGAUAGAGAAGCAAUCUAUUUUCUUAUGUCUCAUAUAUAGCUUGUAAAAAAUACUCUAAUUUUUUCACCUCCAAAAGGUACUUUUUAGAUAAUGGAAUUUGUCAAAAUAUCUUUUUAAAUUCUAUUAGUAAUUUGUUUGGUUUCAUGUAUUUACUUAGUUGUUGCUCUAUUCAAUCAAAAAAUAAUCUUUUAGAUAUCUUUUUAUUAUCAUCAUUAAAGUAUUUACAUCUGAAUCUUUCUUCAAAUCAAGUCCUUGUAUUUACCUCUCAAUCUUUCUUCAAAUCUAGUUCUUAUAUUCACAUAAAUGCUUUCAUAUUGCUUUCUCAUACUUUCUUUGAUUUAUAGAAUAGCAUCUAAAUCAAAGGUCUUAAUCAUCUUGUAUUUUGAAACUUGAUAGAUUUCUAUUUCACAAGUAUAGAUCCUCAAAAAUCUAGUAAUUUUCUUUCCAUCAAAUCUUUUUAUAUUAUCAAUGACGUCCUUCAAUGCUUUAGUUAUUCCUUGUCUAUUUGUAUUGGUAAUUUAUUAAUCCAUAAUCAUUUACAUAGCCCUUAAAAAUUCUUCUAUAAGAUUUUGACCACCUCUUCUAUUUAAAUCUUGUUGCUUCAUAUAUUCCAUCUUAUCUUGAUCAAUUUUGUAGUCCUAAAGAUUCUCUCAAUCAAAGCACCUAAUAUCAAGAUAAAAGUAUUUGCUUUAAGAAAACAUAUGGUUUGUGGCUACAAUUAGAUAUAGUCAAAUAGUAUAUUUUAUUCAAAUGAACUUGACUACUUCAUACUUUCAAUAAUAUGUAGAAAUUGUCAUCCAUUCUUCAUUCAACUAGGUACUAUAGCUCCAUACUUCAUUAGAUUUGAAUAUAUUAUGAUUCUUUGAAGAGCUAAUUAAUCUACAUGUAAAUCAUUAAAUCAACUCACUGAUUGUUUUGGAACAAAAGGAUGCAUUUAAAAUAUCAAAUUAAAAUUAUUAGGUGAAGUUUAAUUUAAUAGCUUUUAGAUGAUGAAAAAUUAAUAUGAGUAUGAAAAAUUGGUGAUUAUAUUAACUUAAAAGAUAUAUAAGCUCUAAAUGCUUAAAAUUAAAUUCUUUCUUAUGUAAAAAUGACUAUAUUGGUAUUAAUUUUUAAUUCUUAUUUAUUUAAUUUAUUUCUAUUAAUUGUUUUUUUCUAUUUUCUUCUUUUAAACUUCUUCUAUUGAAUAGAUUCAAUCUUUUAUUUUCAAAAGAAAAUACUAUCUUUUAGUACUUUUUUAAUUUUUUAAAAUUACUAGAAUUUCUAAAGAUUAUAUCAUAGAGAUAUAUAUAUUUACUUCAAUAAUUACUUAUAUGAUUAGGUAAAAGUAGUUAAAUAUAGAUUAAUUUCAUAAAGUCUUUUAGUUAAGCUUCUUAAAAGCUUCAUAGACGUGGUUUUGACUUUAGAUGUGUUUGUAGGUCAGAAACUUAGCCAACAAGUUAAUCACAUGUUGGUAGCUUAUGGAACAAGUUAACUCCACAUAAUAGCUUAUGGAACAAGCUAAUCAUGUCGCGCAUAUAUAGAUAACUUGCCUUGCAAGUUAAGACAUGUGGCUAGCAAAGUUAACAUGUUUUGGAGGUCCUAUAAGACAUCGCCAUGUAGCUCCUAGUUAAGAGUAUAUAUAGAAGCAAAAGUGAAGCCUUCUUCACUCUUAUCAAUGUUAUUUUAGUCUUUAGUCUUGUUUCAAGACUUUUUAGUCUUUUUGUUUUUGGCAAUAGCCAUUCUAGUUAAUAUUGCAUUAACUUUUGAGUGACUUUCUAGUUCUUUUCAAUGACACAAGAGUGUAUCAAUGAUUCUCUUUCUUUAAGAUUCAUAUCCCUGACAAAUUAAUAGAAUCAUAAUUUAUCAAAGUCCAUGAUUCUUUAAAAUAAAAUUAAUUUAAUUUCGUGUUAAAAAUUCCAUAAGUUCUUUGAUAAAAUUAUAAUAUGAUUUGAUGACUAAUUUUUGGCAUUGAAAUAGCCAAUUAACUUUAGAUCAUAUUUUUAAAAAAUUAUAUAAGUAUUAUAUUUUGGCAUGAAUUUGGACAAGUAAAGAAGCAAAAUUGGGAUAAAAAUAUAUUUUGAAUACAAUAGUUGCAUUGGUUUUAUUAAAAAAUAUAUUUAUUAGAUAGUUAUAAGGACUUCUAGCCCUAGAAUUAGAUUUAAAUUUAGGAGGCAUUGUAAACCAUAGAUCUUGAUUAGAAUUAUGGAAUUUUAAUAAAAGAGAUUUGGCUUCUAUUAUUAAAGCCUCAAAAACUUAUAAAAAAGGAUUGAAUAGCUAUGUACUUUUCUUUCUUUUUUUUAUAGAUGAACAAAGCCAUGCCAAUUUUUCCUUAAAUUAUGUAGAUAGCUUGGUUGUUUUUAUUUUUUAAUUUAAUUUUUAAAAUUAAUUUUUAAAAUUUUAAUUUGAUAAAAUCUUAUUUUAGAUAAAAAAUCAAAGAAUUUCAAAGAACUUAUUUUUUUUAAUUCUUUAGAUAUAAAAAUCUUAGAAUUUAGACUUUUUAUAGAGAAAAAACCUUUAAUUUAGUAAAAGGUGGUAUUCUGCCUUUAUUAUUUGGUAGUACCAUUUUAGGAGGCUCUUCUUCAUUACUUAUAAGCUAUAAAGAAACAAAAAUUAUGUUUCUAGAGAGUUGAAAAAGUUUAGUUUCUAAAAAGCUAAGAAUUAACUAUAUUAAAGUUGGGACAUGAUAGGAGUGUUGAUUCUUUUGAAGAAGAUUUGCUGCCUCUAAAUUCAAGUAGCUAAAUGAAGGCACAACUUUAGAUGACAAAAUAAAAGAAAUUGGCAUAGCCUAAGGAUUCAAAUUUCUAUAGAAGGUGUCAUUUAGAGUUAGAAUUCUAAUGAGUUUAAAUUUACUAAAGGAUAAUCAAGGACUAAGGUGUCGCACUGAAUUUGAUAGAAGUGAAUCUGUUGCCUUACCAAAUUGAAGUAUCAACUUUGAGAGGCGAUAUUAGAUUUACACAAAUAAAUUUUAAGGUGAAAUUUAAAAUAUGGAUGAGCUUUUAAGUCUUCUUUUUAACAAUACUAUUUUUAUUCAAUUUGAAGCUUGCAAUCAAUCGUAGUACAUUAAAUUAUGAAGAUGGGUGCAACAAUGGAUUUAGGAAUGCCAACUACCUUUGAUCCUUAUUUGGAUAAUAUUUCAAGUCGAUUAAUUAACUAUUAUGGAUGAAUCAUGUGGAUUGAAAUUGACAAUAAAAUUAAAUCUCAUUAGAUAAAAAUUAUUGUAUAGAUGAAACUAGGUCAAAUUGGAUGAAUUUUGAUGAAUAAAAUUUUUUUUUAAGUAGAUAAAUUUUUAUUUGUAGAUGAAUAAUUAUUCUUAGAUAAAAAUAGUUAUUAGAAGUCUUGGAUAUAAAUCAAAUGCUAAGAAGAUUUUUAUUCUAAAACUUAGAAAAUUAAAAUUAUUAUGAAUUAGAUUGAAUUUCUAAUUUAUAGGAAUUUAUUUUAAUUCAUACUAUAUAUAUAUAUAUAUAUAUAUCAAAUUUUACUUCUUAAAUUUUUCUAUUACCUAUUUUAUGAACAAAAAAAACUAAUAAUCAUAUUAACUCAAGGUAGUUGAUUCUUUUUAAUCCAAAAACUUAUUCUAUCUUCAUAUUAAUUCUCCUUAGACCAAGUGAGAGAUUUUUAAAAAUCUAAGAAAGAAAGAAAAAAAAAAAAAAAAAAAAAAAAAAAAAAAAAAAAAAACUUUUUCAAAAUCGUGGGAAUAAAAUACUAAAAACACUAAAAAAUCUCCAAAAAAAAAUCCUAAAGAAGCCUUUGAAUAGCAAUUAUCUCUUUUUUUAUUCAUAAAUAAAUUCCAUCUUCAUAACAACUCUUCUUGGAGUAAGUGAAAGCUUUUUGAAAAGCUAACAAAGAGAGAAACUACUCUUUAAAAGAUUUGAAUAGAAUAUCAAAAAUAUUUUGAAAAAAUCUCUAAAGAAUAGCUGGCUAUAUAUAAAGCAAGAGAACCUAAGCAAAGGAGAAUAAGUGAAGGAUCUAAAAGUUGAUACAAGUCUAUGUCACUCUACCUCAACCUAUAUCUCUUUACCUUAGUAUUUUAUCAUUCCAUUUCAAAUUCAUACUAAUCUAUCUUGAUUUAUCUUUAGAGAUAAACUAUGAAUAUCUAUAAUUAUUUUUUUUCUAUUUUUUUAUUAAAAAUAAAAAUCUUAUAAUAUUUUAUGUUAUUUUUACAUAUUAUACCACUUCCAAGCAUGAUACUAUUUGAUUGACUUCAAAUUUAUAAAACAUAAUAAAAAUAAGUGCAAUAAUAAACUCACGAAAUUAUACUAGUAAAUUUGCUAUAAUAUCCACAAAUUCCUUAAUUAUAUAAGCUUCUUAUUAUUUCUCAAAAUCCAAAAUCUUUAAAUACAUUUCUUAUUUUGAAAAACUCUCAAAAAAUUACAUGCAUCUAAAUUACUAAUAAAAUAACUUUUUUAAAGUUUAUUCUCAAAUCUUGCUCUUUAAUUGGCUAAAGAAUCCUAGAAUUGCUAUAGAUAUGUAUUUUUAUGCCUCAAUAUUUGAUUUUGAUAUUGAUUCACAAUCCAUUCUCUUUAAAUAUCAAUUCUUUAUUUCUUAAGAUAACUUCUCUUACAAAAUAUUUUAAACUCCCUUUUAAAGAUAAAUAAGUAAAAUAAGUAAAAUAAGUAAAAACCUUUUUUACAAAGAAAUAGCAUCAAUACUAAAAAAAAUUAUUACCUUCCUAUCUUUUAUCUAAGUUUUACUAUUAUAUCUUUCAACUAUGCUCUUUUAUAAUAGAAUCCAUAUUUUUAUCUUUUAUCAUAUACUUGAGUUAUAAUAAGAUAUUUAGAGGCCUUAUUAUCAUAUAUGAUCUAUAAUCAAAUAAUCCUAUUAUUAUAAAGUACCAUAAGUUGUCAUUAUAUGCUACAAAAAGCCAUAAAGAAAUAUCAUUGCAACUAGUAUUUAUCACUAUAUGUUGCAAUGAGCCACUACCUUUGCCAUUGCAAGCCGUGGCUAAUACCAAGUUAUUUUUUCACACCAAUGUGUAUACAAUAUUGCCAUAAUAGUGUUGCUUCUUGUCUCUAAUUUGUGAUUCUUAUUAUAUCAAAUGAGCAUUGCACUAGAAUCCUAUUUUAACAAUAAUAACAUCACAAAUACAUAUAUAUAUAUAUAUAUAUAUAUAUAUAUAUAUUCAAACAAAAUAUUCCACUUUUAUUAUAUCCUUAAUAAGAAAAAAUAUUGGAACUUGUGCCAAAAUUUUAACAAGCACAAAAAGUAUUCAUCUAAAAGAAUGCUUCACAUUGCUCUAUUAAUUGGCCUCUAUAUUUAUCCUAUUGUACACCUACAAGACCCUUGCAACCUUUUCUCAACAAACUAUUAUAAUUUUAUAUUUUUUGUUCUAACUUUUUACACUACAACCUCCAUCUCUCUUUUCUUCUCUUUCUUCUUAUAAUGCACUCUUGCUUAGCCUUUUACUUCUACACAAGAUAAUAAUCCAUAUAUACACUACAAGCUUAACAUGUUAUGAUGUUGUAUUAUCACACAAUUAAUUGAAGGAAGAUAUAAUCAUAAAUAUUAUUAUUGAAUAGCCUAAGUAAAAAAUAUAGUAAAAAAAGAUACAUAAACAUAAGGACGUAGUAAAAAUAUUUAGUGUUAAUAUUUUUUUUUUGUAGAUUGAAGCAUGAGUUUAAAAAAAAUUAAAAAUUAAAAAUUAAAAAAUUAAAAUUAAAAGGGUUUUUUAAAAAUUGGUUAUAGGAGAUUUGGAUACAAAUUGAAUUUUUGAGAGCUUUGUAAAAUUGAAGAUGUAUGCAAUGAUAUUGGAUUUUGAGAAAUAAUAAGAAUCAUACAUAUUUGAGAAAUUUGUAAGUAUUAUAGCAAAUGUACAAGUGAUGUUUUGUAGAUUUGUUAAUAUAUUUGUUUUGAAUGCAUUUUGUAAAUUUGAAGUCAAUCAAACAAUAAGAUUGAAGGUUAUGGGAGUUUAAUUGGAAUAGGAACUUAGAUAUUUGAAUUUUAAGAUCCAUUAGAUUUUAUAUGAUUCUAAAAAAUUUCUUGAUUCAAUUGAAGGAAAAUUUUAUUAGAACAUAAUAGACUUCAGUUUUCAUACUUUUAUUAAUUCAAACAGGAAUUAUAUGAUCCAACAAGGAGCAAUUGUUCCUAAAAUAUCAACCUCUAAAUUGAAGAAAGAGGAUGGCCACACCUAAGAGUAUUAGAAGUUCUUUCUUUCAAUUGGUAAAUUUAAUUUAUUUUUUUUCAAAUUUUAAGUGUUCUUUUUUUUUUUUUGCUUAAAGAUUGAAAUUUAAAAAACAAAAAUAGUAAAAAUAAAUAUUUAAAUUAAUAUUCAUUGGAAUUUUAAAAAAAUUAUAAAAAAAAAUUAUUAGAAAUUACUUACAAAUUUAUUUAGAAUUUUUUAGGAUUUUUCUUUUUAGUAUUUAUUUAAAUUUUUUAAUUUAAUUUUUUUAAUUCUUUAUUAUUUCUAUAAGAUUUUUAUUUUUAGUAUUUUUUAAAUAUUUACUUAUGAUAUUUUUAGGAUUUUUAUUUUAUAAAAUUCUUCAUGAUUUUUAUAGAAAUUCUUUAGGAUUUCUUAAUGUUUCUUUUAUAUUUUCUUUAAGACUUAUUUUGGAAUUGAUUAAGAUUUAAUUAAGAAUUUCAAGAUUUAAUUGGAAUUUAUUUAAGAAUCUAUUAAAAUUAUUAGAAUCUUAUUGUUGCAAUUUCCAAUUUAUCUUCUAUAUCUAAGUAUCUGGUGCAUUUUUAAGCAAGGCUUCAUAUAAUACAACACUACAAGUAGUAUUUUGGCACUCCAAUGCUCUAGUAUUGCAACAUCGUCAGUAAUGAUUUAAACCAAAAUAAUAUAAUAUCCAAAAAAAUCCAAAAUUUUUAUUUUUAUUUUUAUUGUUGAACAACUCCUUUUUAACUUGUUAGAGAAAUAAACUUUUACUUGAUCUUAUCAGAAAAAUACACUUUUACUUAUUUCUCCUCAUUUAAUCAAAAAUUAAAUUAGAAGAAACAUUCUUAUCAAGUAAAAGAUGAUGAAUUUGCAUACAAUUAAGUCAAGCUAUUUUUUAUAUUACAAAAGGAAAAUAUAAGAAUAUAAGUUUGAGUAGAAAAUGUCUUAAAGCUCUAUUAAAUGGUUAAAUCACUAUAGCCAAUAAAAUCCUUAUAAUACAAGCUUUUUCUUUCAAAAAUCACUUAUAAUACUUGAUUUAAUAAGAAUAUCAAGUUGAUACUAACAAAGUCAAUUAAUAGAAAAAACUAAGUCGAUAAGAAACUACUAAACAAAAUUAAAUUAUGUACAUGAGACAAGAUCUUACAUCCAAUAUUAUAACAUGUGAUAUAAGUGAAAAUCUAAUUAAACAAAGUACGGUUAAUUUUGUAGUAUGUAAUAAAAUAGCUAUAUCAUCUAAGUGAGAAUAAAAAAGAUAUGAUACUUUAAUACCUAUUAUUGCAUCCAUCUUCUCAAAUUGAUGCACCAUAAUUGAUUUCAAGCUCUAAAUUAAACUUAAUUGGUCUUGUUGGAAAGGAAACUUAAAGAUGUAUCUAUUUUCUAUAUUUUAUCUUCAAAUUUGGUUGUAUGCAUCUAACAUUGUCUACCAUAGUUGAUGCUUUAAUUUAAUAAAUAAAAAAAAAAAAAAAAAAAAACUCUUCUUAUAAAAAUGAGUGUCAUUUCUUGGUUCUUAAUUGUCCUAUGGUAUAAUUAAGUUUAUUGAAAUCUCAACUUCAAAUGACAUCUUCUCGUAUAAGCUGAAUCUUUGAAUUACUUUAAUUGAUCUAAUCUUGUCUUCUAAAGUUGUGUCUUAUUUUGGCUCUUUAAAUUUGGAAGUAGCAAAUCUUUUUCCACAAGAAUCAAUGUUCAUAGAACUUUUUGAAUCCAACGUAAUUAAAUAUUAGUUUUUUCAAAGCUAAACUUUAUUAGAUUUUUUAUUGCUUUCUAGCUUAUGAGUAAUAAGAGGGAGUCUUCUAAAAUUUAGGUACUAAAAAAAAUAGAAAUAUACCAUAUUUUACUAAAUUAGAUAUUUCUUCUUUUUUAAAACUUUAAAUUCUUAAAUUUUUAUGUCUAAAAAAUUAUAACAAAGAUUCCGACCUUUAGUUAAGUUUUGACAAUUUGAUUCCAAAAGAUGAGAGAGAAAAUUGAAAAAAAGACUAAAGCUCCUUGCAAAACCUUGUAAAGAAUUGGCAUAGCUUUACUUGUCAUAAAAAAAAAAUACAAAAAAAAUAAUAAAAUAAAAUAAAAUAAAACAAAACAAAACAAAAAACAACUAAACAAACAAACUCAUAAAGUCUCUUGUAUUCUUGCUCUCAAAAUUAAGGAUGACGGCUACAUCUUCACUCUUGAAUUACAAAGAGCUAAAAUUAAGAUCCAUGGCCCUCAUUGAUCCAAAUAUCAAAACUUGAUAUUAAGGCUAAUAACCAUCAAAUGUGCCUUAUAAAUGAUUGCAUAAAAAAAACAAAUUAUAUACCUUGGUCUAAAAACACCAUGUGUGACUUUAAAAUUAAAGUUAAAAAAAAAAACUAUGCUUGAGUAGAUAUUGAAAUUGAUAAAAUGCUUGCAACUAUACCUAAAAGCUCUACAAAUCAAUGUUUGAAGUUUGAUGAAUAUUUGUAUUUUGAUGGAUAUAUACACACCAUUAAAAUGUAAAAAUAAAUAUAAAUAUAAAUGAAGUCUAUAAAUGUGUGUAGAGAAAGAAAAAUAAGAUCUAAUAGGUAUCAAAGAAAAAAAAUCAUAUAAUAAAUGGAAGAAAUCCUAGGAUUUAAUAUAAAUGUAAUCUUUCUUACAAGAAGUUUUUUUAUCAAAGAUUUUUUAAUACAAUUUUAUUAAUUUAAGAUAUUUUUUGUUUCCAAUUAUUUCAAAAAAAACAAGAAAAUUGCAACCAUUAACUUAGCAUGAUUUAAAGAAACACUCUUUCACAACAGUAUAUCUACAUAUUCAAUCCCUACAACAUGCUAUUCUCUACACAAUAAGAUUUUUUUGUCACAGCUAUUGAAAAUCCUACCAACAGCAAGCAUUAAAGAAAUAAAUUCCAACUACCUAAAGCAUCACCUAGACAACAUCACUACCAAAACACUCAUUACUAAUUUCAAUUUUUUAACCAUUCUCAGUACUUAAUUCCAGUUGGAUAAGGAAACAAAUACUUACAUCUCUUAAUGUCAGAUAUAAAACUUACACGCAAUCACAUUUUGCAAACUCUAAGGCGCUAUUUCCAAAACAAUUUACAAUUUUCAUUGAAGAUUCCAAAAUGACAGUGGUAAGUUGUUUAUAUAUAUAUAUAUAUAUAUAUAUAUAUAUCUAUAUAUAGUGAAAUGAGUUGCAAAGAAGGAGUCAAUACCAUAUAUUACUACCGAAUCAUAAGCAAACGAAGAAAGGAAUAUAGAAAGAAGAGAAACGAGACUUUAUUGAGAAAGUUGGACUUCAAGUGCUGAGCGAUUAAGGACGAGGGAAUCCUGACGAAAGCAACAGUGGCUCGCCCUACUCCGUCGACUUGGUCGCCUGAGGGCCCUCAGGCGAUGGUUGAUACUGCGAACUUGAUUGAGUUCGGCGUUACAUGCCUCGACCACUUGUGUUUUGCACCAGUGUGCUUGUUCUUCCUUGUUCCGAGCCAGACAAUCUUCCUAGUCGGAAUGUUGACGUUUCUAUCACAUGCUGGAUUCUGUGGUAGUAGCGUGCUGAAUGAAGUGGACUUGUAACAACAGCUGAUAUAUUCGUUGUAAAAUCUGCACCCGAUUCUUCUCGGCUAUUUGGAUGAAACGAGGGUGACCUAGACUCUGAAUGUGCAGGAGUCUUGUUCAUGUGAUAACUGCAGUUUUGGGUUGUUUCUCGUGCUACAAAUGAUCUGUUACUGAAGCAAGCCAGCUGUUUCAGUUCGGAGUAAUUGGUGAUCAAGGUGAUGAGGCGGAAUUCUAACGCCUUGUAUGGCUGCAGAUCCAGGUGUAGCACCAAGUAUCUCACAGUAGAGACGAUGUGAUGGAAGCAACCAGGGGUUGGUGUUUUCGGGUCGACAGAGUUGUAAGUGGAGAAUCACAGAGAUAUUUAGCGUCCUCAGAGAAGAGAACGAAGACGCGGUGCUGACCACGCCAAAUCAGACAUUCAGAGCAGCUCUGGUGCUCCACGGAAAGGACAUAUCAGGGAAAAUGGGCUAUGACAGAUGUAUACAGAUUCUAUCGGUUCUUCUUUUGUGCGGGGCGAGUUGGGCGCAGGGUCCUGUAGCGGCGCCAGCCCCGUCUUUUACACCUGCUGAUGCAAUUCGUAUCGCGUGUGGCUCAGCUUCCGAUGUCAAAAUUGGUACCCGGGUUUUUUUAGCUGACGUUCAAGGUACUGGACAAGGGGUUGCAGGAAGAACAAAUCAGAAUAACGGUGCUUUGUCGGCGUACGCUCCACUUCUCACCUCUGCGAGGUUCUUCACUUCUGCAUUUAACUACAAUUUCACGGUUAGUCCAGGGAGACAUUGGGUUCGCCUGUUCUUCUAUCCAUUUGCGUUCUCAUCUUUUCAGCCGAGUAAUUCAUUCUUUGACAUAAGUACCAAGGAGGUCGGUCUUCUCUCCAACUUCAGCGCAGUGACCUUCGUCACCGCAGACAGCCCUUAUUUUGUUCGAGAGUACUUCCUGAACAUCACUUCAAAGGACCUCGUUCUUACUUUCAUUCCACGGUCAAAUUCGUAUGCUUUCAUAAACGCCAUAGAGAUUGUGUCUGCGCCAGAUGGAAUGGUACAGGGUGGCGCGCCUACACUGGGUGGAGGCAGUCUUACUUACCCUGGCCUGAGCCAGUCGGCCCUGCAGACUAUGUACCGUCUCAAUGUUGGAGGAGGCACCGUUGCACCGGAUGAUGAUUCAGCGAACCUGAGCAGGACGUGGAUUCCAGACACACCCUAUAAACUUCUCAACACUCCAGGAGUGUCGGUAGAGGCAAACGCUACAAAGAUUACGUACACCGAUGUUGCAGAGUAAGUUGCAGCUUGCCCUUGCAUGAACAUGUAACAGGUCUUAUCACUACAUGUGGGUUUACAGUAUCUACGAUUUGCAUCAUUAUGGUGCAGUUGCCAGAAGUUUGUACAGUUGGAGACAUGAGCCAUUAACUCUGACGGGUGCGCUUUUCUUUUGGUCUGAGAAAGAUAUAUUGCUCCUGCUACCGUUUAUGCGAGCGGGCAAGCGUUGGAAGAUAAUGAUGUGGCGAACGCAAAUGCUGCACUCAACUGGAAUUUCACAGUCGACAACAACUUCACUUACUUGGUGCGUUUGCACUUCUGCGAGCUUCAGUACCAGCGGCUCUAUGAGCGGGUUUUCAUUAUUGAGAUAAACCGUGUAGCCAUUUACCAAUUUUUCGACAUCAUAGAAGAAGCCGGAGCUGCCUACACUCCCUUGUACAGAGACUUCAUGGUGCCCAUGAUCAAUACCUAUCCGAAAAUAAAUGUUAGGAUCGCCCCUGACCGUAGUAAUCCAAAUGCCAAGAAUGUUCUGUUGAAUGGUCUGGAGAUUUUCAAGGUUAACAACGCGAACUCCAGUCUUGCAGGUCCCAACCGUAUUAUAGAGCCAAACACUACCUCUGGUGGUACACAAACUACAAAUUCAAGCUCGAGCUCCAACUUAGGUGCCAUCAUCGGUGCGUCCAUCGGAGGCGUAGCCGCUGUUCUUGCGGCGGCUGCGUUGGUCAUCUUUUGUUGCUACAAGAAGAAGACCAAGUCUGACAAGCCUGGCGCACCAAGUCAUUGGCUCCCGCUGCCUCUGCACGGCAGCAGUACUGACCACAGCAAAGUGUCGACUAGUUCGGCGAAGAGUGGGAAGAGUGGUGCAGGAAGUUAUGUUUCUUCAGUUCCAUCCAACCUGGGCAGGUACUUCAGCUUCGCGGAGCUCCAAGAAGCCACGAACAACUUCGACGAGUCUUUGGUUUUGGGAGUGGGUGGAUUCGGCAAGGUGUACAAGGGUGAGACUGAUGAUGGGUCGAAAGUGGCGGUGAAGCGGGGAAACCCCAGGUCAGAGCAGGGUCUAAACGAGUUCCAAACCGAGAUAGAGCUUCUGUCGAAACUCCGACAUCGGCACCUGGUGUCACUGAUAGGGUACUGCGAGGAACACGGUGAGAUGAUUCUUGUAUAUGAUUACAUGGCCAACGGUCCGCUCAGGGGUCACCUGUAUGGAACAGACGAGGCUCCUCUGUCGUGGAAGCAGAGGCUGGAGAUUUGUAUCGGUGCAGCACGAGGAUUGCAUUACCUACACACCGGCGCGGCGCAAGGGAUCAUUCACAGGGAUGUGAAAACCACGAACAUCCUUCUGGACGAGAACUUCGUUGCCAAGGUGGCUGACUUCGGGUUGUCGAAAAUCGGGCCCGCGAAUGAAGUCACGCACGUGAGCACAGCCGUGAAGGGCAGCUUCGGGUACCUGGAUCCCGAGUAUUUCCGCAGACAGCAGCUGACGGAGAAGUCAGACGUGUACUCCUUCGGUGUCGUUCUCAUGGAGGUGCUGUGUGCACGACCGGCAAUCAAUCCGGCCCUUCCUCGAGAGGAGGUGAACUUGGCCGACUGGGCAAUCAAGUACCACAAAGCUGGCAUGCUGGAUAAGAUCGUGGAUGAGAAGCUGCGGGAUACAAUCAACCCCGACUCGUUGAAAACAUUCGGCGACACCGUCGAGAAAUGUCUGCAGGAGCGAGGUAUCGAUCGACCUUCCAUGGGUGACGUCCUGUGGAAUUUGGAGUACGCCUUGCAACUACAUGAAGCAUCUGUGAAGGGCGCCAUGUCCAGCCUUGAUCAAGGGAACUUUAGCACCGACUCUGAUAACAGCCACAUGAUCUCCGUGCCGUUGGUUGCACCCAACCUUUUCGAUGACUCGUUGACGAUGGACAUAGAACGAAGAAUGCUGGAGGAGACCGCGUCCGAGGACCAAUCGGCGAGCGCCAUAUUCUCUCAGUUGAUCAACGCUCAAGGAAGGUAAAGCACAGACGAUAGGGAGUUGAUAAACCACAAGAUGAAGGAGGCGGCGAGUAUCCAGGAAGGGAUUGUCUGACUGCUGUAGACCGAACAAAUGUAGUUGUAGUUGAUGUGGUUUUUUACAUAAAAAAAUAAUAUUUAUGUAUCGCUUCAUUUGGCUAACUUCGAGUUUGAUUGGCAUUGCGCGAGGUCAUCUGGAGUUUGGGUAGUUCUGGGUUUAUCAACAAAACUCUGUUGGCUUUGUUUGUGUUGUGGACACGUUGUAAUCCGCUUCGUUUGUAAUAUGUGUGUGAGGUGUACAUUACGAAGUUUGUCAUGAAAGUUAAGGUGGUUUCACUGAUUCGAUUCAACGUAGGCGAAGUAGUCAAGAAUCUGUUGGCACAGCAGGGUCCAAUGACUGAGCGUUGGAUGGCUAUCAAUCUCGUGCACCAUCUUGUGAAGUAAAAUGCAGGUUCGAAUAAAAGUCACUGCUGGGGUUGUUUCUGUGUUUAUGUUCCAAUGAGAUAUUAAUAUGCGAGUGCCUGUUGUGGCUCGAUCAUAAGCAUCUUUCAGCAAUGUACCUCACUCAUUGUGGUUUACAUAUUACAGAUCUUCCAACUUUUUUAUCCACAUUUUAAGCAUCUCUUUUUAACACCACCCUCCGCCAAUUUGAGCCUCACAAACUGUUUGGUGCCUAUGCAUCUCGUGUGCUGCAUGUAGGUGUGUGUGAUAUUUUCCGGUGUGCUCUGUGGCAUGGAAAUGGCUGUACUUGAGACUGUAGCAGGUUGUGUUGAUUGUUCUCUUUGGGAGCUGCCCGUCGGCCGAAGACAGAAUACGGGGCAUUUUGAUCGCUCCAAAAGGAAGCAUCGAAGGGAAGGGCAUUGCUCCAACGACGCAAGUCUCUGGAUUAUCAGAUUCCACAAACACACCUGAUGAAGUCACAGACGAGGCUGGCACUCUUGUUGGACACGGAUUUUGUGUCCUGAAACUAAAGGUAGGCAUGGCAGACUUUGAUGAACUUCGGUUGAAGUAAUGAUCUACGAACAGGAUCUGUACGAGGCAGAGUCCUGUCCACACUAUUCACAUUUGGAACAGGUAUGGGGCUCACAACCCAAUGACAUCAGCAGACCAACGGCAUGAUGUUUUGUUGAAUGUAGAUGCUCAGCCGACGCAUUUUGUCAGCUGCGGCUUUGGGUGAUUUAAUGCGUUUCUGAUAGGGUAUGGCUACUUGAAUGUCUAUCCAGAUUGGUCGGCGCGCUACUCCACAAUAGGAUGCACCAGUCACACAAUCAGUUAGAGAGGGUGUAGGAGCUGAUGGAAAGGUCUGAGCAGACGCAAUUCGGAAGGGGUCUCACUAACAGGCCACUGAGUUUGCAAAUCUUGUUAAGGAGUGCGACAUAGAAUAUUUAGAGGUACGGAAUCGAACACUUGAUCAUAAGAUGGUCGUUCACUGCAGCAGCACACAUGUUAAGAAGACUCCACCGCAAAGAAAGUACAAUUGUUGUCGGUAGUUAAUGUCAGAGUCGUUUGCAUUAACAAUUAUUUCCCGAGACUCCAGCAAACGUAUAUAAAUCUACUCUUUGACAUCCUUUAUUCGAGUUACUUCGUGCGAAUCAGCGAUGCGUAAUUUAUGUUACUAUCUCCUCUGCACAAGAGCAAUAGUUUCAUUGUUUUAUACUGGAGUGUUAGCAAUGUUCGCUUUUUAAACUUAUUGGAAAGCCUGGAAAUUUCAUGAUACUCGCAAUGUGUACGGGCAUGGAUUUCAGGUGGAUAGCACUUAUCACCAUGUGUAAUCUGAAGCAGUUAUGUCAGUUUUGAGAGAGCAUAUUCGUUUCAGAGGACUUCCUCAAAUUUUUCUCAGGGUGUGGCAUUGUGCAGGAAUAUGUUAAGAUCUCAAAAGAUAUACCGAGAUUUUGUAAGGAGAGUGGGAUACCUAUUGCUUUAGAUGAAAGCGUUGACGAGGAUACAUCGUUCUGGAGUGAAAUGCUUGAAAGAAUUGCAUCAGAGGGCGUAAUGGCUGUUGUAAUUUUUCCUGGUCGCGUGGGAUCGUUUGAACAAGCUGUGUCAUUGCGGAGUGGGCACAUAGCCGAGGCAUAGUAGCUGUUAUCAGCUCAGAUAUGAAAACAAAUAUUGGUUUAACUGCUUAUGCCCAUCUAGUUACUUCUGGUGAUGGAAGGUGUCUAUGGACGCACACAUCGAAUCAACAGAAAACCUCACGGGAUGGUGCUAUUACGCAUGGGCUGGGUACUUACAAGUGGUCUGUUGGAGACCAGUGAGAGGAAGGGGAUCGUAAAAGUUUUACACUCAUGCACAGUGGACAAUGAAGAGGGCCGCGAAUUGACCGAAGGCUGCUGGGAGUGUGUAACAACCACAACGGCGGGCACUAUUUUGAAUGAAUGGAACUCACUUGCUCCAGAUGUUCACCAGCACUGCUUCCACCACGCUGAUGAAUGGUAUUGGUGCCCUUCUCUGUGAGUAAUGUUUACUUUGGUAAUGUUAGGAUUUUGGUAUUGAAGCACUUUGUGGUCUUUCAGUGAUCUUUCAGCUCCUCCACGUCGUUAAUCCAACUCCACCAUCUUUCGGUUUUGACAGAUGUAUGCUCGCCUGGAUCUCCAGCGAUUCGAUCAAUGCGCGUGUCUGCAUAUCCGACGCCCGAGAAGUACCAUUCUGGGCACGGUAUGAUUGUUUUGGUCACAGUAGAUGCUAUUGAAAAUCCAGCCAUUUGCGAGGAUGAGAGAAAUGAACCGAACCCACCUUCAUGUAUCACCUGAGCAACAGCACUCCCAAGAUUCCCUUCACUAAUUUCUAUCGUUGAAACAGUGCCAAUACUUGCUUCCAAUAUGUAAACGAUAGAAGAAAAAAAAUCCACGUAUCUCAAUGCUGAAUAUAAGACUUCAGAACAAAAACGUGACUUUCACACAUAGGAAACUGAAUUGCAUUAUUCCCAUCGGCAAAUUUACAUUUUUCAUGGAAGAUUUUGAGAAAACUUUGAGAUAGUAGCAAAAUCUUUUUGCUCUAUAUUAUCUCCUACAUGGGUCACAAAAAAUUUGCUAAAUUCCAUGUCACAUUCAACCUGGAAGCAUUCGAAGGGAUGGGGGGGAGAUUCUGACGAAAGCAGCAGUGGCUCCGCCUACUCCGUCGACUCGGUCGCGGGAGGCGCACCCCAUGACCGCGAGCACAUGAGCCCCAUUAACUUUGCGCACAUUACGGCACGGUAACAGGAAUCCCACCUUAGAGGCAGACGCCGGUAACAGCGGUGAAGGGGGGGAGAGCGGGACUGGCGAGGAAUGGGGAUUCAUCCAGCUUCAUCGUCAUCGCCGAGCUGAAGCAACUGCACAACCAGCUGUGUUGCUGCUGUUCGAUGCUGGGCAGGACAACCACGCAGCUCACCUGCCUGCCUGUUGAUCUUUUGCUAGGCCCCUCCGAAACCCCGUCCGUCCGUAUCCCGUCAAUGGUCACUUGCACUUGUGUGAAGCCAUAGCCACUGACGCCGUCGCCGCUGCUGCUGCUGCUGCUGCUGCUGAUGGUGUGACCGAUCAAAUGGUUUCGUGACAGUGCCACAGCCCAGGUACUUCGGAUCUUUCCUUUCGACUUACAUUUGGGUUUCAAUCGGUGGAAGGACUGUAUGCGGAGAGCGCGUUUACCGUAUCGAGACUGUGGGGGGUUGUGUUUAGUAACCGGGUGGGUCUCAGAGUGAUCUAUGAGGACUGGGAUGGAGGUCGGAUAUGGCUCCGUGAGGUGAGAAUGCCGGUAUUGUAGCUUAUAUUUGUGCCUGUCAGGGUUGGAAACGAGGGUUAAGGGUUUCGUAUUUGUGUGUGUGUGUGUGUGUGUUUCGGAGAGCUGCCCGGAGGCGACGGGGUGUCGUGUUUCGCUUGAAGCCUUACAAUGUUCGCUUCAGCUCUUCGGUAGAGCAUAUGGGUCAUGAUGGAAGUGAGGAAGGGUUCCCAGAGUUCACCACGAUUGUUUCUUGACCAUAGUGAUACCCUCAAAUGCUUCGCCGCGACUGCGAGGGGCUGGUUGUGGAACAGUAGGUUAGAGAAUGUGUCUUGUAAUGCAUGCGAUAGGCCACAUUCAUUUGCCAUUCACGAUACGACAAUGGCUGGCAUCGUCUGGUGUCUCGGAGAGUGCUUUGUACUGUUCGUAAACGAUUUUGGCCCGUGCGUUAUCAUUGAAAUGCUCACUUGUACUCUGCUUUAGCGGUUCUUAUAGUCAUCUGCUCAGUGUCGUUUUCUUAAACCAGGGCAAAAAUGCCUGCAACCUAGAUGGUUGAUCCUGCGAACUUAACUAUGUCCAGCGUUGCAAGCCUCGGUUUUAUGUGUUUUGGACCAGUGUGCUUGUUCUUCCUUGUUCCGAGUCAGACAACCUUCCUAGUCGGAAUGUUAACAUUUCUAUCACACACUGAAUUCUGUGGUAGUAGCGUCCAUGCCGAAUGAAGUGGACUUGUAACAUCAGCUGAAAUAUUCGUUGUAAAAUCUGCACCCGAUUCUUCUCGGCUAUUUGGAUGAAACGAGGGUGACCUAGACUCUGAAUGUGCAGGAGUCUUGUUCAUGUGAUAACUGCAGUUUUGGGUUGUUUCUCGUGCUACAAAUGAUCUGUUACUGAAGCAAGCCAGCUGUUUCAGUUCGGAGUAAUUGGUGAUCAAGGUGAUGAGGCGGAAUUCUAACGCCUUGUAUGGCUGCAGAUCCAGGUGUAGUAACGAGUUCUGCACCGUAGAGACGGUGUGAUGUAAGCAACCAGGGGUUGGUAUUUUCCGGUCGACAGAGUUGUAAGAGGAGAAUUACAGAGAUACUCGGAUACAUUUGAGAAGCAAUCGGAGGCGUGGUUCUGACCACGCCAAAUCAGACAUUCAGAGCAGCUCUGGUGCUCCACGGAAAGGACAUAUCAGGGAAAAUGGGCUAUGACAGAUGUAUACAGAUUCUAUCGGUUCUUCUUUUGUGCGGGGCGAGUUGGGCGCAGGGUCCUGUAGCGGCGCCAGCCCCGUCUUUUACACCUGCUGAUGCAAUUCGUAUCGCGUGUGGCUCAGCCUCCGAUGUCAAAAUUGGCACACGGGUAUUUGCAGCUGACAAUGUUCCAGGAACAAUAAAAGGAAUUGCGGGAACGACUCUUCAGAAUAACGGUGCUUUGUCGGCGUACGCUCCACUUCUCACCUCUGCGAGGUUCUUCACUGCUGGAUCUAAUUACACUUUCACAGUGAGUCCAGGGAGACAUUGGGUUCGCCUGUUCUUCUAUCCAUUUGCGUUCUCAUCUUUCCAGCCAAGUAAUUCAUUCUUUGACUUGACUGCCAACGAGUUCGGUCUUCUCUCCAACUUCAGCGCAGUGACCUUCGUCACCGCAGACAGCCCUUAUUUUGUUCGAGAGUACAUCCUGAACAUUACUUCAAAGGAACUCGUUCUUACUUUCAUUCCACGGCCAAGUUCGUAUGCUUUCAUAAACGCCAUAGAGAUUGUGUCUGCGCCAGAUGGAAUGG